UGAUAGAAAACAAAUAACAUAAAUUCAUGAAGUAGCUCUCUCUCUUCUCCCUAGAUAGAGAGAGAAUUCUCUCUUAUCUUCCCUUCCCUCUUAACACACACCAAUCUUUCAGAGGGAGGAAGAAAUUAGCUUGUUUGUUUUUGUUGUAAGAUAUUUCUUCAACCGAAAGGUUGAAUCAUGUUUUUGCUCGGCAAAUUUUCUUUUUCGUUUUGAAUAUUUUGUUGUGUUUUCGAUCUUAUUUCAAAGUUGUUCUUCACUCUUAUCUUUCUUUGAUUUGAGAUCGAGUUUCCCUCUUCAAGUUCCGUGAACUACUUUAAAUCCCGGUUGAUUUCAAAACUGAUUCUUUUGUUGCUGGUUCAUGCCUAUUCCUCUUUAAUCAAUCAUAAAUCUUACUCUUUUUGGAUUUACUAAGUCGUUAAAAGUGGAGUUAAGUGGGUUGAUUGAAGGGUGAAUAGUUUGUUGAUUCAAGUUGAUCAAUUUGCUGUCGGGUUAAGUAGAGUUGGGGCUUCUAUGAAGCGUCCUGUCAAGAAUCCGUUCAUUGAUUGAUUCAACUUUCAUCUUGAGUUUAUAUCCAGUAAUCACUGAAUCGGUUUGGAGACAGAUGGAGCUUGGAAUUCGACGAAUUUGGGAGGCAGCCAUACUUUCACAAAGGCUCAAACCUGAAGAAGAUCAACUCAAGAUGAUAGCACGGCGGAGGAACAGAGGCACGGCGGUGUAAAGCUGCGGAGAUGACGAUGCCUGCAUAAAGUCUCUGUUAUUGACACGUGUCUCGUAGAGCUUCUUGGUUUGGACGCGUGUAUUGUUGUGUGUUUGAGUUACUUUUAAAAUUCAUCAACUUUUAAAAUUUAUAAACUCUACAUAAAUUUAUCUCUCAAUAAUUCUCCAAGAUGUAAAUGUAUCUUCUGUAACUGUAAAAAUUAAAUAAAAAUAAAAUGUGACUGAAUGGUUGAACUAUAGCUGUAGAUUUUUUACUGUAAAAUUUAUGUGUAGCAAUAUUAGUUGUACCUCUAGAAUUUAUAUUUAGCUAUUUUAAAAUUAAAACAUCAAUGGUCAAUAGUUAUUUAUUUGAUAAGAAAAAAAAAAUACAAUUUACUAUAUUUAUAGAAGAAAAUGUAAGUUAUGUAUCAUAACUAUAUAUUUUGAUUUAAAAUUUAUGAAUUAUAAUCUGAAUAUUUUACCUUUAUAUAUGUAAUAUAUUAUAAUAUUUAUAUAAUCAAACAUCUAUAAUUUAAAAAUCUUUUUAAAAAAUUAAGCUUUUACUCAAUGAUAUUUAAAUGAUAUAUUAAUGACAAAAUUUAACAAAGUUUAUAUAGGAAAGAAAGGAAAAGAUAAAUAAUUAAUUUGCUACAGCCUUCCUAAAGCAUCUAAAUCAAGACUUUAAAAAAUAACGCAGCUACAGCCAAUAAUUCAUAUUUUCGUAACUAACGGAAGCUUAUUUCAUAAACUUCCCUUUCUUAUUAUUUGCAGAGCAUUAAUAAAAAAUAACCUUACCUUCAUGUGAUUAACCAAAGUACCAUUGCUUAGAUUGCUUAGAUGUCACAACUAGAAUCAUUCGCAUGACCUUACAUUAAAAAUACUCAUUUUACUAGAAUAAUUACAUGUAAUACCACUCCUUAUUAUAUAUAAUUAGCUCAACAUCUAUAGUAUAUGGCCACAUCGUAAAAUUAUAAUGACAGUGAUUUCUUUUGUCUUAAUCAAAUUUUAAUAUAAACUAGAUUUUGACCCGCGCUUCGAAAGCGCGGAUUUCGUUUGGUUAUAAAAAAGUUUGAUAUGAAUUAAUAUUCUAUGAUUUUUAUAUUAUUAUGUUAUAAAGUCGUAUUAUAUCAAAUAAGGAAAUUUGUUAAAAAUUAAAUAAUUUAUGAAUUAGUUGAUGUGAGAUUUUGUAUGUACACUCUUAUAAACUUUCUCUUAGGCAUAGGCAUUUUUCUCGGAUCCAAAAAGCUGAAUCGAAACCAACACAAAAAAUACAUGUUCGGGUCCAAAAUCGAGUAAAGUACAUAUUGGUUUUUUUUGGACCCGCAAGUCUCUAUUCGAGUCGGGUACCCAAAGUACUUGAAUAUUUUGUGUAUAUUAUGUAUAUUUGGGUAUUUCAGAUAGUUUUGAGUAUAAUAUAAAUUUUUAAGUUUUUGAUUCAGAUUUUCGGUUAUAGUUUCGGGUUUGGGUAAAAUCUCAAAAUGAUAUUUCGGGUAUUCAAAUAAAACUUUGAAUAUUUUUUCGUUCUUCAGAUAAAAGUUUGGAUUUUAGGUAUUUUGAAUAUUCUUAGGUAUUUGAAUAGUUUCAGGUAUUUGUUUAGAUUUUCGUGUUUUGGCUUUUUCAGGAUUUCAGGUACUUUGAGUCUUUUCUAAUCCCAAAUACCUGAACUGUUCCGAACCUAUUUUGUACCAAAAUUACAUAUAUUAUAUAGAUAUUUUAAUUAUAGACUCGAGCCAAACCGGAUCAAAAAGAACAGAUCCAACCCCCAAUAUAGACUUACAUUAUUGCAUAACAACCAUAAUGUUAAGUGAUAAAAUAUUUUAGAGAAGAAGUGUAUCACACGAAAUAUUUUACAAAAUUUAAUUUAUUGUUAUCUUUAAAUAUUAUUUUAUUUUUAUAAGCGUUAAUCUAUAUAAAAUUUAUCUAUUUUCUUUUAAUUUAGAUUCGAAGUUAAUUUUAUAAUAAUAUUUAUUUAUUUGUAGCCAAAGUCCUAGUUUGUAUAAAAUUAUUCAAAUAGUUUUGAGAAGAAGCUAUGGUGUUCGUUGGUUGAAUUUUUAAUUUUGAGAUUUGAAGACUAUGUCUUUUUUCUGUAACUCGAUUUGAAGACUAUGUUCUAAGUUGCUUAUUGCUGUUUAUUAAUGACAUAGGUCAAAGAAGAAAAACCAUAAGUUAUAAAGCGUGGCUGGGAAUAUAAGUCAUUGCUAUCAUAUAUAGAAAUGGUAUUUAUUUGAUGUGUAAUACUAUUAAAUGUAUAUAAUCUUCAUGGAAAUAUAAGUGAUUGCUACGGUCAUUAAUAUACUUAAAAUGUAAUUAUUUAAUAUGUUAUACUAUUAAAUGCAUAUGAAUCGAUAACAGCUUUAAUACUACCAUAUAGUUAGAGCUUUAAUACUACCGUAUAGUUAGAAAUAAUUAGGGAAAUAUUACGUGAGACCAAAAAUAUUGUUAGUUAAUGAAAAGGUGCAGUAACAUUUUAUAGGUAGAUUUUUCAAGACUUCUUCUCCUUUAAUAGUAUAGAUUUGACAUAUCAAUUCCAGCGACCACAACGAACGUGUUACAAAUAUUAUUUCUAACAAUCACUAUCAUGAACAAGUGAUCUUCCUAAUUGUCACGUUCGUGAGAAAAUAUUCUAAUAAGCCACAGUCAUAACAAUUUUUGAUCACAUAUGAAUUAAGAUAUAUAUAUAUAUAUAUAUAUAUAUAUAUUGAUAGUUUCACAUUAGCAAGACUAUUUUACGAACCUAAACAUUUCAAGUUCAGUAUGACAACUUGAAUUUGUUAAUUAUAUUGCUUAGACCAAAUUCAAGUCCAUACUCCAUACCUACAGCCACAUAACAUUCAUUGGGUCUUAUUAGUUGUACGAACUUGGAGUAGUGUUCAAGUCGAUUUCUAAAUAAGUGUACAUUAAAUUAAUUUUGAUUUCCAUCAAUUCUUUUGCUGCAUCAGUGGGUGAAUAGAAGGCAAGUAUAUACGCAAUGUUGUUGAUUACAGCCAUGUAUUUAUUACAGCGAUAUAUAUUAUAUAUGCAUUUGUAGCAAGUGUAUUGAUUAUAUUGUGUUUUAAGGAAAGUAUUUACAUAAUUUGUGUCCCGCGUAUUGGUUAUAUUGUGUGUAAUGGAAAAUAUUUAUGUAAUAUUUAGCGCAAAUUUUGGGAUACUAAUUUUUGAAUAUGCAUGCAUUAGUGGGAUUUCAAUACGGGAAAAUAAUAAAUAUGAUUUGAUAUGAUUUCAAAAUUUAACCCUAUACCCUAAUUACUCAGUAUAUAAAUAAGAUUUUUUUGAACACAUCUACUCAUUUCAAUCAAUCCCCCUAAACAAUUAUAUACAAAGAAAGUUCGAUCGUUUUUAUUGUAUUAUCACGUACAAAGUGAUGAAGAUAAUCACCAACCUUGCCUUCCACACACCAAAAUCCCCAAAAAGUAUUAGUCUAAGGCAUGGUUUAUUACAUGUUUUCCUAUAGUUUAGGUGCUUAGAAUAAUAAUAUAGUUUUAACUUUAUGUAUGUAGUUUACUCUGUCAUUUCAGACGCACCAGAGGUUACUAUAAUGGUGUUCUGUUUUGCGCUGAAUGAGAGGCCUUUGCUCAUCAAUGGUACUAUACUGAAUGUUUGUUGUUUUAUGUCUGUGUUACAAAGGGAUCCCAAAUAUUAUUGGGAGGGUCGUUGUAGGAAGUUGAUCCAAGUGAUUUAACCCCAGCUAAACGUAGAGGAGGCCCCGUUGUGAAUUUGGAGUAAGAGUUUUUUUUUUAUCAUAACCCGGUUACGAAAACAAGUAUUUCUACUCGAAUCAAGAAGGAAAAGUUUGACAAAAAUGGUUUGGAAGUUCUGAAUUGAGGACUUUUUAGAGGAUUCACUUUCGCUUAGCUUUGUUCUGAUUUACUCUUUUCAGCUUCUGUUUUUUUAACUAUUUUGGAUUUGUUUUUUUUUCUAUUGUUUCAAUUUUGUUAAAUUGUUUUAAUCCACCAUGCAUGUCCGUUACGAAUUCUGUAAAUUUGAAUCUUUUUGUUGUUAGCUAAAACAUGUAUUUAAUCAUUUUGAAUACAUAAGAUUGUGAAAAAAAAUUAUAUUGGUGGUCAUGCAAAAAAUUGUCACCAUAAGUUAUUUUUCAUAACUAAAUAUCAACAUUUCUGACAUUGAAAAAGAUCCCAUUUAGGAAUGAAAAUUAUCUUAAUCAUCAUUUGGUCCAUUUUCUAUUACGUCAUAUAAUAUACAACUAGGUGUUUUUCUACACCAUGUGCAGUAAUAAAAAAAUAAAGUUAAAUUAUAUUUUAAAAUAAAAUUUAUUAGUUUCCAUAUUUCAUGAUUUUCUUAUUAGUAUUUUAAUUAAAAAUAAAAUCAAAAUAAAAUAAGUAAUUUUGUUAACCUUAAAUUAUAUUGAAGAAUAAAUAUGCAUAUAUUUAAAAUUAUAAUCUUAGAUAGAUUUUUUUAAUUUGUUUAUUUUGGAUAAAAUAUAUUAAAUUAACUUGUAUAAAAUUAACAUAAAUUUGAUGUAAAAUUUAUAUAAUUAUCGAAAAUAAAACUAAACAGUGUUUCUAAAAUUCGUAGAUAUAUAAAAGAAACUAAUAAUAUUACCAUUAAUAAUUAUAAUUUUCUUUUAAAUUUCAAAAACAAUUGAAAAUAUUUUUAGUUAUAAACUGUAUAAUUAUUUCAAAUAAAGAAAUAUUUAAUCUUCGAAAAUUUUAAAAUAUAUUUUUUUAUUAUUUAAUGACAUAUUUUAAUAGAUUUAUAUUAAUGAUAGUGUAUAAUUUAUUAUCAUACUCUAAAGAGUUUACCAAAAGCAUUAAAUAUAAUUUUCCAUGUCACUUUUAAACAUAAUUCAUGUCAUCAUUUUAGCAUGCCAUGUCCAUUAAUUUGGUGAAAAUGAUUGUAAAAAAUACAUGUGUUAAAAUCACUUUGCAAAUAAUGUAUUAGGAAUACUAAUCUUCGCAAUAUUCCUUUUAUAUUAUUUGAAGAGCACUUUUAAAAAUAAAUCUUAACCUCAUGUAUGAUUAACAAUUUUGCCAUUUCUUAGGUGUCAACACUACAAUGCACCUCACAUCCUUUAUUGAAUAACCCUCUUUUGUCUAGAGUAAUUACAUAUUAUGCCAUUGCCAAAUAAACCUACAAAGUCAUUGUAGUAUAUAUUUCAUUUUAUAUGCAUAGUAUAAAUCAUAAUUUAUUGAUAUUACUUCAACCAUUACAUUAUAUAAUUUUUGGUGUAAUAUUGUAUUUUUCAUCUCCAACUAUAAUUCUAAAUUCAUACACCAAUAUUAUAUAGUAUUUCAUUGUAAGCUUUUUUACAUUUAAUUAUAUAUUGUUUGUUAAAUUUGUAAAAUUUUAUUCUUUACAUAGUCAUUAGUCACAAUUUUUUUAAUAUUAAAAUGUGUAUAUCAAUGUAAUGAUAUAUUUUUUUAACACUGAAGUAAUAUAACUCUAAUAUAAUAAUAUAUUUCUUAAUGUAUUUUAGAAUAUAUUUGUUCUAAUAAUAUAUAUAUAUUUUUAAUAUUAAAUGAGAAUAUAAAUGCAAUUAAAUAUGUUUAACCGAAAUAAAGAUGGUUGUUGAUUUCUAUAAUACAUUACAAAUCAUAUUCAUGUCAUUAUGUUAAUGGCAAUCACAGCUAUAAAUCGUAAUCAUGUAAUUACUUGCGCGAUAUUAACUCAAACGGAUUGAUUUUACGUCUAUCAAUCAUAAUUUAUUGAUAUUAUUCCAGCCAUGACAUUAAAUAAUUGUUUGGUGUAAUAAUAUAUUUUUCAUCUCCAACUAUAAUUCUAAAAUCAUACAACAAUAUUAUAUAGUAUUUAAUUGUAAGUUUUUUAUAUUUAGUUAUAUUAUUACAUUUGAUUUUUGUAUUGUUUGUUAAAUUUGUAAAAUUUUAUUCUUUACAAAAGUCAUUAGUUACAAUUUUUUUCAAUAUCAAAAAAUGUGUAUAUCAAUGUAAUGAUAUAUUUGUUUAACACUGAAGUAAUAUAACUUUAAUGUAAUAAUAUAUUUUUUAAAUAUAUUUUAUAAUACAUUUGUUCUAAUGUAAAAUAUAUAUUUUUUAAUAUUAAAUAUAUAUAUAUAUAUCAAUGCAAUUCAAUAUGUUUGACCAAAAUAAAGACUGUUAUUGUUUCUUAUAAUACAUUACAAAUCAUAAUCAUGUCAUUAUGAUAAUGACAAUCAUCGCUAUAAAUGAUAAUCAUGUCAUUACCUUCUCAAUAUUAAUUCAAACAGAUUGAUAUUACGAAGUACAUAAAUUCAAACUCAUUGAUAUUGCCCUUAUAAAUCAUAAUUUAUUGAUAUUACUCCAACCAUGACAUCAAAUAUUGUUUUGGGGUAGUAUUAUAUUUUUCAUCUCCAGCUAUAAUUUUAAAUUCAUUCAACAAUAUUAUAUAUUAUUUAAUUGUAAGUUUUUUUACAUUUAGUUAUAUUAUUACAUUUUAUUUUUAUAUUGUUUGUUAAAUUUCUAAAAUUUUAUUCUUUACAAAACUCGUUCGUUACAAUUUUUUAAUAUUAAAAAUGUGUAUAUCAAUGUAAUAAUAUAAUUUUGAAUAUAUUUUAAAAUAUAUUUGUUCCAAUGUAAUAAUAUAUUUUAUUAAUAUUAAAAAUGUGUAUAUCAAUGUCAUUAUGAUUUAUCAUCCGUGAAAAAAGAUCCAUGCAUUGUUGUCAUUACUUGCGCAAUAUUAAUUCAAACAAAUUGAUAUUACGAAGUACAUAAAUUCAAAUGGAUUGAUAUUGCGCUUAUAAAUCAUAAUUUAUUGAUAUUACAAAGUACAUAAAAUUCAAAAGGAAAAUUCAUAAUAAAUUGAUGCAAUCACUUAACUAAGCACCAAGACCUUGAAUUUAGAAUUUUUAAUAUACUUUAAUAGACUUACUAGGAUAAGAUAAUUCCGCGCAAGGUUAUUAUUUUUGUUAUAUUUUGGAGAAUGAAACAAUAGUUUGGCUUCAUUUGGAUUAGGGGUGUUCAAUCCAGAUAUCGGGUUGGUUUCGAUUCGGUUCGGUUUUUUUUGGUUAGUAAAAUAUAAUUACUAUUCUAAAUCCAUAUUUACUUUGACUUUAGUCUUUCACAUACUUUUGAAAGAUUUCAACUGGACAACUAAAUUGAUCAGCCAAUCUUGUUGCUUUAAAUCAUUAGUAUAUAUAUAUAUAUAUUAUUUAGUUUGAAUAUUUAUUAAAUAAAAAUUCAUAUGCGUUAUAUUUUAUGAUCAUUUGUAACUUAUUAUAACAAAAAAAUAAUCUAUUGAUCACAAAAUUUUCAGAGUGGGAAUAUUCAAAUUUCUAAUAAUAUAUAGACGUUUUGAAAAAUUCAAAAUAUAACAUAUAAAAAAAUAUAAAUGUUUUUUAUUAUAUAUUUAAUGUGAUUUUUAAUAUCUUUUAAUAAUAUAAAAUUUUUAAAAAGAACUAAGAUACAAAAAUUGUUAUCAAAUAUUUAUUAUUCAUAAUAAUUAAUUUUCACAUAUAUGUUAAUCAUAUUAGGUAAUUUCGUAGCUUUUAUUUAAGGAAAGUGCAAAACAUUUUUUGGUACGUUAUUUAUCAAUUCGAUAGUUAGUUUAAUAAAAAGUGUAAUAUAAGUUAAGAUGGACCAACCUAUUUUUCUAGGAAUAGUAUAUUUUGUAUAGUUAUUUAUUAAAUAAGAAUUUAUAAUCAUACGGUUCUAUGAUCGUUCAUAUCGUUUUAUAACAAAAUAUUUAAAUCAUCGAUAACAAAAUUUUCAAUCUGAAAUCUUUAAUAAGUUUAUAAUUUAUAAAUGUUCUUGAAAAUUCAUUGAAACUUUUAAUAUUAAAAUAUUUAUGUAAUCCUAUGGUAUAUAGUGUUUAAUCUAUAUAUAUAUAUUUAUUUUAUUAUUAAAUGAUAUUUUUUACUCAUAUGGUUUUAAAAUCAUGUGUAUCUUCUUAUAAUAAAAAUGUUAAACCAUUGAUCAUUAAUUUUUAACAUAAUAAUUUUAAUAGUUUUAGUCAUUUAUUGUCGUUUUUAAAAAUUCAAAAUAUAACAUAUACGAAAAAAUCUAAAUUUUACUUUUAUAGCUAAUUUGAUUGUUUAAUUUAUUUUAAUAAUAUAAAAUUAAACAAAAAAUGAUGGAGGAGAUAUAAAUUGUUAUCAAAUCUUUAUUAUUAAAAUCAUUAAUUGUCAUAUAUAUAUUAGUCAUUUAUGGUAAUUCCGUAGGUUUGAUUUAAGGAAAGAAAAUAACAGAUCAUAUCAUUAUAUCAUAUAGUUUGACCAACUUAUGUAUCUAACAACAUAUAAAAAUCGAAUGUGGACCUACUUAUUUUUCAAUUGAAUGUAAUUGACUACCUAAUUGAGUGCCACCUAUGCAUUGGGGUCUAUUUUAAUUAAUACAAAAUUGAGGUUACAUCUUUUCAAAUGUUACUCGAUUAAUAUACAGGUGAUUAUUCAUCAGUUUGCAUAUGCAAUAUCUGGUUCGUGUGAUGUUUAAUGUCGAUUUCCUUCCAAUAUACAUAUAUUACGAAGAUAUUGAUGACAUGAUUGUUUAUGGGAAGUCAAAUGUUUUUAUUUCCGAUUUUAAAAUUAACAAUAGUUUUUGUUAACAAUUUUGUUAUAACAAUAAUACAAUUUUGAUACGUUUGUUGAUUAGCUUUUGUUAACAAUUUACUAAUCAAGUGGAUCACAAAUGUUUAUGGUGUAAUAUUGGAGUUGUAUUCUUUUUAAUCUUUAGAUCAACUAGGGAUUGUAUACGUGAUUUAUGGUGUUACUAUUUUAAAAAACUUUAAAACUUACUUUAUUUACAUAUCCACAAUUUCGUUGAAUUCCUUAACAUGAAUAAUAUGUAAUAUUUGUGUCUACGGUUUUUAUCUUUCUAAUAUCUAUAUAUUUAAAAUUAUAAUUUCUUUAAAUUCAUUUGUUAUCACCUAGUUAGUUUGUUAUUUUUGUUACAAUUUCACAAUAUUGUUAAAAAAGUAUAGAGUUUUAUGGAAUAACCACAUAUAAUCUUCAAGUGUACAUAUAUUCAUAUUAUAAGAUCUAUUUGUGAAUUGGGUUUGGCAAACAAGAAGAUAAAAUCUAAAACUGAACUAACGCUGAAACAUUAACGCAAGCAAAUAUAAAGGUAUUCGUUUAAAACCAUAAUCCGAAGGCAAUUGUAUAGUCUCCAAAAUUUGCAAAAAAAAAAAGUCAUCACGCAAUAGAUAAAACAACACCAACAAGAUGAAACAUAGACGAAGAUGACGAUAGCAAAAGAGCAAUCAGCGGUAACGACGAAGGGGAAGAAGAGAGUUGUUCUUCUUCCAGGUUGCUCUGCGAGACGGGCGGUUCUUGUGGUUGUUGUGACCUUUUCCGCGCAGUCCUCUGUUCUUCUUUCCCUCAGACGUAAGUCCUCUGAGCUCACGGUGUUUGUGCACCGGGUUGCAUAUCCAGUUGAUUCUCGGGUCGUUACGCACUGCGUUGUGUGCCGGGUCAACCAAGAUGAUCUCGUAGUACUUGUAGGUUGAAUCCUCGUUGAGCCAGUAGGAGUUGACGACUCUGAGGCCGCCCAGUUUCCUUCCAGCACGCUCCUCAGCAACGGAACGCUUGCUCCUCUGGAACUUGAGUUGGGUGACUCCCUGGUUUGUGGGCUUACCAUACACAAUACCCUUUGGCACUGGCCUCUUGCGUCCACCACGUCUCACUCGGACACGGUACACCACAAAUCCCUGUCAUACAUUAAAAUCCCAACACGAUUAGUAACAGAAUUCAAGGUACCAGCUACAUUUUCAGACAAGUGUAAAUCCAGCGAGUGAGUAAGAAUAAAUGUUUGUUUAAAAAAACACAAUAAACAUCAAUGCAUCAAUAUCUCCCAACUAACAACGCAACUUCACAGCAAUAUCAAACAAGUUGUAAUUAUCUACACUCCAAGAUCUCAUCCUUUUACCAAUAAAGUCAUGUUUUAUAGAAAAAAAAACAUUUUGUGGAAGCAGAACUAAAAUCACCUGUUUGGCUUUGUAACCCAAACGACGAGCCUUGUCGGGACGAGUAGGCCUGACGAGACGGACGAUCGAAGGCUGCUGUCUGUACUCCCAGCACCUAACCCUCUGCACGAACCUCAUGACGUCGGACUGCUUCUUCCUCCAUAGCUCAGACACAUACUUGUAAGCACCUAGUGUUCACCAAAAUCCAUCUAAAUUAUUAUAUUAGUUCGUAAUUACAGAUCCAUAACACAAACAUCAGUUGAAACGCUAAAUCCAUCUAAAGGGCAAGGAGAAAGGAUCUAAAAGAAGAGAUGAGAAGAAGGAUUUACCCAUUUUCCAAGUUUUCGCAGAGCCGCACAACAAAGAGUUUCUCCCUGGCUUUAAAGAAAAGGACUAGGGUUUUAAAGAAACUGGGCUUACUGAUUAUAUAUAAAAGCCCAUUGUGUAUGGGCUUGAAAGUUUGGAUUAAACCUUAUAAAAAGCAAGAACUAGCAUGGUUUAUUUGAUGGUUCGGUUCCCUCGUGAUAGAUAUUUAUUUACGUUUUUAGCUAAAUGACACUGAUUAGAAUAAUCUGUGUCUUGGUGUUCCAUCUUUUUUUUCUUGGAAUAUUUAUUCGGCGUUCUUUCUCUUGUUUCCUUGGAUCCAUUCUCCAAUGCACUUUUGAUUUUGGGAGAUCUUGGUGUUGCAAACUAUAGUUUUUUGCCAGCAUUUUUUUCAAGACUCUAUUCUGCUGAGUUUCGGUUUCCAGUGUUUUUAUAUUGUUGUGGGAUUAUUAUGGCAACAACAACGGAGAGAAUAGCUAUAAUGAACGAUCAUUUAUAUAUUAAAACAGAAGUCACAACAUUGAUUCAUGUGUGAUUUUUUUUAAAAUGGACCUAAUUGAUUUAUUACUAGAAAGUCAUGUUACAUUUAAUCUCUAAUCUUAUCAUUAUUAUAGGUCUAAAUAGCUUACUUUCUAGAUUAUAGGAACUAAAUAAUAUGUCUAUAACACAAUAUUGCUACAUUAUAGAAACUAAAUAACAUCAAUGAUUUCCAAGCAAAAAAACGUGAUCUGGAAAUUCUGUUAUCAAUUUUUACUUCCAUAUCAUGUAUCAUCGUGUUUGAAAGAGACUGCAAGGAGCAUAAAUAUUUCUCGAGACUUCUACACCUAAUCAGAUACAUUUUUAAAACUAAACUGAUUUCACAUUGAUUUGUGUUUUGUAUAUAGUUCAUUUACAAAAUAUAAUUAAAUGUUUAAUUAAAUUCUUUAUAAAAUUUAUACACGAAGCUUUAAGUUUAGUUUUUGUUAACUUUCUUAUUUUGUGAAAUGUUUGAUUAUCUUUGGAGAUGAUAAUAUUUUAAUAUUUUCCAAAUUCUAUUUCUAUUUAUUUAUUCAAUAAUGAAAUACUAAUCCAACAAACAAAAAAAAAAUAUAAGAAGAAAUAAACACAUGUGAAAGUUUGAAACAAUCUAUUUGAUGGAGAACAAGUAUGCUCUAAUAUUAUUAUGUUUGAACAACCUUAAUAUACUCGAUAAUAUAAAUCUAUGAAGCUAAAAAUGUAAUUUUUUAAUAACUUGUGAAAGGUUGAAACAACCAAUUCAAUUUUAAAAAAUGAUAAAAUUAUUAUGUUUUAAAAAUUGAUAGACAUACCUUAUAUAUAUAUUAUAAUAUAUACCAAUUUAGAAUUGAAAACAAAAAUGUUUAUAUAAAAGUAAAUGAAAACAAACAUCCGCACGGUUACGCGGGUCGAGAUCUAGUUAUUAGUAUUAAAAAGAAUAAAAUCAGCAUUACUAAUUUGAAACAAUGUCGAGUGUUGAAUUAUAGGAGUACAAUCUCAAUCGGAAUUUUUGAUAGAAAUAAUUGGAUACAAAAAUUUUGGUAUACAAUAUUUUUUUGGCAUAUAUUACAAGUAUAUUUAAAAAAAAAAAUCAGUAAAAAGAUUGUAACCAUCCAAUUUUAAACGAGAGGAAUUUGCCAAAAACAACCCAAAUAUUCAUUUUAAACCUAAAAGUAGCACACAUAUUCAAUCAAAUGCAAAACCAACCUAAAAAAUGGUAAACUAUUAUUUAACCCUUAUGACCAAACAAAAAACUAGAAAAUUAUUUUACGAUUCUGUCGUUCAUGAGUCUACACGUAACAAAAAAAGUCUAAAUAUAUGUAGACUUUCAAAGAAAUCUACUUUGUAGACUUAUUUUGUAGUCUACAUCAUAAUUUGAUCUAAUAAAUUAAUUUUAAAAAUGUACAAAAAAUAUUUUUUGUAAAUUUUUUAAUUAAUCAUCAAUAUAAAGGUUAAUAUGAAGUUUAUUAAUUAAAUUUUAUAUAAUUUAACAAUUUAAAAGAAUAUAUAUUGAUUCGGUAACCAUGUGUUAGAUAAUUUUUAUGGUUUAUCAACAAAAUGUUCUAACAUGUUACAUUUUAAGGGUUAGAUUUUAGAUUGAGAUUUUUUUUGUUUUAUUAAUUUAAAUUUGCAUAUCAGUGUUGAGUACUUUAUGUUUUAUAUAAGUAUGAUUAGCGACUCGUGGGAGACCCACGGUGGGACGUCGUAAACUCCGAUUUCACUACGGCACACACUUCUUCGUCUCUUUCUCGUGGUUUUGUGCAUCCGCCGCAGAUCUUAACCGCGUGGUACAAUGUAUAUAUUUAUUAGACACAAAGUAUUACACAUCGGUAGUUGGAAGAGAUCCUACCUAAUAUAUAAGAUAGAUGAGUCAAUCCACUUAUUACCGAUUGGUUUUAGGUUGGAAGCCAUCAAACUUAACAUGGUAACAACAAAAAGUCGGCAUAAAUCAAGUUAUUCAAAAUCAUUUAACUUUCAGGUUAAUAAUUAGUCAUUUGACCGAAACUAAAAACAAAAUUUUCUACUGUAAAAUUAUAUCCAACAAAAUAACUUCUUACUGUUGUGAACGAAGGGUUUGAGACUGAAUAUUUCGUGUGUAUUAUUAAUCAUCAAAACGGGUUCCUUAUAUAAGGAUUACAAAAUAGAGAUAAAAGGAAAGAUGACAUCUAAUAGGAAAAAGGAAAGAUGGUUUCCUUUUCUCUCUAAGCCGCCUCUCUCUCUCUCCUGUAGUCGGCUCUCUCUCUCCUCUUGGACACGGCCGUGGUUGGGCCUGGUCGUGGCCUGAUAGGCCAUCUCUUCUUGUCUUGUUUAAUGGCAAUCCACAUUGUUCAUAACACUCCCCCUUGGAUGCCAUAACCAUACAGGAUUUGUAGUACGCUUAAUGUUGCCUCAUUAAAACCUUAUCAGGAAAACCCAGUGGGACAAAACCAUGAUGAAGGAAAAAGAGUACAACACGCACUACUCCCCCUGAUGUGAACCUCGGUGUAGGUUCUACAUACUACGCAUCUUGAUGCGUGAUCUAUCCUGUUUAUGAUUUUAUAUUUUAUAAAAUUAGGAAUCAUUUUGAGUUUUUAAUUUUAUUUUAAAAUUCUAUAUUUGGUCAAGAGAAAUUUAGAAAAUUACACAAUUAAUUUUUUAGUUUGGAAAAAUUAAAUGAUUUUUGAAAUUUUUUGUCACUAAACUUGUUCAGUAUUUUAUAAAAAUAUAUUUGAAUUUUUGGUAAAUGCUUUUAUAUUUUUCUCAACAAAUUUUGUUAUAAUUAAAAUAAAAAUUAAUUUAUAAGUAAAAUUAAUUUGUAAUUUAUUUUAAUUAAUUAUUAAAAAUUCAAAAAUUUUUAGUAACAAAUUUUGUAAAAAAUACAUGAACUAAGUGUUAGUUAUAUACUAUUAUAUUUUGUAUAUAAUUAUUUAUAGAUAAUAUAUUGCCGUGAAUUUCAAGAUAAAUAAAAUGAUAAUAUAUAAUCAUAGAUAUAAAAGUUAAAAAUAUGUUAAUAAUUUUAGUUUUUGUAUAAAAUAUUAUUUAGUUUAUGAAUUUUAACCCCUUUUUGGACGCUGAAUGAUGAUUUAUUAAAAUGAAACCGUUUAAAAAAAUCUGUUAUUCUACUAAUUAAAUGUAAUUCUUUCAUAUUUAAUUUAUAGAGCAUGUAUAUUUUAUAAAAUAAAAAAGAAUUUUUAUUUUGUGACAAUUUUUUUAAUUAUUAUUAAUUUUUAAUAAGAUUACAUUAAUAAUUAUGAAAUUAUAAUGUGUUAUUUUAUAAAGAAAUAUUAAAAAUUUUGGUACUAUUUUGUUAGAUUUCUCAACAAAUAUUGUUAUAACUAAAAAUGAAAUGUAAAUUUAUAAUUAAAAUUAAAAUUGAUUUAUUAUUAAUAUAUUUAUAGAUUAUUAAGAUUAAAUGCAUAUAAUAAAAUAUAUCACAUUAAGUAGUUAACUAAAUGAUCUUACCAUGACUUGUCAAUGUAGCUAAACUAGGACUAAAAAUUAAUAUAUUUGAUAUUUUGGAUGUUAUGGUAUUAUGUUUUCUGAUUUUUUUAUUAAAAUAAGAUUUCAAAAUAUUAUAUUACUUUUAUUUCUUACAGUAGAAUUUUUUUUUUGUGUUUUUUUUAAAAAAUAUAUAGAUAUUUUAGCAUCUAUGAUUUUAUCUUUUAUAAAUUUUGAAUAUUAUCAUUUUUAUUUUUUAAUUUUAUUUUUAAAAUUGUAUACUUGGUCAAGAGAAAUUUGGACAAUUACACACAAAUAUUUUUUAGUUUGAAAGAUUAUAUGAUUUUCGAAAUUUUUGUUACUAAAUUAAUUCUAUAUUUUAUAAAAAUAUAUUUGAAUUUUUGGUAAGAUUUUUUAUAUUUUUUUAACAGAUUGUUUUAUAAUUAAAGUAAACAUUUAAUUCAUAAGUAAAAAUUAAUUUCCAUUUAUAUUUUUAAUUAAUUAUCAGAAAUUCAAAAUUUUGUAGUAACAAAUUUUGUAAAAUAACACAUGAACUAAAGGUUAGUAUUUACUAUUAAAUUUUAUAUUAUUAUUUAUAGAUAAUAUAUUGCUGUGAGUUUCAAAAGAAAUAAAAUGAUAAUAUAUAGUUGUAGAUAUAAAAGUUUAACAUAUGUUAAUAAUCUUAGUUUUUUUUUGUAAAAUAUUACAUAGUUUACGAAAUUUUAACCCCUUUUUGAUGAUGCAUGAUAUUUAUUUAAAUGAAACUGCUUUAAUAAAGUCUGUCAAUCUACUAAUUAAAUAUAAUUUUGUCAUAUUUAAUUUAUAGAGCAUGUCUAUUUUAAUAUAAUAUAUACUACAAUUGUAAUAUUUUUACAUUAGUAAUUCUACAAUUAUAAUGUAUUAUUUUAUAAUGACAUAUUAAAAAUUUUGGUACGAUUUUGUUGGAUUUUUUUUCCAACAGAUUUUGUUAUAAUUAAAAAUAAAAUAUAAAUUUCUAAUUGAAAUUGGUUUAUUAUUAAUAUCUUUAUUGAUUAUUAAAAUUUAAUGUAGAUAAUCAAAUAUAUUACAUUAAAUAGUUAACUAAAUGAUUUUAUUAUGACUUAUUAAAAGUAGAUAAAAAUAUAGGACGUGAAUGCUUACUAAAGUUGCGCGUGAAUAAAACGUCCCUUGUGUUUUCUGUUAAUAGUUUGGUAUCUUUUUUUUUUUUUUGAAAGAAUGUAAAAUUUUAUUCGAUCAAAACUUUGUACAUCAGAUGCUACUUCUUUGAGUGUUUAAAUCAAAAAAUGGGCUCUACAAAUUAAUGAGAUUCUUCAUGCUAGUUGUGGUCUUGCCGAGAACCAAACCAAGCAGCUAACCCUUCUUCCAAAUACUGUUUUCCUUUACCCUUGACUGAUAACAGUCUGAGUCUAAUCAUCUAAUCAAUAGUGCUAUCCCCCAAGACCUCCUUAAGACAGCCAAACUUCGACCAGUUAUCAUACCAAAAGCUAGUAUCCUUCCCAUUUCGAACCUCAAUUUUGAGAAAUUGUUGAGCCAGGUCUCUUAGCUUUAGUAGCUUCCUCCAAAUCCAUGAUCCAGAGCUCGUGAUACACUUUACUGACCAGAAAGAUUCUUUUCGAAUCAGGUAGCAGUGAAGCCAUUUGACCCAUAGUGAUUCCUUUGAGAAUUUGAUUCUCCAUAUCAACUUUAAACACAUGACCGUGUUCAUCUCCUUCAAAGAUCGAACUCCCAAGCCUCCCUCUUUCUUCGAUAGGCAGACGUCUUUCCAGCACACUUUAGCCUUACUUGUUCUCAAGUCCGGGCCAGACCAUAGAAAAGCAGAGCAUAAGCUUUCUAUUUCUCUUAAACAGCUUCCCGGUAGCUUAAAAGCUUGCAUCCAAAAAUUUGCAAGGCUAGAGAUGACUGAUUUGAUGAGUUGCAGACGACCAGCAUAAGAGAGGAAUCUACCAGUCCAUGAGCUCAUACGCCUUCUAAUCUUCUCGACUAAUGGGAGAUAGUCAAGAACUGUCAUGCGCUUUGUAAGCAGAGGUAGGCCCAAAUAGCGUACAAGAAGCUGACCUGAUGCAAAAGGGAAGCUAUUCAUUAUUUCUUCUUCGUGAUUCUGAGCAGCUCCUGCAAUGUACAAGGUAGACUUCUCAAGACUAAUCCUCAACCCCGACAUUGUUGCGAAGUCCUCAAAGAUUUUUAGAACCCCCUCAAUAGAUCUCUUUGUCCCGUAAGUGAAUAUCAUUAAGUCGUCCGCAAAGCACAAAUGAGUUAACAAGAUGUUUUUACAGCGAGGAUGAUACCCAAAUAACUUCUUCUCUGCAGCUUUAUCAAGCAUUUGCGAUAGAACGUUGAUGCAUAUAACAAAGAGAUAGGGGGAUAAAGCACAGCCUUGACGCAGACCGCGUUUACUCUGGAAAAAGCCUACUAACUCGCCAUUAAUUUGAACAGAAAACGAAGCUGUGCAGACACACAACUCAACCCAGUGCACAAACUCCUCGGGAAUGUUCAUUGCACGCAGAGUAUUCAGUAGGAAACUCCAGUGCACGGAAUCAAAGGCCUUCGCGAUGUCUAUCUUUAAGGCACAUCGAGGAGAGACUUCAUCCUUGUGAUAAUCUUUCACGAUCUCUGUUGCGAGCAGCAGAUUUUCGACAAGAAGUCUGUCCUUCACAAACGCAGACUGAUUGGAGAGAUACAUUGAGGAAGCGUAGCUUUCAACCUGUUUACGAUGAUUUUAGAGAUCACCUUAUAAAGGACGUUGCAGCAUGAGAUGGGUCUGUAGUCUUUCAUCUCGAUGGCAGCAUCCUUCUUCGGAAUAAGAGCCAUAAUAGUUGCAUUCAAACCCUUCGGUAGAAACCCCUUCUGGAAGAAAGAUUGUAUUGCAACCGUUAGAUCCUUUCCAAUGAUACUCCACGAUGCCUUGAAGAAUUCCGUUGUAUAUCCGUGUGGACCAGGAGAUUUGUUGCUCGGCAUUUUGAGGAUCACAUCUCUGAUUUCUUCAUCCGUUACGAGCUUCGUGAGCGUUGCUCUUUCCUCAUUACUACAUCUGAACGGCAUAAUCUCUUGCAGCUCCUCAACGGUUUUAUCAUGUAUGUCCUGUGAUUGAUGCGAGAGGAACUCGCGAAAGAAUCUCUCAGCUUCUACUUUGAUCUCUUCCUGUGAAGUGACUACAUUUCCAGAGGAGCAUUUGAUCUCUCUGAUUGCAUUUUUAGUUUCUCUGAUCUUAGCUGCAUUGUGAAAAGCUCUGUUGUUCUGAUCACCUACUUGCAGCCAGUGUAACUUUGAUUUUUGUUUCAGAAGCUUCUCUUCUAUAUCCGAAACUCUUUGCCAUCUUUCAGCCGCCAUUCUCUCAGCUCUAAUGUUUUCUUGUGACUGAUCAAGAAAUAGUUUUUCCUGUUUCUCACAAAGGUCGAGGUAGGCUUCUUUCACUUUUCUCGUAAGAUCUCCCAAUCUUUUCCUACUUAGUGUUCUGAUUAGAGGUUUUAGGCCUUUGAGGGCCUUGGAGAAGCGGUACAAUGCUGAAGUGGAAACAAACAAAGGCGAGUGAUCCCUCUAGUGUUCACUGACAACAUCAAGAAACUCCGGCUCAUCCACCACGGCAUUUAUAAAUUUAAAAGGUUUCCUCUUUCCCAUUGCUUCAGGAUGGAGAUGAACUCGAACUCUUAGAUGAUCAGAGCACCCUCCUGCUUCAAACACUCCAUAGGCCUGAGUCCUUUGAUGCAGCCAUCUUUCAUUCACCAGAAUACGGUCGAGCUUCUUACAGAUUAUACCCUCAUCCCUCUUGUUACACCAUGUGAGCUUUGGCCCCUGAUAACCCAUAUCCACAAGUCUACAAAACUGGAUCACUUCCUCAAAAUCUUUCAUUCCUGAUGUUGAUAAUCCUGAGUUUUGGUAGCUCGAGUGUUCAUCGCUUUCAAGCAUCUCAUUAAAGUCACCCAUUAUAACCCAUUCUUUAUCCCUGAACAUAGGUGAGCUCUGGUGGGAUUUGAUGUGUUCCCAAAGCUCUUUUCUUCUUUCAGCAGUGUUUCCUGCAUACACAAAGGAGCACAAGAACUCCUCUUCCUCUCCCUCCAAAAGAACAGACAUCGUGAUGAUCUGAUCCGAUUUAAAAACUGGUGUCAUUCUGACCUGUGGACUCCAUAGCACCCAAAUCCUUCCCUUCCUACUGUAUUCAUAGUUAUUUACACACGACCAGCCUCGAAAAACCGAAUGAAAUACUAAUCCAACAAACAAUAAAAAUAUAUAAGAAGAAAUAAACACGUGUGAAAGUUUGAAACAAUCUAUUUGAUGGAGAACAAGUAUGCUCUAAUAUUAUUAUGUUUGAACAACCUUAAUAUACCCGAUAAUAUAAAUCUAUGAAGCUAAAAAUGUAAUUUUUUAAUAACUUGUGAAAGGUUGAAACAACCAAUUCAAUUUAAAAAAAUGGUAAAAUUAUUAUGUUUUAAAAAUUGAUAGACAUACCUUAUAUAUAUAUAUUAUAAUAUAUACCAAUUUAGAAUUAAAAACAAAAUGUUUAUAUAAAAGUAAAUGAAAACAAACAUCAGCACGGUUACGCGGAUCGAGAUCUAGUUAUUAGUAUUAAAAAGAAUAAAAUCAGCAUUACUAAUUUGAAACAAUGCCGAGUGUUGAAUUAUAGGAGUACAAUCUCAAUCGGAAUUUUUGAUAGAAAUAAUUAGAUACAAAAAUUUUGGUAUACAAUAUUUUUUGGCAUAUAUUACCAGUAUAUUUUUUAAAAAAAAUCAGUAAAAAUAUUGUAACCAUCCAAUUUUAAACGAGAGGAAUUUGCCAAAAACAACCCAAAUAUUCAUUUUAAACCUAAAAGUAGUACACAUAUUCAAUCAAAUGCAAAACCAACCUAAAAAAUGGUAAACUAUUAUUUAACCCUUAUGACCAAACAAAAAACUAGAAAAUUAUUUUACGAUUCUGUCGUUCAUGAGUCUACACGUAACAAAAAAGUCUAAAUAUAUGUAGACUUUCAAAGAAAUCUACUUUGUAGACUUAUUUUGUAGUCUACAUCAUAAUUUGAUCUAAUAAAUUAAUUUUAAAAAUGUACAAAAAAUAUUUUUUGUAAAUUUUUUAAUUAAUCAUCAAUAUAAAGGUUAAUAUGAAGUUUAUUAAUUAAAUUUUAUAUAAUUUAACAAUUUAAAAGAAUAUAUAUUGAUUCGGUAACCAUGUGUUAGAUAAUUUUUAUGGUUUAGCAACAAAAUGUUCUAACAUGUUAUGUCUUUAAGGGUUAGAUUUUAGAUUAAGAUUUUUUUUGUUUUAUUAAUUUAAAUUUGCAUAUCAGUGUUGAGUAGUUUAUAUUUUGUAUAAGUAUAAUUAGCGACUCGUGGGAGACCCAUGGUGGGACGUCGUAAACUCCGAUUUCACUACGGCACACACUUCUUCGUCUCUUCCUCGUGGUUUUGUGCAUCCGCCGCAGAUCUUAACCGCGUGGUACAAUGUAUAUAUUUAUUAGACACAAAGUAUUACACAUCGAUAGUUGGAAGAGAUCCUAACUAAUAUAUAAGAUAGAUGAGUCAAUCCACUUAUUACCGAUUGGUUUUAGGUUGGAAUCCUUCAAACUUAACAUGGUAACAACAAAAAGUCGGCAUAAAUCAAGUUAUUCAAAAUCAUUUAACUUUCAGGUUAAUAAUUAGUCAUUUGACCGAAACUAAAAACAAAAUUUUCUACUGUAAAAUUAUAUCCAACAAAAUAACUUCUUACUGUUGUGAACGAAGGGUUUGAGACUGAAUAUUUCGUGUGUAUUAUUAAUCAUCAAAACGGGUUCCUUAUAUAAGGAUUACAAAAUAGAGAUAAAAGGAAAGAUGACAUCUAAUAGGAAAAAGGAAAGAUGGUUUUCUUUUCUCUCUAAGCCGCCUCUCUCUCUCUCCUGUAGUCGGCUCUCUCUCUCCUCUUGGACACGGCCGUGGUUGGGCCUGGUCGUGGCCUGAUAUACCAUCUCUUCUUGUCUUGUUUAAUGGCAAUUCACAUUGUUCAUAAUUCUUACAAGAAUUUUGCAAUGUUUCUGAAUUUUUUAAGGGAUAAAUAGAAAACUGAAAGCGUAAGAGCAUCCGUAUUAGAAUAAUAUCUUCAUGGUUGAAAAAAAAAAAAGAUUAAUAUCUUCAUGAGUCUUUACAAAAAAAAAAGAUAAGGAAAAAGAAAAGAGACGGAGUAAAAUGAGUUCUUCAUUUGAAACACUAUAGUUUUUCUAUGAUAAACUUCUAGCACACGUAUCUUAUAUCCACUAUAACGACCAAUGUUUUUUUAAUGUUAGAAUUAUUUUACGGAAACUCUGCGAUGCUCUGAUAUGAUAUAUUUAUCUUGGUCAAAUUUAAAGCAGCAGGUACUAAAUUGUCGGAUUCAGGAGUUACCAUAUUUAAUUAUGGUUUUCCAAUGAACUGACUGAUGAGAUAAGUUUGUUGCAAACCAUAUUUAAUUAUGGUUUUCCAAUGAACUGACUGAGAUAAGUUUGUUGCAAACCAAGUUAUCAAUCACCAUCUUCAAUUUCAAUGUAGAGAAUGGACGCUCAAUGUGCCGUCUAUUGUUACGCUCUCGACUGAAACCUAAUGUAUAAACUAUGAGAUGUGAAUGAUAGAGAAGACAGAACUGAUAGGGCCUGUGCCGUCUAUUGUUACGCUCUCGACUGAAACCUAAUGUAUAAACUAUGAGAUGUGAAUGAUAGAGAAGACAGAACUGAUAGGGCCUUGAGUGUCCCAUGAGAUAAUAACGUGACGUCUUUGCCCACAUGUGCUUACUCGUUACAACCACUUCUCUUAGUUAAGUGGUCCAACAAAUUUGCUCGUCAUUUCUCACGGAAGACAGAAACAAAACGAUCUAAUAUAAGAUGUACCCAUGUCUAAAAAAAUGAAUAUUUAAAUAUUAUUUUUCCAGGAUAAAUUCUCUCAACUAACAUAAGUUUUUAAUUUAUUUAUUCUUAAAUCAGUUAUUAUCAAUAAGCCACAUUGUUAAGACAAUCAUCCGAGAUAUCUACUUUCUCUUCUUUUCCUCACAUUCUCUCUAACAUUCAAAGACAAUUUUUUUUUUGUUAAUUACCGUAAAGUAUGUGUGACAUUUUAGAGUAUAAGUUUAGUAAUAUAUGACCUUAAAUCUUAGUUUUGACAGUGUACAAUUUUUCUUCUCAAACCAAAUGUAUUAUCAGAGGAACCGUGUGACUAAAGUUUAAAGGUAUGUUUUUUUUGUCAAACUAUGUUUAAAGGUAUGUUUAUGUUAGUAACAUGCAGAGCCGUGCGAACACUUGUGACUAACAGAAGUGUGGUUAGAAUAAAAAAAAAAUUUAAAUUAUAGUUACAAAAUACUACUGUUACAUAGCAAAUUUUUUUAAAAAACAUCAACAAUUAAAAUGUUCAUUUUAAAUUCCUAAAUAUAAAAUUUUCAUUUCUGUAAAAUUAAUACAAAAAUUCAAAUGUUUUUGAAUCAUUUUUAGUGCAAAAAUUAACCAAAAUUACUUAAUCUUUUUCUCUAUCUUAAGUUUUAUAAGAUUAACAAUUUUUUAUUUAUUUAUUUUGGUUAUUUCACUAUUAAAACUAGGAGAGUGUCAUUAGGUAGCCAUUGGAACAUUAUAACCAUAACAAUCGACAUCUAUGAUUCUCUUCAUAUAGUCUGUAUUAAGCUUACCCAAAUUACUGACAUAACCCACAUAUAUAUAUAUAUAUUUUCUAUUAUGUAGGAUUAAAACAAUAAAAUUAAUAAAAGAUAUGAUUUAAUCAAAAUAAUAACUAAUGAAAGUUGUCCUGAUGAACUAAGAAAAGAUGCCCUAUUAAUUUCUUAAAAAACUGAUGCCCUAAGCGAAAGCUUCAUUUUUAACAAUGGAGGCGUGGCUCUGGUAACAUGUGAGCUUGGAUUAUUAUUUUAACAGUGGGAAUUUUAUCUCUUUCUUAAAAUCAAUUAUUUUGAUAUCCAAUUUAUUUUAAGAAAAAUCUAAAUCAAUUUUGCACGUUUUCCAUCUUAUUUGUUUGUUUUAUAAAAAAAUUAUGAUUGUUAUGCUUUUAAUUUUUUUUAUCUCAUAUCAGAUUUGAAUAUCCAUAGGAUAUUUCUUACUUUUAUGGAUAUUAAAUUUUGGAUAUCCAAAAAAAUUGAUCUGGAUCUGGUAAUCAAACUGAAGAUCCAAUAAAAUUAGAGAUGGGUAUUGGAAGUUUUUUGAAUAUUCGAAAUGUUUCUAUUCCUAAGCCAUCAAAGAUAGCGUAAUUUAAAUAUCUUGUAUACCAAAACUUUAAUAGAAUUAAUCCCAAAUAAAAACUUAUGUUAAAUAUGGACAAUAAAAAUGUGUAUAACGAAAACUAUAGAUACGCGACUUUGCAAUCUAUAAGAGAAGCAUAUAUUAGUUUCUUUUGUCAACGAUAUAUUCAUAGUUAGAUGAAUAGUUAUGAUUUGAUCUACGUGGAGAGUCGGUCCUUAGUAGAAGCUGCUAGCUGAAGCAUGCUGUGCGCAUGGGCUUGGAGCCAAUAGGUUAUCAAUAGAUUUCAGCCGAUUUCUAUGUGGAAUAUGAGACACUGUUCAUAAAUAUACUAGAAGUUGAUCCGUACAUUCGUGUGAAUAUUUUUUAUUUUAUAAAUAUAUAAUUUCGAUGUUGUCAUAGAAGUUUUAAAUCAUAUAUAAUUUACAUUUAGUGCUAUACAUUGUAGUGAUCUGUUAUUUUUUGUCAUAGAGUGAUUUGUUUUACACAUUUCAUAUUCUUAUUAAUUGUUAUUACUUAUUAAUAUAUUUUUGAGUUUGAUACAUAAAUUAUAAUCUGAAAAAUCAAAUAUAUAAUCUCCUUUGAUAUAUCAUUUUGAUUUAUAUAAUAUGCAUACAAUACAUUUUAAAAUUUAUUUUAGUUAUAAAGUAGAGGGAUAUUUGUUUAUGAUAAUUUAUAUUUCCAUGUUGUGUUUACAAAAUAAUACUUUAACAUCUAUCAAUUUAGUAUUUUACGAUAUUUUAUAAGUAAAUACACUGUUAUGUUUAAAUAAUAUAGCUCUAUUUAUUUUAGUAAACUGUAUAAAUAGCAGUAUCUAUCAUAUUAUUUUAAUAAAUGUUAUCAAUAUAUGAUAUUUUUGGAUGUUAUGGUAUUAAGUUUUCUGAUUUUUUAUUAUUAAAUUAAUAUUUCAAAAUAUUCUAUUACUUUUCAUUUUUACAACAUNNNNNNNNNNNNNNNNNNNNNNNNNNNNNNNNNNUUCAAUGGACCACUUUUCUUUGGGUGUAUAUAAUGCCUUAUAGGCAAAUGCCUUAGCCAUAGUUUCCUACUAGGCUUUCUAUACCAUUCAUGAUUUCUUACUUGGUUUUAUGCCCUUUAGGCAACUCUUUAAAACAUUCAUAUGUUUAAGUAAGAUCAGGCAAGAUUUAAUAAACUUAAAACCAAUUCCAUAUAAAUCGUGAAUGAUCCUUAGGUUAAAGUAAACACGAAUGCAAUCAUAAAGCAAUAAGACUAAUCGUAUCGAAAUUUGGUCCUUUUGAAAAUCAGAUCAGUAUAAGUGGCGAAGCCUUUUAUUCUAUACUGUUGUUACAGUAUGACUUUCGACACGUGGAAUGUGGAAUAGGAUUUCUCUAGUAACUCUUCCUUGGUUACUACUUCACCACAAAGUCUCAGCAUCGAGACUGUCUUAAACAAGACUGAGUUGUACUCAUCCAUGACUUUGUAAUCCAAUAAUCUUAGAUUCUUCUAGUCAUUUCUAGCCUUUGGAAGCAACACCGUUUUUUGGUGGUAAUUUCUAUGCUGUAAAGCAUCCCAAAAGUCUAGUGGAUUUUCUAUAGUGAUGUACUGAUCUUUUAGACCUUCAGUGAGAUGAUGGAAUAUAAUGCUUAUAGCCCUGUACCGUUUCAUUCUCAUUGUUGUCCUUGGUGAUUGUAUCACCAAGUCCCUUUUCGAUAUCUGAGUCACAUUGUCAUUUAAAAUUUAGGUUCACAAUGUGAUCAUGUGGCCGCAUGGUAUUUAUCAAGCUCGGCCACAAACAAGUCUUACGCAUCUAUGAAAACAAUCGAUCAUGGUGCCAAUUAGGUCACACGGCCAUGUUAGUGUGAUACAACAAUCCUAGAGAUUGGUUCAUGAUACAAUCCGGUUUAUAUAUCAAUCCGGAUAUAAGGCCAUACGGCUUUGCCUUAGACUUUCACGAUUAUUAUGUGAUACAACGAUCUUAAGGAUCGGAUCAUGAUGCAGUCCGGGUCAUAUGACUAUCCGGAUGCUAGGCCACACGGCCUCUUAGAUGUACACUAAGCCACACGGCUUUUAAUCAAUCAAGGGCACAAGGCCGCAAGUGUGUACAAUGUAUUAGGCCAUACGGCUAUAUACAAUAGGGGAUUAUUAAUCUAAAUGUAUUUAAUCCUAUUGCAUAGUUGCAUCUCUAUUAGGUUUACUAAUUUCAAGGUUUGGUAAUAUUCAACUAGAUUUUAGUAUCAAGUAAUCUAGCAACCUAACUCUCAUUUAUGCAAGCAACCUUAAUCAAUUGGAUUCUACUUUAUAAAAUAUAGGGUUUUAAUUUAAACUUUAGUAGAAAUCGAUUUAGCAAAAUAAGAUUAAGGUUUCAAGGCCUUUAGAAUUUUAAAAUCGAGAUUAGGGUUUUAAAACAUUCAAGUGACCGAUUAAGGGUUUCAAGGCCUUAGGAUCUUUAACUUCGAAAUUAGGGUUUCAGUUUAAACAAGAUUCAGAUUCAAGUUUUGAAACAAUCCUAAUUACAGCUCUAGGCGAUCAAUCAAACACUCAAGUUUCAAAUCAAAAUUAAAACCGAUUUUCCAAAAUUANNNNNNNNNNNNNNNNNNNNNNNNNNNNNNNNNNNNNNNNNNNNNNNNNNNNNNNNNNNNNNNNNNNNNNNNNNNNNNNNNNNNNNNNNNNNNNNNNNNNNNNNNNNNNNNNNNNNNNNNNNNNNNNNNNNNNNNNNNNNNNNNNNNNNNNNNNNNNNNNNNNNNNNNNNNNNNNNNNNNNNNNNNNNNNNNNNNNNNNNNNNNNNNNNNNNNNNNNNNNNNNNNNNNNNNNNNNNNNNNNNNNNNNNNNNNNNNNNNNNNNNNNNNNNNNNNNNNNNNNNNNNNNNNNNNNNNNNNNNNNNNNNNNNNNNNNNNNNNNNNNNNNNNNNNNNNNNNNNNNNNNNNNNNNNNNNNNNNNNNNNNNNNNNNNNNNNNNNNNNNNNNNNNNNNNNNNNNNNNNNNNNNNNNNNNNNNNNNNNNNNNNNNNNNNNNNNNNNNNNNNNNNNNNNNNNNNNNNNNNNNNNNNNNNNNNNNNNNNNNNNNNNNNNNNNNNNNNNNNNNNNNNNNNNNNNNNNNNNNNNNNNNNNNNNNNNNNNNNNNNNNNNNNNNNNNNNNNNNNNNNNNNNNNNNNNNNNNNNNNNNNNNNNNNNNNNNNNNNNNNNGAUUCGUCUCGUCAAGAGCUUCAAUUUGAUAUGUGGCUCGUCGUCUGGUUCGUCGGGGUUGGAGAGAUCGAUCGAUUUGAAGUUCCGCCUGAUUUAGGGUUUAUGUGUGACGGAUUUUGGUUUAUGGUUUUGUCUCAGGGUAUGGAGACUAUCGUGCUGAUAACGUGUUGUAAAAGAAGGGUUUGAGACUGAAUAUUUCGUGUGUAAUUCUUUCUGUAUAUUAUUAAUGAACAAAGGGGGUUCCUUAUAUAAGGAUUACAAGAUAGAGAUAAAUGGAAAGAGUACUUAUCCUAAUCCUACAUGAAAUAGGAAAUCUACUAAUACAUGGAAAAGGAAACUAUCUAUAUCCUAAGUUGGCCAAGGCUUUGGCCGACUCUCUCUCCUCCUUGCUGUCGGUUCUCUCUCUCCUUAAGUCGGCUAGGAUGUGGCCGACUCUCUCUCUCUUGGACGCGGCCGUGGCUGGGCCUGGUCGUGGCCUGAUGGGCCUUCUCUUCUUGUCUUGGUUAAUGGCAAUCCACACAUGUUUUAUAACAAUAUUUGAUAUCUUACAUUUAUACACCACACAAUUAUUUAGCUAACAUCUUACAUUACAUACUACAUAUAAUUAAUGUUGACUCUCUUAGAGUAUCUUUAAUUCAUUUCUACAUUUGUCUUUAUAAUAGCAUCUAGAAGUAAAUCUAAAACGUUAUUUUAUUUUUUCUUAAAAAAUAGAGAUUGCUAUGAUUGCUAUUUUUAAUUUUAUAAUUAAAAUUUGAUUUUCUAAAGUAAUACAUUUGGCUGCUUCAUCCGUCGUUUACAGCGGCCAAGCUAACGACGUCGACGUGAGGAAGAGUAUUAUUUCAUAUUUUAGGACACAUUCAUUUCUUUAUUUGUUUGUAGUUUCCUUAAUUAAGUUAUACUACUAUGAUCUUGAGAUCGCCCAUUGAUGGUGGAGUCGUGUAUGAAGAGAAUAUCUAUGGUGUGACUAGUAAUCAUCAAGGAAUAUUAGGAAUGAUUAGGAAAAGAAUGAAUAGGAAUAAAAUUUUGGGAACGAUGAGAAACGAGGGUUCCUUAUUAAAAUUAACAAGUAACAAAUUUGCAUUAUAAUUUUCUACAAAAAAGGGAAUGAGAAGAAAUGAAGAGGAAAAAAUAUUCUUCACAAAUGGUAAUAUUUUUGAAGAACAUUAAUGAAUGCAGUGUUCCUCUUCGUUUCCUUGGAUACCAUUCCCAUGGUAACAUUAAUGAUUUUCUUUUACAUAAUCAUUUUAAUGAUUUACGUAUCACUCGCAACAGGAUAUUUUUAAGCCAAAAAAGGAGGAUUCGUAACUGUUAUUACGUUACAUAUGUUCAGUAUAAUUUCUCAAUAUUUAAGUCAGUGCUGAAAAGUAUAGUUUAUUACCCUUUGUUACCGUGACUUUUGGGGGUUAUACUUGUGUGCCCGAUAUUUUCAAUAAUUUACCCCUAUACCCAAAACUUAAUAUUAUUAGUUAUGUACCCAAAACUCUGUAGUUUUUACAUAUGCUCCCGUAUCUUUCUUAUACUCAAAACGAGACGGAAGAAACUAAAACAAAAAAAAUGAAAGCUUUCUCUGUGUUAUCCAUUUCUGUGGUCAUCGUUUUGGCAACAAGUCACAUUGAUGCUUUCACAAGAGACGAUUUUCCAGAGGAUUUCCUCUUCGGAGCUGCCACGUCUGCUUAUCAGGUUCCACUCUUUUUCUGUGAUCUUUCCUUUUUUUUUUUGCUAUUGGAAAAAGGGAAGUGUUAGAAGAUGGUGAAACUACAAACAUCAAGUUGUUUUAUAAGGUUUUGCCUUUUCUUGUUUUGAACUGUGUGGGGAGAUAUAGUGGGAAGGAGCUGUUGAUGAGGAUGGAAGAACUCCUAGCGUUUGGGAUACUUUCUCACCCUUUGGUAAGAAAAAAAAAAAGAGAGAGAUGUUCAUAUAUUUUUGACCAAAAAAAAAGAGUAUGCCAUAGUCAUAUCAGCUUACCAUGUGGUUCCAUUUCAUUGGCAUUUAAAAAAAAAAAAAUAUUGAGUGAGUCGUUUCUUAUCUGAGAACCUUUUGAUUAGAUUCAUAGAUCAUGGUUGAGUAUGUUUUCUUGCAGAUAACAUGGACAAUGGAGAUAUAGCAUGUGAUGGAUAUCACAAAUACAAGGUGCUUUUUUUUUUCUUCUCUUCUUUGUUUUGCUCUGUUCUUGUUUUAUAAGCCUCUAGCUUAGCUUUGUUUUCUUAUGCUCUAUUGUUAUUGUGGGCUUUUGCAGGAAGAUGUUAAGAUAAUGGCAGAAAUGGGAUUAGAAGCAUUCAGAUUAUCUAUCUCAUGGUCAAGGCUUAUACCUAGUAACACCUCCUCUUCUGGUUUCUUGACUUGCAAGUUUAAAACCCCUUUUCACUCUUAAACCAUAUUUUGUGUGACUGUUGUGGUUUCUCAGAUGGAAGAGGACACAUCAACCCAAAAGGUCUACUGUUUUACAAGAACCUCAUCAAAGAACUACUAACCCAUGGUGAGAUUGUUUUUCCUUAAUAAUCGCAAUUAAUUAAAGCUAAUCUCAUUCCUUUUGAUAUUUGUUUUUGGGAAACAGGAAUAAAACCACACGUUACACUAUACCACUAUGAUCUCCCUCAGGCUCUUGAAGAUGAGUAUGGAGGAUGGAUCAACCGCAAAAUCAUGUAUAUAAUAAUUCUGUUCUAAUAUUUUUGUUUUUAAUGAUGAACUGAAGAAGAAAAAAAAAGAUUGUUGGUUGCAGAGAGGACUUCACUGCUUUUGCAGAUGUUUGCUUCAGAGCGUUUGGUGAAGAUGUGAAGCUAUGGACUACAAUUAACGAAGCUAACAUAUUCGCCAUUGGAGCUUACAGCGAAGGAACAUUGCCGCCAGGACAUUGUUCUAAUUCCAAAUACGUCAAUUGCUCCACUGGAAACUCUUCAACUGAACCAUAUAUUGCAGGCCAUAACAUAUUGCUAGCUCAUGCCUCUGCCUCAAACUUAUAUAGACUCAAGUACAAGGUACACACAUAUACAUAGGUCUAUUCUUAGGCUUUUGAAUCCUUAUGAACAUAAUAAUAUGAUGGUGCAGAGUAAGCAGAGAGGAUCCAUAGGCCUUUGCAUAUAUACAUAUGGGUUAUUUCCUUAUACUAGCUCCAAGGAAGAUGAGAUAGCAACUCAGAGAGCUAAAGAUUUCUACUUUGGCUGGUGAGGAUGAUAUUUUUUUUUUCUUUGUUUCAGUGACGUUGAGGACAAAAUCUGAAUAUGAUAUAUAAUACAGGUUGCUAAAGCCUUUGGUGUUUGGUGACUAUCCGGAUGUGAUGAAGAGAGUGGUGGGAUCUAGGUUACCUGUUUUCUCAGAGGAAGAGUCAGAGCAAGUUAGAGGAUCAUCUGACUUUGUAGGAGUUAUCCAUUACACGACACUGUAUGUCACAGAGAGUAGACCCACGCCUUCUAUCCUUCCUAGGAACCAAAGUUUUUCCACAGACAUGGGUGUAGAGACUAUCUGUAAGCUUUACUUGCUUUUCAAGUAUUAAGUGUCUUAUCCACUCUUAAAGCUUAUAAAUGUCCUUCUUGUGGACAGCCAUUGGGAACUCUGUUCCAUGGGGUUUUGAAGGUGUCUUGGAGUAUUUGAAACAGAGCUUCAACAAUCCUCCUAUCUACAUUCUUGAAAAUGGUCACUCUCUUUACUCUGUCUUUUGGCUCUGUUUUGUUUGCUUUGAAAGCAAUCCUUCUUCUUGUUCUUAAGAUUGCUUCCAGUUGCCAACAGGUUUAGCUACGAAACAUGAUUCGACGCUGCAAGAUACAUCAAGAGUUGAAUACAUUCAAGGUUACAUUGGUGCUAUGUUGAACGCCAUCAGGUAUGAUUGGUAUAAAUGGUUUAACUCUGGCUGACUGAGUAACUCUGAAGAAUCUUUUUGAAUGAUUUAGGAAUGGAUCGGACACGAGAGGUUACUUUUAUUGGUCGAUGAUAGACUUGUACGAGCUAUUGGCUGGAUACAGGCUCAGCUUUGGAUUGUACUAUGUGAAUUUCAGUGAUGCUGGUCUCAAGAGGUCUCCAAAACUCUCCGCUUCUUGGUACUCUGGUUUUCUCAAUGGUACAGUUGAUGUUGCUCCUCGGGAUAUUACUCAGCUGCAGAGCCACUCUUCUGGUUUGUCAUCUUUGUGAUGUUAGUUACCUAUAUAUCUAAAGAUUCUGGUUAACAACACUCAAACACAACCACAUAAGCUUCCCCCCGGAAGGAAAAUAAUGUUUACAUAUUGUUCAAAUAAGCAAAAGCGCAUCUGGUGUAGUGGUAUCAUAGUACCCUCCCACGAUACUGACCAGGGUUCGAUUCCCUGGAUGCGCAUUUUUUUUUGUCUAUUUAACCUUUUUUUUCACAAUAGAAAUCCUUUCUCUUAAGUUCCUAGGUUGUUAAAAGCUUUUGGGUGUUUGGAUUCAAAGCUUACGUUGGAGUUUUGCUCAAAGCUAUUGUUUUUCAAUGAUUUCUUAAAUCUAUUAAAAAUAUGGACUAAAAAUAUCAGUCAGUAACCGGAUAGGUAAAGAUGUUUGGUUUGGUUAUGGAUGUUUCUCAAUAUAGGUUUGUAUAAAAAUAAAACAGUAACGAUUUCAUUAGAAAACUCUUAUUUUAAACAAAUAACUCUCAGAAUCAAGGUAUUUAUUUGUUUUUAAAUUCACCAAAUUUAUUUGUAAAAUGUAAACGCAAACAUACAUAGUUUCUUUCUCUUUUUUUUUUGUAUUGCGUUUACAUUUACAAAUAACUUUUGAUUACAAAGAUAAAACCGUGAAGACAAUAGUAAAUGCAAAAGAAAAACAACAACCACCUUAUCAGAGAAACAUAAAGACAAGAUGUAGAGAGAAUCUUUGGAUCAGUUCGUUGCCGGAGCAACGGUCAAGCCAGGUGAGACUUUAAGGAAAGCCGGACGAGAACAAAGGUCUUCCCACCACGCCUUGACUUUAGGACGGUCGUUGACCAAACCAGCAUGACACGUCUUCAUGAAGUAGUAAGUGUAAGGAACGUGGUGGAGAUCCGCGAGUGUGUAAGAAUCUCCGGCCAAGUAUUUUGUCUUCCCGAGCUUCUCUUCGUACACAUCGAGCACUUUCCCUAACUUCUCCAGAUUCUCCUCCACGAUGGCUGCAUCAGGAGUCUUGCCUUGAAGCGGCACAACUAUAAGCUGGUGGAUGACGGCGGAGAUCGCGGGGUUGAAGUGGUGGGACUCCACUUCCGACCACAGCUUCACAAUGGCUGGUUCUUUAGCGUCUGCAUGUCUCGUCAGAUCCGUUCCUUUGUCCUUGUGUUUCUCUGCUAUAUAUGCCGUGAUUGCCCUCGACUCUGUUUUUAGUUAUAAUAUAAUCAAAAAAAAAUUAAAAGCAUCAUUAAAGAAGUAUAAUCAGCCUGAGCAUAAUAUCGAUUGAUACGAACCAAAAAGGGUAAGGUCGUCGUCUUGUAGAACUGGAACUUGGCCAAAGGGCUGCAUCAAGAAGAAGAGAUGUGAUUAGAUACAUCAUAUAAAUAAUACAUAUGCGCAUAAUAGUAUUGUGUUCAUGAGUAAGCGUACGUUCAUGGAGAGGAAAGAAGGGAGCUUGUGGUGGCAAGCAAAGAGAUCGACGGGGACAAGCUCGAACUCAGUCUCCUUCUCGUGAAGGCAUAGAAGCACACGUGCCACGCACACUGACAUCCCAUUUCCAUAUACCUUCAUCGCCAUUUCACUCUAACUUCGUAACUCGGAAGAGAGAGUGAGUCAGAGACUGAGCUGUGAUCUCAUUUUGCUACUGCAUAUAUAUAUAUAACAUAUGCUUUUGUCCUGUACAACCAAGCCAAGAUGAACAUGGUCCUACUGUUUCUUGGACUUUUAACAACUAUAUAGAAAUAUGAAAUCUAACAAUUAGGUUACGCAAGCAGUCGAAUCUUUGCAGUUCUUUCAGAGACUGGUCGUUGAAAUUUGACAGUUUGAAAUAGGAUUCCUUUUCCUCGUGCCUCGAAACUCGUUAUACGAUAUUUUUUUUUACCUGCCAUCGUUACUAUGCGCAUGAGGAUCCGUGAGCGUUCACGUGGCACUCAGCUGCUAGCUCACGUGGUCUCUCGUCCUUUGACCGGAACAAUGUUGACUGAACUGUUCUUACACAACAAAACAAGUUGGUUUAGUGGAAUGUCUAGGGAAGACACAAAUUGAAGAGCCCCGAGUCUGUUUUGGGUAGCGAUAAAAGGUUUUUGGAAAUUAUAAGAACCAUUCGUAAUUAUUAUACACACAAACUAUAUACAUUAACACCAUUGCACCAACUCUCACCACUCAAGUAGAGCAGAGAUAAAAGAUUGAAGGAACUUAAGAGAAUAGAUUGCAUCUAGAAAACAGAAGGAGGUUUUAGACAGUUGUGAUACUCAAGCUGAGACAUUUCUCCCCCAUUCACCGGAUCAAACUGGCAUCUGUAGAAGCUGUUCAAACACAACAAAGAAUAUAAUUCAGGCUCGUCAAAUCACAUUGCACUAAGAGUUGACAAGUUUUUUUCUUCUUACCUCCCAUCCAUGCCAAGAAUAACAACAGUGUUCUUCUGGUGACCAAAGGCGACUAUGUAUUGAGUUCCUUCAACCAACCGGAACUGAGCCACCGACCACUCCGAGCUGAAAUACUUGGGCAACACUCCUAAUAGAGCAAAAGGACUUAUGAUUACUGAACCAAGAGACUGCUAAAUGGUGAAAGUAGCUGGUAAUUAUAUAUACCUUUGAAUAACGACAGAGACGAGGAUGGAGAUGAGGAAGUACGAGUAAGAUCAGAUGCAAUUCUGGGUGUAUCUUUCACCUGAGCACCGGAGUUGCCUUUGAGGCCAAAGACAUGGACGGUUCCUUUGUCACUUGAGACAGCUAGCCACUGAGCAUUUGAAGAGAAAGCCAGACUAUAAAUCUCUGCUCUAUCUGCACCCCUCCUAACCUGUACAUUCACAUACACACGUCUUGCCAUUACUGAACCCAUGGACUCCAAACUCGCAAAAUAUUAUUACUAUAAAGGAUCAAAACUACAUUUGAGAUUUCCUAACAUAAUAACAUAAUAGUUCAUUCAUCCUCAAGACAGUGACUACUAAACCACCAAAUCAGCUAAAAGAGAAAGGCUUUCGAUGACUAGUUACCUCUUGUCGCAAGGUGCCAUCAACAGUAUUAAAGAUCCGAACCAGAGUCCCCUUAGAGCUAGCCGUCGCCAACAGAUGCCCAUCCUGCGUGAGAGCGAAGCAAGCAAUCCUGGAAUCAUGAGCCAUAACGAACUUAGUCCGCUUGGAAGCAUAAUGCUCGAUCCUCACUUGGCCUUUCUGCAAACCAGGGCACACCAACACCAUAGAGCCAGCCCCCUGAGAGACAGCGCACAGGCCCUUAGGGUUCGCAAUGGUCUCAAUCUGAUGCAUGAGCUUGAGGUCCGCGAAGUUGUAGACGAAGAUCUUCUGCUCGAGGACGACGAUGAUCCGAUCCCUCCUCAGCCUAACGGAUCGAACAUCGGACCUGAAGGAGAGCUCGCCGAUGCACCGGCUCUGGUGAUCGUCCCAGAUCAUGACCUUGUUCGGCGGAUACUGCGGGUCAGGCCCGCCGCCGACGAGCGCUAGGAUGUUGCAUCUCCACCACGGCGACUCCGCCGCCGCGAUCGAAAUCGCGCCGGAAGAUUUCGCGGAAGGGGUCGCAGUUGAGGAUCCGGAAGCCGCGGUCGGUGCCGACGGCGAAGCAGGCGUGGUCCUGGUUGAAGGAGAGGUGGAGCAGCGACGGAGGAGGAGUCGCCGGUGUUUGAUCGGAGUUGUGGGUAGCCUCUUCGGAGUUGAGGCUCAUGGAGGAGAAGGAAUCGAGAGACUCGGUGUCGUCUCCAGGGUCGCGGUGCUGAGAGGGAACAGUAGAGUCGGAAUCGAUUGGCCAGGGAGAAGCGGAGGAGACGGUGGCCAUGGAAUCUAUAGAAAUGAAUCUAUAUAGAGAGAAUAAUGAAGUUUGCUUGUUUGCCGUCGUCUCUUUCAGCCGGCUACUCACCUUCUUAUCAAAGAUAUCCAUUUUGGGAUAAAACUCGAUUAUUAUUAUAUUACAGAAAAAUUAUUCCUGGUUUUUUUUUGUUACAGUUCGUAAUUUUUAUCUAUCUGAGAAUAAUACAGAGUUUUUUUUUCUAUUUCAAGUUCAUAUCAACUCCUUAUAUAAAUCAGUAGUUUUAUAUAGCUAACAAUGCUGUUAAGACUCCAGAAAUGUAUAGUUACAUCUUACAAAUGUAUAUUAUUUUCUUACAAAGCUGAAUGUUUUAUUGUGCUUAAUUUUCUUUAUCUAGAAGGAUAUGAUAUUAGAUAUGUUCUGUUUUAUUUGUUACCAGUAUAAAUUGUAACAUUCUUAUCUAAUUUUUAUUAGAUUGUUUUCAUAUUGAUUUGAAAUUAGUUUCUUUAAAUUUAAAUUUUGUAUGACCAAUAUAUUCAAGAUUUUCAAUGAUAAUAAAAUCAACAACAAGCAAACAAUAUAUUUUCUGUUUGAAAAAUAAAUAGAAAGUGAAUAGAAAAAAGAAAGAAGUAAACGUCUACAAAUCUCCUUAUCAACGACUUUUCACCGACGAGUUGACCCGUUAAAAUCGGUAAGGAUUCAUCGGUGGGUAUAGCGCCGGUUGUGUCUGCGGCGGAGCCGCAUUAGGAUAGCCUUCAGGUGGACAUGACAAGCCAGGAAAUAUAGAUGUAUACAUUGUCUGUACACUUUCCGGUGUGUAACUCAUCGGAUAGCCAUGAGGUGGAUACAAGCCGGGGAAACAUGUCGGAGGCAGAACCCCCGGUUGAGCCAACGGUGGAUAAACCGGUGGCUGAUGAGAAGGAACGUGACCGUAACUAAACGAUCCAACGCUUGGAAGCAACUGACUCAACACGGGUCCGUUCGAAACUGGCCUGCACGUCACUGCAGGGGGACGAACCGGCUCGUGAGCUAUGUAACGUGAGCAUCCAACGCCGCUCGCAACAGCCACCGGACCGGUGAAGGAAUAAGUGAAACUGAUGUCUCCUCCUGGUUUUCCGUUGGUCUUCUUGAUUUUGUAGGUGACAUAUCUUUGACCGGCCUUAUCCUUUCCGAGAUGAUCCAAAAGCUCCUUCACCGGAACGUGAACCUCGCCAAUGUCUUUAUCACCUCCUCCUCCUCCACGUUGCUCGCAUUUGAUCUUGAAUGUGAGCACAAGCCGGUUGGCCUCAGCUAAAGUUUGGUCGAUGGUGAAUUUCAUUAGGCCGUCGACCCACCUGGGGCUUGUUCCGCUGUCUCUAGCCACUUGUGUCCGCUGCUCACGGUGGUCGGAGCAUUUGGGAUCGCCGGAUAACUUGACCGCCACGAAAACAUCCAUCUUAGAGACUUUCUCAAGCCCUUUUGCUGACGUCACAUUUAUUUCUAGAGAUCUCGUCGUCUCCAUGUUGAAAAAUUACCAAAGAUUGAAAUGCAAAAAGCUGGUUCAUCUCUAGAUACAGUAUAUAUAGAAGUUGCAGAGACGACUAAGAGAAAGUCAAUGGACUAUUUCUUUUUUUCUUUUUUUGGUCAAAAGACUAUUUCAUUAUUACAUCCACUACUCUCUUUGAAAUUUCUAACGAAUUAAGAUUUUAAUAUGCAACCUGUAGGAAGGAGUCUGUGUGUGAUGAACAGUCCAAAGGCCAUAUUACUAACUCAGACAUAUAGGAUCCGAAAAAUUCGGGUUUAGUCCAGAUGUAACGGGUACGACUCGAAAUAUCCGUUAGUGGCCCAAUAAAGUGGGGUCUAAACAUAAAACAUGAGGAGGGCCCAUUUAGAACCUUCGAAGUCGAUCAGAAGGUUUGUCGGAAACCAUUUCUAUUCCCAAUCUUGGCGGAGGAGCCGGCGCACGACCGAAAAGAGCUGAAAGGAGAAGAAAUGGUGAGCAGAGAAGCGUUGAUCGCAUACAGAGCUCUGCUCAGGGCUACGAGGAAAUCAUUCGCCGGAGAUACCGAGAUGCUCAAGGCUUCGGCUUCCGAGAUCCGUAAGAAGUUCGAAGAGAAUCGCCACGUGGCUUCCGAUUCCGACAUCCCACGCCUACUCGAAGAAGCGCGUGAGGCGACUGAAUUCAUCUCCACCAUGAUCGUUCAGGCCAAACUCAACGAACGCGGCGGAUACGGUACGUAUUACACCUUUCCUCUGCGCACCAUCUGUUUGUUGAAAUGUCUGACUGGAAACUGAUCUUUCGAAACUGACGUGUCUCAGAGGUGAAAGCAAGUCAGGAACACGCGGGAGCGACUUUGGAGCUUCCGACAGAGGAGAUGCUUCGGAAAAAAUCUGUAUGAGUUAAGUCUUGGUGGUCUCUGAGACCACAUUGUCACUGUCUGAAACUGGAUUUCUUCUCCCUUGCUUGUUUUGUUUUAAUAGGGAAAGGUGUAACCUUUUUUUGUGAUUCUCUGUUUUGUUCUCUCUUCACAGCAAACCCAACUCAGAUUUUAUUAAUAAAGAGCUCAUCACAUUCAAUUUAAAAUGAAGUCCUUCCGUUUCUGAUCUAUGAUUUGUCCAUGAAUGACAGGAUUUCACUUGCUUUUCAUGCCUCAUAUUGGUCCUAUUUUUUGUUAGCUAUAGACACUCACUUUCCACAUCUCUUGGAAGCCUUAUCUUGUCUCAGAGACCCACUUCUUGUAUCGUGGCUAUAUCUAUCUCCUUGUUACGUGCUAGUUUGGAAUUGAAUUGUUUCUUACAUCAGUUAUGAUUUUUUAUCUGUCUACUGCUCCGUGCUUGUGCGGUUUCAUGGAGUCUGAUCAGAAGUUUGAAAAAAAUUGACUGCGGGAAAGAGGGAAACCAUGAUCUUAGUCUAGUUUUCAAACCAGUUGAAUAGUACCUUUAUUUGGAUAUGGGGUUCAUUUUCUAAAAGAGAACCACUAACCCCAUUCAUGGUUUUGCUCAGGAGCCCAUUAUGUUCUCCAUGGUUUAAGUUCAGAGUGUUCUACGGUUUAAGUUCAGAGUGUUCUACGUUUAUCUUUAAUGUCUCAUUCAUACUCUGCAAUCAUUUAGUUCUUGUGCUGAGGAGCACUGUCUUUUGUUUCUCUUGCGAGUUCAAUUUGUAUUACUGUAUUUAAAAAUGCUCACGCAUUACUGGAAUUUCUAAGCUCAUAUUUUAUUGAUUGCACUGAUAACUAUACCUCCGUUCUACCUAAUCAGUAUUAAGCCUAAUCAAUUAUCCCACAGCCGAAAUAUUGUAGGCGGCCUAAUGUCAUAUAUUGGGCCAGUAGUACUACAGUUCCCAUUAUUCUCACCGUCCCAAGCUCAAGAGCCACCUAACGAGUAACCAACCUGUCAUAAAGUCAAAACGUAAGAAGAAGUCGGUGUCAACUUCAUGAAUGCUCGAAAUUUUCAGUUCUACCAUUUUUGAUCCAUUUGAAAUCGUUUUUAUGUUCUUUUUAAACGGCAAGGUACGAUGCCGCCAAGAACCUUUGGGCAAGUGGCAUAAAAGCCAUCUCGGCCUGGUCGUGGCAAUUAGGAGUUUCUCUCCAAAUUUAAGUGGGGCUUAUUGGAUCAAGGAUUCGAAAGAUUCCAAAAUUUGAGUAAACUAGGGGUAGGGGUAGGUCCGCCCUACGGGCGGGUAAGUUUACACUAAAAUAAUUUUAUAUUAAAUUAUGUCAUAAUAAUAAUUAGUAUAUAUUAUGUAACAACAAAUGAUGUUUAUAAUAUAUGUUUGCUUAAGUUUAUAUUAAUUUUUCAAUUUAUAAUAAAAAAAUUAUUAAUUUUUUAGUAAUUAUUUUUUGUAAAUUAUUUUAGCAUUUGUUGAACUUAUUAUAAAAAUAUAUUGGUUGGAAAUUUCGCUCAUGGUAUUUAAAAUAUUUUUAUAAAUUUAUAGUUUUAUAAAUUAAUAAAUUAUUAUAUUUCUAACAUAAAUUUACUCUAGUUUCAUACCUUACCAUAUCAAAUAAUUUAAAUGUAAUCCGGAAAUUAAGAUGAACCAAACUGCAUACAAAUGUUUUUCUGAAAAUUGUUUUUCUCUUCGAAGAAUAAAACUAAAAGAAGUAACUAAACUUUUUAAACUUUUUCGUGUUGGCUGUAUUGAAUGAAAUCAUAUAUAAUUCCUCUCUAAUCAAACAUCUCAUCCUCAGUUUUCACAUAGUAACAACAAUAACAUCGAAAAGCAUGUAUACAUAACUAAAUGGAACAAAACAACAUAUUAACUUUAUAUUCCAUCCCAAAACAAUCAAAUAAAAUGUCAUCUAGCAAACAAUUAUUCACAUCAAAACUGCAGAGAUUCUGUUUUGAAACUUAUUAAAAUGAUUUUGUCAAUGAUUUCUGGAGGUCCAUCAUUUUUUUCUUUCUAAUUUUUUAAAGCUUGAGCUUAGUGACGAAAAAAAUCUGUAAAUUUCUUUUUUUUUUACUGUUGUUUUUCUUUUUGCUAAUUUUUUUAAUACUAUUAUUGCUCUGACUUUGAUGAAAUGUGCAAAAACAAAAUUGCGAACAAAUCUCUCUUCUCUUCUGUUUUUCUGAAUUUUGUCUAUAAUUUUUUUUUUUGAUAAACCUUUAACAUUGUUCAUGUAAGAACUUUGUUCCUUGCCAAUACAAACAUCGGAAGGACACUCGGCAUACUAAUAAGUACUCAAUUAAAAAUAAAAUCAAACCAAAAUAGUGCUUUAAAAUUGAUAUUACUACACAUCUUAGCGCAAAUUGAGUUGGUCUUCUUGACUACGGAUCUUAAAUUAUGUGUAGAUAGGCAAAGGUACCUUAUGUAUGUGUAGAUAGGCACUUCCUGAUUUAGAAACUCAUCCUUAUCCUUCUCAAAUUCAUCCAACACAUCAUCACCAGAAAAAGCACGGUUUAUAAGCUCUGCUUGAGAAGGAACCACAAAGGUUUCCUUUGAGGCAGAUGUCAAAACUCUGUCCACCAUUUGCUCUGCUUCACUCUCGGAAUCCUCACUUUCUUCAUCUCUCGAUCACUUUUCAAGAUUUUAGACAGAAGUACACAAAGGUAAGGAACUAAAACAGCCAAAAGCUACUACUGGUUGGAAAGAGAAGAUGAUGAGAAAACAGUAUAGUUCAACUGAGACUUGCAGAAAGAAAAACCUUUUUAUCUUGAGCCUGUGGGAUGGAUGCACACGUCUUCUUUGAUGCCUUUUUAGAUUCUGUGUUUUUAGAGCCUGUCAUCUGCAUAACAUACCCCAAAAGGAGUUGAACAAAAGAAUAAAAAGACAAAGUCUGAUGUAAAAAACUCAAAAGUAAACCUUCUUCCAGGAGCCUGAUGCAAACAUGGCAACAUCGAAUGUUGUCUUAUAUGCUGGAUUUCCAGCAACAUCAUCAUCAAACUUCUGUAGACAAAUCACAGUAAAAUAAUAAAUUUUUGUCACAAGGAUUUCAAAGGAAGAGAAGAAAGACCCAUUAUGAAAAAAUAAGAUACCUCAGUUUCUGUAAUGGUGUUUGUAGCAGGUGAGGCAUUAUCUCUUACAGGCUCUAUGUUAUUAUCUUCUAUGCCAGCCAUAUCAUUGUCACUAUCACUGUCGUCAUAAAAGUUAUCUGAAUCCUUUCUAGACUCUUUUGGAGCUUCCACUUUAGCGGUUGCACCAAACACUCUUCUACCACUAACAUUAACGGGUUUUUUUAGAGUUUUCUCCAUCAGAAUUUUCCCACUCUUCAUACUCCUCAAGUGCACGUUUAUCUUCUUCAUUAGCUUCCUCGUUUUUCUUUUUUAUAGCACGGGUCUAACCCAAAAAAAAAAAGAUAAGACAAAAAGAAACAUAAAAUGAGAUAAACCAAAAUCGUUAUGAGAAAGCAAAAAGCAAAUAUUACCAUGAAAGGUAAUGACAUAAGAACAGCAUUGGGCAGUUCAUCAUCUUCCAAAGCUUUCAACGUCUUCUCCUUCGCUUUUGCUAUUAAUCUAGGAGUGUCCUCAUCUGAACCAUCUCUGAACUCUUCCUCAUCGUCCCUCUCAUCACUGCUACUUCCAUCUCUCAUGGAGUUCAUCUUUCUGGAUAAGUUAGCAUUCAUUUGAAGCUGUUAGGCUAUAGCUGCCUUAGUUCCAUCGUAUUUCACAUUCAGUCCACGGCUUAGCAUGCGCUUCGCCCACUUUCCUGUGUUUUUGUGCUUUAACGUCAUACGUUCCUGCACAAGCAUAAAGAAGACAACAUUUUACUUUUAAGCUAAUGUCUUGAUGAAAAUAAUGUGAAGUGAAGAGGAAGUUUCAGACUCACCUCUACUCGUUUGGCCCCUUGUCUCAUAGCCUCUUCUUUAGCCAUUUCCGGCCAUCUACUGCCAAAAAAGUACUUCAGGUCUUUGUUUUUGAGGCGAUGAUAAGUCGUAGACUUACUCUUCUUGAUUCGUUUGCUUUUUAGCUCAUGACGGAAGAGCAGGCUCUGCAUUAUAAAUUUAGUCACACAGCAAAAUAAUCAACAAAAAAUACCGAAAAUAACUAACUCGCCUCACUUAGAUGCAGUCUUUCUCUCAUCUCAAAUUGUGUGGAAGAAGUAUCUACUACAUGCCUUGGUGAACUCGUGAUUGUUUCUUUCGUUGUCGCCAAUGCUUCUUAACUUGACGGGCUAGCGUCUCUGAAAUAUAUUUACUCGUAAAAUCCAUGUAUUAGUUUCUGAUCUGUAUUCCACAAUCUCCUGGUAAUGUACUUAUUUCUAGCCUUUUCUUUCUCUGCAACAGUUAGCUACCUACACAACACAACCUAAAGUUUUCAAUCAAAACUAUGAGAUUUUGCAAUGAUCGGAUCAAAUUAGGCGAUCAAUUACUUUUUUUUUACUUGAGAACCGCCAUGGCCGUUGCAGCCACCGAAGAAAUGAGCGGUUGAUUGAGGACUGAAACGAUCAUCUUUCAACGAAUUCUUUGGAGAUUGAAGGAAAAUGGGUAUCGAGGAGACAUCAUAUUCCAUCUCCGGUCGUCUUCCACACCGUACAAAGGUACCCUCUUGAACUCAGACAGACUCCUGCUCUCUGGUUUGCUUAUCGUCUUCUUCUCAACCGUCGAUCUCUCGUCUGAGCGUUGAUCUCUACUCCGGCAGCUGUAUCAGCGACUAUCGCCGUUGAUAAUUCAUCGCUGCAACUCUGCAAAUCUGUAGAAUACCUUCCUCGAUUACGUAUGAAGAGGCUGCGCUCGAUUUAAUGCUAAGGCGUUACAGAAAGUUAAUCGCAGAUGGCUUCAUCGAGGAAAGGGUAUUGAGUUUCGUUUUCUCAAUCAAACAGGAUAUUGAGCCCGGAGGAAAAACACUUUAGAAACCCAGAUAAAAGAACAAAAAAGUUUGUUUUGAGUUGCCACAUGGCAUAAAAACCCCAUAUCUGAAGGAUGACGUGGACGCCUGAGAGAGCUGAUAAGCCAAUUUUAUUAUUAUAGAUACAUAAACGGAUGUUUUUAAGUUUAAUAGACUUUUUUUUUAAGUUUAAAAAAAAAAAGUUUAACGGACUUAAAAAUAAAAGAGUCUAAAUGGGCAUGUGUGUAAACAAACAUAAAUUGCAGGGUUUAAAGGGGCAUAACUUUAAUGGACAUGUGGUCAAAACGAACCCAUUACUUAUUAAUAUUAUGCGGACUAACUAUUUCAAGUCAUGAAAAGUUACGUAAGUAAAACCACGUAGAGUUAGUUUAACAAAACAUAUAAGAAGAGGAGAUGAUGACAUUUUAUAAGAAGCUGAGACUUUUCAAGUCAUGAAAAGUUUUUUUUUUUUUUUUAUCAAACAAGUCAUGAAAAGUUAUGUAAGUAAAACCACGUAGACUAAAAUAAUUUUAUAUUAAAUUUUUUUAAUUUUAUAAAUUUUUCUUUAUACUCAAAACAAUAAAUAUAAUAUGUUUUUAUUCCAAAAGUAUAUUCAAAAAAUUAUUAAAUUUUGUUAGUUUGAGUUGAAAAGACCACUAAUAUUUUUUUGGUUAGAGAUCACAAAAUUAUUAAAUUAAAAAUUUAACGAAAAUGUAAUGAUUUAUAUUUUUCUAUUUGAUUUCUAGUUCAAUUUUAUAUAGUUGAAAAAAUCUAAAAUAAGAAUAACUAAUAAUUUUAUAUUUCUAAGAGUAUCAGAUUUUAAUACUAUUACUAUAACUAAUUUUCACGAUAAUAAAUUAAUACAUCCAUCUCCAAGCCAACUCAAUUAAAAAUCAAAUGUAGUGUGAUAAAAUAAUAAAAAUUUAUAUUUUCAAUUAACAUAAAAAUAGUUUCAAUAAUGUCAUAAAUAAUAAUUAGUAUAUAUUAUGUAACAACAAAUGAUGUUUAUAAUAUAUGUUUGUUUAAGUUUAUAUUAGUUUUUCAAUUUAUAAUAAAAGUUUCAUUAAUUUUUUAAUAAUUAUUUUUUUGUAAAUUAUUUUAGCAUUUGUUGAACUUAUUAUAAAAAUAUAUUGGUUGGAAAUUUCGCUCAUGGUAUUUGAAAAUAUUUUUAUAAAUUUAUAGUUUUAUAAAUUAAUAAAUUAUUAUAUUUCUAACAUAAAUUUACUCUAGUUUCAUACCUUACCAUAUCAAAUAAUUUAAAUGUAAUCCGGAAAUUAAGAUGAACCAAACUGCAUACAAAUGUUUUUCUGAAAAUUGUUUUUCUCUUCGAAGAAUAAAACUAAAAGAAGUAACUAAACUUUUUAAACUUUUUCGUGUUGGCUGUAUUGAAUGAAAUCAUAUAUAAUUCCUCUCUAAUCAAACAUCUCAUCCUCAGUUUUCACAUAGUAACAACAAUAACAUCGAAAAGCAUGUAUACAUAACUAAAUGGAACAAAACAACAUAUUAACUUUAUAUUCCAUCCCAAAACAAUCAAAUAAAAUGUCAUCUAGCAAACAAUUAUUCACAUCAAAACUGCAGAGAUUCUGUUUUGAAACUUAUUAAAAUGAUUUUGUCAAUGAUUUCUGGAGGUCCAUCAUUUUUUUCUUUCUAAUUUUUUAAAGCUUGAGCUUAGUGACGAAAAAAAUCUGUAAAUUUCUUUUUUUUUUACUGUUGUUUUUCUUUUUGCUAAUUUUUUUAAUACUAUUAUUGCUCUGACUUUGAUGAAAUGUGCAAAAACAAAAUUGCGAACAAAUCUCUCUUCUCUUCUGUUUUUCUGAAUUUUGUCUAUAAUUUUUUUUUUUGAUAAACCUUUAACAUUGUUCAUGUAAGAACUUUGUUCCUUGCCAAUACAAACAUCGGAAGGACACUCGGCAUACUAAUAAGUACUCAAUUAAAAAUAAAAUCAAACCAAAAUAGUGCUUUAAAAUUGAUAUUACUACACAUCUUAGCGCAAAUUGAGUUGGUCUUCUUGACUACGGAUCUUAAAUUAUGUGUAGAUAGGCAAAGGUACCUUAUGUAUGUGUAGAUAGGCACUUCCUGAUUUAGAAACUCAUCCUUAUCCUUCUCAAAUUCAUCCAACACAUCAUCACCAGAAAAAGCACGGUUUAUAAGCUCUGCUUGAGAAGGAACCACAAAGGUUUCCUUUGAGGCAGAUGUCAAAACUCUGUCCACCAUUUGCUCUGCUUCACUCUCGGAAUCCUCACUUUCUUCAUCUCUCGAUCACUUUUCAAGAUUUUAGACAGAAGUACACAAAGGUGAGGAACUAAAACAGCCAAAAGCUACUACUGGUUGGAAAGAGAAGAUGAUGAAAAAACAGUAUAGUUCAACUGAGACUUGCAGAAAGAAAAACAUUUUUAUCUUGAGCCUGUGGGAUGGAUGCACGCGUCUUCUUUGAUGCCUUUUUGGAUUCUGUGUUUUUGGAGCCUGUCAUCUGCAUAACAUACCCCAAAAGGAGUUGAACAAAAGAAUAAAAAGACAAAGUAUGAUGUAAAAAACUCAAAAGUAAACCUUCUUCCAGGAGCCUGAUGCAAACAUGGCAACAUCGAAUGUUGUCUUAUAUGCUGGAUUUCCAGCAACAUCAUCAUCAAACUUCUGUAGACAAAUCACAGUAAAAUAAUAAAUUUUUGUCACAAGGAUUUCAAAGGAAGAGAAGAAGACCCAUUAUGAAAAAAUAAGAUACCUCAGUUUCUGUAAUGGUGUUUGUAGCAGGUGAGGCAUUAUCUCUUACAGGCUCUAUGUUAUUAUCUUCUAUGCCAGCCAUAUCAUUGUCACUAUCACUGUCGUCAUAAAAGUUAUCUGAAUCCUUUCUAGACUCUUUUGGAGCUUCCACUUUAGCGGUUGCACCAAACACUCUUCUACCACUAACAUUAACGGGUUUUUUUAGAGUUUUCUCCAUCAGAAUUUUCCCACUCUUCAUACUCCUCAAGUGCACGUUUAUCUUCUUCAUUAGCUUCCUCGUUUUUCUUUUUUAUAGCACGGGUCUAACCCAAAAAAAAAAAGAUAAGACAAAAAGAAACAUAAAAUGAGAUAAACCAAAAUCGUUAUGAGAAAGCAAAAAGCAAAUAUUACCAUGAAAGGUAAUGACAUAAGAACAGCAUUGGGCAGUUCAUCAUCUUCCAAAGCUUUCAACGUCUUCUCCUUCGCUUUUGCUAUUAAUCUAGGAGUGUCCUCAUCUGAACCAUCUCUGAACUCUUCCUCAUCGUCGCUCUCAUCACUGCUACUUCCAUCUCUCAUGGAGUCCAUCUACUGCCAAAAAAGUACUUCAGGUCUUUGUUUUUGAGGCGAUGAUAAGUCGUAGACUUACUCUUCUUGAUUCGUUUGCUUUUUAGCUCAUGACGGAAGAGCAGGCUCUGCAUUAUAAAUUUAGUCACACAGCAAAAUAAUCAACAAAAAAUACCGAAAAUAACUAACUCGCCUCACUUAGAUGCAGUCUUUCUCUCAUCUCAAAUUGUGUGGAAGAAGUAUCUACUACAUGCCUUGGUGAACUCGUGAUUGUUUCUUUCGUUGUCGCCAAUGCUUCUUAACUUGACGGGCUAGCGUCUCUGAAAUAUAUUUACUCGUAAAAUCCAUGUAUUAGUUUCUGAUCUGUAUUCCACAAUCUCCUGGUAAUGUACUUAUUUCUAGCCUUUUCUUUCUCUGCAACAGUUAGCUACCUACACAACACAACCUAAAGUUUUCAAUCAAAACUAUGAGAUUUUGCAAUGAUCGGAUCAAAUUAGGCGAUCAAUUACUUUUUUUUUACUUGAGAACCGCCAUGGCCGUUGCAGCCACCGAAGAAAUGAGCGGUUGAUUGAGGACUGAAACGAUCAUCUUUCAACGAAUUCUUUGGAGAUUGAAGGAAAAUGGGUAUCGAGGAGACAUCAUAUUCCAUCUCCGGUCGUCUUCCACACCGUACAAAGGUACCCUCUUGAACUCAGACAGACUCCUGCUCUCUGGUUUGCUUAUCGUCUUCUUCUCAACCGUCGAUCUCUCGUCUGAGCGUUGAUCUCUACUCCGGCAGCUGUAUCAGCGACUAUCGCCGUUGAUAAUUCAUCGCUGCAACUAUGCAAAUCUGUAGAAUACCUUCCUCGAUUACGUAUGAAGAGGCUGCGCUCGAUUUAAUGCUAAGGCGUUACAGAAAGUUAAUCGCAGAUGGCUUCAUCGAGGAAAGGGUAUUGAGUUUCGUUUUCUCAAUCAAACAUUAUAUCGAGUCCGGAGGAAAAACACGUUAGAAGCCCAGAUAAAAGAACAAAAAAGUUUGUUUUGAGUUGCCACGUGGCAUAAAAACCCCAUAUCUGAAGGAUGACGUGGACGCCUGAGAGAGCUGAUAAGCCAAUUUUAUUAUUAUGAGAGAAAACUCCCCUUUAUUAUAUAAGAUACAAGAAAUCAGAAAUUUAAAUAAAUCAUAAAAAGAUUUAUUACAAGUUUUAAGGUUUUGUGAAGAAAUUUCAGAGUUUUUGAAAAAAAAAAUUCAGAGUUUUUAAUUUUUUCUUUAAAAUUAUUUAAAAUAAUACUUUUAUUUUUAAAUUACCGUAGUUUGAUAUUUUAUCGUUUUAUAAAAUAUAUAAGAGUUUUUAAAAUCGAUUUUUUAAAUAAUUUUUUUUUUUUCAAAUAGUUUGAUUCUCUUUUUAAAAAUGUGAAGUAAUUUUCUUUUCAUUUUUUAAAAAUAUCAAAUAUCAUCAUAAGAAGUGAUAUUUCAAUUCGUUAUUUUCUAUUAUAAAAUAUCAUCUAAACCUCACCAAAUUUCGUAUGAUAGAUUUUAUUACAAAAUUCAUAUUUUUCAGACCUCUAAAUCCUUGUUCCAAUAAUAUCCCCUUAUGGAUCGUUCGACUAGGACCGGUGGACUCUAAUAAAGCAUCUAGAAAAAUGUUAUCAAGUAUCAACUCAGCAACUUUUCCUUUCAAAAUGUUCUGAUUUAGAGCUUGAUUGGUUUUCCCGCUACCACCCGCAAACGCAGCUUUUGCGAUUGGUAGCGGUUGACAGCGUUUCGAAACAAUCAUACAAACCGCUACAAAUCGCUUCAAACCGCUCCGAACCUCUUAAAAUCAAAAGCUGGUUCCAGCUAGCGUUUGCGGUUACGGGCGGUUGCGGGAGGAUAAUUUUUUUUUCUUUUUUUUAAAAACCAUAUAAAUACAAAAAUAAAAAUAAAAAUAAAAUUUUUAAAAUAGAAUUAUAAAAAUACUAAAAUAUAUCUAUUAUAUUUUAAUUAAUAUUAUAAAAUAUAUAAAUAUAUUUAUCGACCAUCUCACUGAAAUUUAGUUUUAAAUUGAUACGGUUUAACUUAAAAUAUGAUAUAUAAUCUAUACAUACAUUUAUAAAGCGUCUAAACUGGAUUCGUUUACAUGAUCUUGUUGUUAGCUAGUCUUAUUCCAUGUUUUGAAAAUUAAUAUCCAAUUGUUAUUAUAAUAAAAUAAAGAAAUUGAUUUGAAAAAAGAACCAUGUUAGCCAUCGCAAAUCCAAUAAUUUGGGCAAGAAAGUGAAGGAGAUAUGCCGCCACGUUAGAAUCACAAGUCAACGUAAACGCUAAUGCUCAUCACCUUCUUUUUGUUUUUCACCUCCAGAUCCAAAGUUCUUAUUUGAAUUUUUAGUUCAAUGACUGAUCAAAGUUUAUAACAUUUAAAUUCAGAUAACAAUAUUAUAUAAUUCAGGUUCUCGGAAAUUUUGUAGUUUUGCUUUGUAUGUACUAUGAAUGUCUUCAACUAUAUCAAAACUAAUUUGUGUGGCCAAGUGAAUUAUUCCGACAUAAAUUAGAUGAUGCCUCAACUUUUUUUUUGAGCAACAAAUACUUAUAUUAAAUUGAUAGCCUCAACUAACACAUAAAUAAGACAAGUUAUACUGCAAUCAUUUAAUUAUGCAUCUUUUGUUGUCAUUUCAUAUACGAAUAAAAUAUAUAACUGACGGUCUGUUUUUGUAUCAUAAAGACUGCAUGGGAUUUAGGAACAAGACGAAUACACGAUGCAAAUGCAACUGAUGAAAUAUUAAAUAGUAUAUUCAAUUCAUACUCCAUAGUAGCUAUAUAACUCACGCAUUAGAUCUAAAACAAUGCAUGUUGGAAGCAAUAAUGUUUUUUUGGGUCUGCUACAUUUCUAAACGAAAUUAGAUCCUAAUAUUAUGUUAAUUUGUACCCACCACCACCCACGUCGGCUCUACGAAUCCAAUUAAAAUGUUGCACCCAAAACAGCUAAUGAUGUUUGUUUUUAUUCAGUAUACACGUUUUCUAUAUUUUCACCACUAAUCCAAAUGUUCCCUUCCAUCAAAUAUUUUAUAUUGCUCCACGGAGCUAUUCAAUAUCUUUCACAUAUAUCAUCAAAAACAGCUAAGGAAAUAUCUCAAAGUAUACAGUUUUUAUUUGACUAGUACUAAUCAAAUAAAUAUUACUAUAAGCAAAUGUUUCAACCAUAUAGUUAGGAUAUGCUUCUAAAAUCAAACAAUGAUACGUAGUUUAAAACUUUAUUGACCCGUCCAUGUUUACCAACCCGUUUUCCUCUUAAACAUUUUCCCAUACCAUUCUUUUAGACGACUUAAAACAAUAUUUACAUGUUUGAUUUGGAGGAUCUUAUUUAUGUUAAGAAUAUGACAAAAUAAAACAAACAACAAGUCACAUUUAAAGCUCAGGUCGACACGUUUUGUGUACUCCCUCCGUUUUUUAAUAUAAGUCGUUUUAGAAAAACUUUUUUGUUCCAAAUUAUAUGUCGUUUUCGGUUUUUUAUGUAACAUUUAUUAGUAAUUAAUGUUGUCUGACCAAUGAUAAUAUAUCUUCUAUUUUUCUAUUGGUUAAAUUGUGGUUAGGUAAAUAAUUAAUGAUGUUUUUGUUUCGAAAAUAUAAGAAAUUAAUGAUUUUCUUAAUCUAUGUGCAUAGCUUCAAAACGACUUAUAAUAAAAAACGGAGGGAGUAUUNNNNNNNNNNNNNNNNNNNNNNNNNNNNNNNNNNNNNNNNNNNNNNNNNNNNNNNNNNNNNNNNNNNNNNNNNNNNNNNNNNNNNNNNNNNNNNNNNNNNAUAAAAACUAUUUUUUGUAAUUAUUAAACUAUUUUUUAUUUAUUAAAACUAUUUUUUAUUUAUUAAAACUAUUUUUUGUAAUUAUUAAACUAUUUAUAUUUUUGUGAUUAAAAACUAUUUUUUAAAUAUGUUUUUUUAUUUAUUAAAAUUAUUAGAACUAAUUUUUAAAUAUGUUUUUUUUUUAAUUUACAGGUCUAAUGAUGAUCAGACCCGGCCUCGACAGCGUCGUGGUCGUGGUGGUACGGGAAGCCAGUCUCGGGAUUCCAGCCAGAUUCAGGAUUCCGCUUCGCCCCACAGCUCCUACCAUACAUCUCCCUCUCCAUUUCCCGCUCCUGCUCCUCUCGCUCCCGCUGCUGCAUCCGCUCCUGCUCCUCCGGGUCCUCCGGGUCCUCCGGGAGUGAUGAGUGUUACGGAGUUGGUUCGACAGCCCGGUCGUGACCAUCUUCCCUAUCUCACUCCGUAUCCACAUGGACGGGGUCAAACAUGGUAAUUAAACAUAUUUUUUUUCAUUAAAAUUUGAUUCAUUAUUAAUAAUUUGUUCUUUUUAUUAGGUUCAACCGAUCUGAGAACGGGAUCAGCGCAUGGAUCAACCGUAUGAUAUACUCGGCCCUCGACAAGGGACAUCUGACUUUCACUGACUUCCCUUCCGACAAGCAGCAUCUGUGGUUUCGUCAGUUUGCGGUAAGUAUUCUAAUUUUUUACUUAUAUUUUUAAUCUUUAAUAUAAAUUUUCUACUAAUUGUGUUUUUUUUUUCAGCAAGAAUUCAACUGGAAUUCCGAUGAUACGCUCUUUAUCUAUCACCACUUCGUCAAUAAAGUUAUGGACAACUAUGGGAAGCAGAUCCACGAGUGGAAGAAGAAGUGGGAAAUCAACAAGGUUGUUUUUAAUUUAUUAAACAAUUUUUUAAUUUAUUAAACUAUUUUUUAUGUAUUAAACUAUUUUCUUUUUUUUAUUAAAAGGUCCCAAAGUCGAUGAACAACACGGUCUGGACGGAGUUGUGUGUGCAUUGGGAUAAGGAAGAGACGAAAGAAACUUCUUCCACCAACUCCACCAACCGCAGAAGCGACCGUAAAGGGAAGGGCGUCUUCAAGCAUAACUUGGGUGCUCAAUCUAUUGCCAGUCUGGAGGAUCGCAUGGUAAGUUCAGCCGCUUUUUCUUCAAUUAUUUAAGUUUGAAAUUUUAUUUUUUUGUGCAUUUCUUCUAAUUUCUAAUGUUUUUUUAAUUUAUGUUUUUUUCAAGGCGGAAGAAAAUGAUGGCGAGCCGGUUGAUGAUCUCGCCCUAAUGAAGAGAGUGUAUACAAACAAGAAGACCGGCCAGAUUGAUGAUGUUCUUGUGAGGGAAGUGGUCACCCUGGUCCAAACUCAGGUGCAAAACGAAGUGUCUCAGCUUCAAACCGAGGAUGAUGAUUCGACGGCUUCGACCAACUUGUCCCGGUUUAGAAUCAACGAAAUCGUUGAAUCGGUAAGUUCUUUUUUUUAAGUUCAAUUCAUUUAUUUCUUGAUUUUUAUUUUAUCAUCUUUUUAUAUUAUUUAAAUUUGGCUAUUUUCUAUUUCAGUCGGUUCCAAAGAAGAAAGGACGUUUGGUCGGUUUGGGUCGUCGCCCCCGGUCGGUUCCUCCUUCUUCUGCACCACCGCCCUUUGUUGAUCCAGAAGUACUUACGGCUCAGUUGAAGGACAAGGAUGAUCGCAUAUCUUUGUUGGAGGCCCAGAUGGCGGCUCAACAGGCGGGCUAUGAGGCAUAGAAGAGGCUGAACCAGCAAAUGAUGGAGAUGAUGCAGAGGAUGUACCCGAACGAGGUGUUCCCGAACGUGCAAGACCCGUAGUUUUUUUUUUCAAAAACUCGGAAUGUUUUAUUUUUAUUUGUACAACUUUGAAUAUUAUCUAAUAUGUUUUCAAUUUUAAUUUUAAUUUUAUAUUUUCGAAUUUAAAUUUCAAAAAAAAAAAAAAAAAUUAAAUUUUUUUUUUUUGAAAUUCCGAGGAAAUAAACCCUCGGAAAUUUCCGACGAACAUUUCUUCGGAAUAAGUCGUCGGAAUAUACCGAGGGACUCCUUCCUCGGAAUUUUCCAAGGGCUCCGUUUCUCGGAAAUUUCCGAUGAAAAUUCUGAGGAUUGGACCAUCGGAAAGUCCAUCGAAAUAUACCGAGGGACUCCUUCCUCAGAAUUUUCCGAGGGCUCCGUUCCUCGGAAAUUCCCGAUGAAAAUUCUGAGGAACAUUUCAUCGGAACUUCCGAGGAUUGGACCAUCGGAAAGUCCAUCGAAAUAUCCCGAGGAAGUUCUCCCUCGGUAUAUUCCGAGGACCUUUCCGACGAACUGGUGGUCCUCGGAGUUUCCUCGGAAAUUCAUUUCCUCGGAAUUCCGUCGGAAAUUUCCGAGGGAUUUCCGAGGAAAAAUGAAUUUCCGAGGAGUUAUUUCCGAGGACUUGUUUCGUCGGUAUGUCGGCGGAAUAACGUUAUUCGGACGACAUACCGACGAUUUUUUCCCUCGGUAUGUCGCUGUUUUCUUGUAGUGUUGUCACCCUUGUAACCCAAUUAAUCGGUCUAAUAAAACGUCUUUGGUCAUCCCAUUUCGAGUUCUUUCAACCUAGUCGACUGAAUCCCGUACCAACACUAAGUAUUAUUCGUAUCAUAUGUACAACGAUGAUAUUUUAAAAGUACAUGUAAAUAAAAUAAUUUUUUUUUUUAACGAAAAGAGAAUACCAUGAUAUCUGUGGUCCAGAUCCCAAACCUUAGUUAGACAGUAUAAAUUAACGUUGCAAAGUCUAAAGAAUAGUUCAUCACAAUUUUGAGCUCUUUAAUAUAAUCAUUAGAAAAAGCAAAAAUUUAUAAUGAAAACACAGUCACAGCCUCUUGAAGCCCGUCGCUCUGCAAACUAUCGACCGUCUCUUUGGGAGCACGAGAAUCUCCUCUUGCUCGGGAACAAAUAUGCGGUAUAUGUAUGAAAAUCUGUAUAUACAACGUGUCAUAUAAAACUAUAUGAUAUAUUAGUAUUCAGGAAGUUACUGUAUAGUGAUAAUAUUUUAUACUAUGCAGAAAGAGGACAAAAUCGAGAGAGCUAAGUUAUUAAAGCAAGAAGUUAGUAGAAUGCUUGAUGAAACAGAGGGUUUACUUGAACAGCUAGAGCUCGUUGACAAUUUACAAAGACUCGGAAUUUCUUACCAUUUCGAACGUGAAAUCAAGAAGAUUCUAACGAAUGUUCACGUAAGACAUGNNNNNNNNNNNNNNNNNNNNNNNNNNNNNNNNNNNNNNNNNNNNNNNNNNNNNNNNNNNNNNNNNNNNNNNNUCGGAAGAGAUCUGAAGACUUAUAUGCGACUGCCCUUAAGUUCCGACUCCUAAGGCAACAUGGUUUUAAUAUCGCACAAGGUUGAAAGCAAAAAUAAAUAUACACAUUGCUUAAAAAAUACAAACGAAUAUUGACAUAUAAUCUAUUUUUAGAGUUCAUUUAUAAUUUAUAAUUUAGAAAAUGAAUGUUGAUUUGAAAAUUCUAACUAUAUAUUUCUGAUUCUGGACUUGCACGAAAAAAAAAAUUAUUUGGAAUAUAUCAGUCAUAUUGUUUUAUUUUAUUAUAUAUAUAUAUAUAUAUAAUCAAAUAAAAUUGUGGUUUACUAUCACUGCAGAUGUUUUUGGCUGCUUUUUUGGAGAUGGCUUGGAUGAUGAAGACAUCAAGAGUGUUCUUUCACUGUACGAAGCUUCAUAUCUCUCGACCAGAUUCGAUACUAAACUGAAAAAAACCAUAUACUAUACAACAACACGACUUAAAAAGUUCGUGGAAAUGAAGAACAAUGAGAGCACAUCUUAUGUUCGAAAGAUGGUGAUACGUGCGCUAGAAAUGCCAUACCAUCGGAGGGUGCGAAGACUAGAAGCAAGAUGGUACAUAGACGUGUAUGGCGAGACACACGACACGAACCCUAACUUACUAGAAUUGGCGAAACUUGAUUUCAAUUUCGUACAAGUUAUCCAUCAAGACGAGCUCAAAUCUCUCUCUAGGUAAUCUAACUUAAACCAUACAUGAUUCGUCUUGAAACUCGUUUUUCGUUUAUGUUAAUGUUGGAAUUACUAGUUUUAUGUAUAAGUUUAAAAAAACGAACACUGAGAUUUAACGAAUAUACUCCAUCCAUUUCAUAUUAAGUAUCGUUGUAAAUAAUUUUUUCGUUACAAAAUAUGUGUCGUUUCCGACUUUCAAAGCAAAAUUUAUUAAUUUUAUUCAGCAAUUUAUUUUUUUAUUGGUUGAAAUAUGGUUAGGUGUAUAGGUAAUUGUGUUUUUAUUUUGAAAUAUACAAAAUUAAUUGUUUUCUUAAUCUGUGUGCACAAACUCAAAACGACAUUUAAAAUGAAACCCCAAGGAAUAGGUUCUCUGGUUUUGAGUUAUAGAUUCAUGAUUAUUCUCUAGUUAUAAGACUUUAGAAAACAUAAAUGGAUUUAUAUAUAACCGAUCCAAGAAGGUAGGAGUCAGUCAAUCUAAGAGCAUCCACAAUGGGAGCUCUUAAGGAAAUCUUUAGAGGGUGUGGAGUCCACUUUCUUAGAGUUUGUGCAAAAAAGAAUCCUUAAAAUCCUUUGAUAAGGAUUGAUCCUUACACUGUUCACGGGUCCCAUUGACUACGUGGCGGCCCGUGAAUGGUCAUCUUUUUUUUUUUUUUUAAAUCAAAAAAAUCCAAGAUUAAUCCAAAAUGCCCUUGUGCUAAGGACUCCAAUGAGUCUCACUAUUGCGGAUGGUCUAAAAAGACUGAAAAAUACUUCCUCUGUUCCAUAAAAAAUGUUAUUUUAGUUUUUUUUUUUAUUUUGUCUUUAAAAAAUGUUAUUCUACAUUUCUAAUGUAAUUUUUCACAUUAAACACUUUCUUUCCCUUUUAUAUGACCAAUAGAUAUUUUGUUAAAUUAUUUUUAUUUAAAUAGUUAUAUAAUAAAUAAUGAUAGAUUAGUAUAUUUUGUUAGUUUCUUAAUCUGCGUAAAAUAUGUCUAAAUAACAUUUAUUAUGAAAGGAGUAUACAUAGUCAUCUCAAGAAACAUAUUAAGAAUUUCAUAUUAAAAAUGAACAUAACCAGACAUAAAUGACACAUAACUAUUUAUUUUGUCUUUAAAAAAUGUUAUUCUACAUUUCUAAUGUAAUUUUUCACAUUAAACACUUUCUUUCCCUUUUAUAUGACCAAUAGAUAUUUUGUUAAAUUAUUUUUAUUUAAAUAGUUAUAUAAUAAAUAAUGAUAGAUUAGUAUAUUUUGUUAGUUUCUUAAUCUGCGUAAAAUAUGUCUAAAUAACAUUUAUUAUGAAAGGAGUAUACAUAGUCAUCUCAAGAAACAUAUUAAGAAUUUCAUAUUAAAAAUGAACAUAACCAGACAUAAAUGACACAUAACUAUUUAUUCAUUGUUAAUUUGUUUUCAGUUGAAAAUUCAUGACUUGUCACGGUAUAUAUGUUAAGAUUUUUGUAGAGAUUAAAUAUGUUAAGAUUUUUGUAGAGAUUAAAUGCAAUUUAUAUAUACUUUUACUAUUAGAAAUCAUAGAAAAGUAAAUGGUUGCAUUUCUAAAAAUGUACAUAAUAGGUUACUAUGUAGACGCAUACAACAGCCAUUUUAAACAUUCAAAAACAUUAUUUUCUUGUUUCAUCGAUUAUCUGUAUGAAGCAGCUGGUGGAGCAAGACGGGAUUAACAAAAAUCCUUGAUUUCGUAAGAGAUCGAAUAACGGAGAGUUAUUUCUCGAGUGUUGGAGUAAUCUGUGAGCCUGAGUUUGCACAUCAUCGACAAAUGCUUACAAAAGUAUUCAUGCUUAUUACCACUAUCGACGAUAUAUACGAUAUAUAUGGGACACUGGAGGAGCUCCAACUAUUCACAGCCAUUGUUGAAAAGUAUUCAAAAAUAUUUUACUACACAUCUACUAUUUAUAAGCCAGAUUCAUUUCGUGGUUAUUAAUUUUUUUGUUUAUUUCUUUCUUUUAACCUGAUAUCUUUUUUUUUGUCAUUUAAUAUAUUCAUUAUGCAGAUGGGAUGUGAAUCGUCUCGAAGAACUUCCCAAGUACAUGAAGUUGUGUUUUCUAUGUCUCAUCAACGAAAUCAAUCAGAUUGGAUAUAUAAUUCUAAGAGACAAAGAAUUUAAUGCGAUUCCUUACCUGAAAAAAUCCGUACGUAUUCUCGCUGUGUAGAUGUCAUUACUUAAUUCAACUGAAUGUGCAUGCAAAUGUACCUAUGAUUAGCAUUCAAAAUGUCAACUACACAAUUAAGUAAAUAUUUUUCCCCAAUGGAUUUUAAGAAAACAAAUGAAUACUAGAUUAAUUUUUUCUUUGCUCUAUGUGAUAAAAUGUUUUUUUUUCUAAUAUGGAUAUUAAUACAUUUUCUCCAAAAUCACUUUUAUAAUUCAAUUUUGUUUUCUCUACUUAGUGGGCAGAUAUGUGUACAACUUUUUUAAAAGAGGCAAAGUGGUACAAAAGAGGUUACAAACCUAAACUCGAAGAGUACAUGGAAAAUGGUUGGCUCUCAAGUUCUGUCCCUACAAUACUUCUCCACUUGUUAUGUCUAUUCCCCGACCAAAACCUAGACAUUCUUGUCUCCUACCACCACCAUGUUAUUCGAAACUCUGCCACAAUCCUCCGUCUCGCUAACGAUCUCGCCACUUCUUCGGUUAGUCAUGGUUUCACAACUUGAUAGUAUUAUUAGUACAUAUUACAAAAUUUACAUGUGUUAACAGAUAGUAAAAGGGUCUUAAACAACAAUUGCAAACUAAUGACUUAUUAAAGAAACCAAACAAAUUUAUAAGAAAAAAUAAUAAAAUAAAUGACAACUUCUACAAGAAAUUUACAUUAAUUUUUUCUUCAAAUAUAUACUUGAAUGUCCUUAAAUAGUUGUGAUCCCAAACAAAUCGUAAUAUGUAAAAUAACGUACUCCCUCUGUUCCACAAAUAUAAACUUUUUAGUAAUUUCACAUAUACUAAGAAAACACAUUAAACUACCAUAAUAAAUGUAUCGUUUUCUGUAAUUUUUAAUUUUUAAUAACUUUUAACCAAUAAUAAUUCAAUAAAAUCAAUUAAUUUUCUUGAAGUUUACAAUUUUUUCAUAGAAAACACAAAAAUAAAUCUUUCUGAAACAAUUUUUUUUCUAAAAAGUUUAUCAUUAAGGAACAGAAGAAGUAUAAAAUAACUAUAAUUAAUAUAUAUGUACAUUUACACACAUAUAUAUAUAUAUGAUUUGUGAUUUGACUAUUUCACACAUAUUUCACAUAUAUUAUUGGUUUUCCAGUAAAAUAUAAACACCACUUUCUACUUUUAUACAUAAGACACAGCUUUGUUAUUUGUGUACAAAUAUUUGUCACUAACUCGUAACUUCAUUAUUAAAAUAUAAAACAUCAAUCUUUAAAAAAAAAUCUAAAACACUAAUCUCUUAAAUACAGAUAGAUUAUAAGAUAAACAUCUUUAUUAAAUAUUGGAAAACAUAGAUUAUUAAUUUGUAUUUUCCGUCUUUAUUCUUGCACUGGAAAAUAUAUUUUGACCCUCCCACAAUUAACUAGUCUUUUUAAAUGGACUAACAAAUUAUCGGGGCUCAGUGGCUCACACGUUCAAGACGGUCUAUGAAUAUAUAGCGGUUUUAUGCACAACAUAUGAUAUGUAUUUAUGUAUUAUUUCUUUUGGUAAAUAUGUGAGAAAGUAACAGAAGGAAUUGGCAAGAGGCGACAAUGUUAAGUCCGUACAAUGUCACAUGCAUGAAACUGGAUCUCCAGAGGCAGAGUCACGUGCGUACAUUCGAGAAAUGAUCGGUGUGGCUUGGGAAGACUUGAACUUGGAAAGGAAGAGUUGUUGGCUACAUCAAGGUUUCGUAGAAGCGGCAGCUAACCUCGGACGCGUGGCUCAGUGCAUUUAUCAGUACGGUGAUGGCUAUGGCAGUCCCGAAAAGGCUAAGACCGUCGAUCAUGUCCGGUCCUUGCUCGUCUACCCUGUUCCAUAAUUAAACCAGACAAAUAAUAUUGGUUUAUUUCCCUCCUCAUAAUAUUGGUGAGAGUGCAGACAUAUAUAGUUCCCUCCUCAAGUUGUGAAUUAUGUAGUUAAAAAAAAAAUUAAGAGCUUGUAAAAUACAAUAAUCACCUCAACCAUUGUUGUAUUUUCUAUCUUCUGUUCUUUCUGCUUCCAAUUGACUACUAUAUAUCUUUAAAAAAAUUAUUGAUAUCCACACAAUAUGAAUCAUAUUGAAUGUUAUGACCAAUAUAGUGGUGAUGUACCUCAUGAGUUUGGAUGCGUCUUAUAUGAUCCUGCAUAAUCACAUCAAAUUCAGCAAUCAUCUCAAUCAUUGGUAAAGUUUCUCAUUUGAUCCUCGAAAUGCUAAAUUUUUUUUGAAAGACAUUUCACAACAACAAUUAUCUUAUUAUAUAAAGCUUGGUUCUUCAAAGUUGCUAAUUAACAUGAUUGCGACAUGUGUCAAUUAAUUUAUUAAGAUUGUGACAUGUGUCAAAAAUAUGUUACAAUUCUCUUUUAUUAGGAUUUAAAAAGAUUUAGAAAAAGAAAACUAUUAUUACAUUUUUUUGGACACUAGAAAAGGAAAAUUAUUACAAAAAUAUAGUUUAUUAUUCUUUUUAGGAGUUAAGAAAAUGAAAAUUACUAUUACAUAGCCUUUUACAAUUAUAUUUGUAUGGCUCUUUUUAUAAUAUUUUAAAAAUAUUUGAUAGUAAAUUUAAUUUUUGAAAAUUCUAUAAACAAAGAAUAAUUGUAAAAAGCUAUUUGAAAGUAUUUUUUCUUUUUAAAAUAUUUUGUAUAUUUUCAUCUUUAAAGAUACUAAAGAAAUAUAUUAUAAGAUAAAAUAUUUUAAAAAAAUUUUAAAUAAAAACGAAUUAUAAAAACCUACAAGUACAAGAAAAUAUUUUAUAAAAAUCAAAUAGAAAAACUAACUAUAAAAUAAGUGAUAUUCCUUUUUUUUAAAACCUAAGUAAAAAAAAUGUAAAAGUACUCUUAUUAUUUUCAUAUAAAUAACUAACUUUCCUUUUUAACCGAUAAAUAUAUGUUACAAAAAUAUAAACCAAAAUAAAUAUUAUUUUCACAUCUAUAUUUAGGUUUAAAGUUCCUCAUAUUAUUUUCACAAAAAAUAGUAUUGACAAUAAAAAUAUUAUCUGAGUAUUUUCUUUUAAUUUCUCUGAACAACUCAACUUUUUUAUCAUCUUUUUUACAUCUUAUGACGCUAACACAAGUUUUUUUUAUUAUUAUGUUUUUAUCUUACAUAAGUAUGUGUAAAUAUGAGAAAUAUAUGUUUGUAUGUAUAAGACAUAAUAUAAUUAACUAAAAAUAAUUUUUUUAUUGAAAAUAUACUAGUUGUAUAAAAUUCUUGAAAAACAAGAACAAAUUAUAGUUGGAAUUUUCCUUUUUAAAAAAAUUUAAAGUAACUUAUUUCUUAUAAAUAACUAACUUUUCUUUUUAAUAGAUAAUUUUGUGUUAAAAAAUUAUAAACCAAAAAUAACUUCAAAUAUUUUACCCGAUGUGAUUGUGACAUUUGUACCCAAAAAAAACAUUGUGUAUGUAUUAAUAAAAUUCUAUCAUUAUGUGAAAAUAAUUUUUUUUCCUAAAAUCCUAAAUUAAAGAAAUUUGAAAAAUAUUUUUUUCCUCUUUUAAUAUUAACCAAAUAAGUUUUUUUCCUUUUAAAUCCUGACCAAAUAGAAUUGUAAAAGUAAUAUUUACUUUUUAAAUUUAAUGAUAAAUAUGAUACUGAAAUAUCUAAUUAAAAAUAUUAGUGAUAUUUAGAAAACGAAUUUUGAAAAUAAUAUGAUACUGAAAAUAUUUAAUUUAAAAUAUUAGUGAUAUUGAGAAAACGAAUUUUGAAAAUAGCAACUUUUAAAAAUAGUUAAUAUUUGCUGGAAAUAAUUAUUUGAUAGUAUUUUUAUUUUCUAAAUCCUAGAAAAAAUAAUAUAAAAGAUUAUGUAGUUUUAAUUUUCUUUUCUAACACCCUAAAACUGUAAAAAAUAUAUUUGAUAGUUCCUUUCCUUUAAAAAGAAAAUUCUAAACAAAAGAGAUUUGUAUCAUAUUUUUUAAUUCCUAACCAUAAGAGAAUUGUAAGAAGUUAUUUGAUAGUAUAGAAAAUUUGAUGAUGAACAUGAUACUAAAAAUUAUUUAAUUAAAAAUGAAGUGUAAAAAUAGUAUUGAUAUGAACCGUAAAAAUCAUAAUUUAAAAUUAUUUAAUAAUAACAAGAAAUAGUUAUUUGAUAUCAAUAAGAUUUUUCUGAAAUUCAAAACAUAAGAUAAUUGUAAAAGUUUAUAUGAUAAUACUUUUCUUUUUCUAUAAUCCUAAACAAAAAUAAAAAAAAAGUAUUUGAUAGUUUUUCUUUUUUUUUAUUUUAAAUAAAAACAAGAUUUAGAAAAUAUUUUUUUUCCUUUUUAAAAAAUCCUAACAAAAGUAAACAUACCUACUUAAUAGUAUUUAAAAAAAAAAGAUUUUGAUAACGAGUAUGAUGUUAAAGCUAUUAAAUUUUAAAAAAAAAAUCAAAACUUACGAUGUUAUCGUGAUUGGUAUUUAUGUGUUUGGUUAUACGAAAAUCAAACACAUGUUUGAAAUGCAUUAGUUUAUAAUUCAUUUAAAUUUAAAUGUUAGUAUGAAAAUAUAUCAUUAAUAAAUAAUGAAUCAAGAAAAUUAUUUAACAUCAGAUAAGUUUAAUGAAACAUUAAAUUAGUAGAUAAGAAAAUGUAUAAUGUUGUCAUUGCUUCUUGGCCUUAUUUAAAUUCUAAAUUCCUUUUUAUUUCAUUAUAAUUAUUAUUUUGGGUUGGAUCCGGUUUAAAUUUUUACGUUUGGAUGUUUUUUCUAACUCUAACAAAUAUUAACUGAAACUUAUGUGUGUAAACGAGUUCUUAACUAUAAAAUAAAUUUCACAUAACAUAUGAAAAAACAAUUUAAAAAAUAAAAUAAAAUAAUUUUUUAAUAUUUUUUAUUAAAUUAAAAUAUCAAAUAAAGUCCGUCGCAACGCACGGGUCCAAAUCUAGUUCUAUAUAAAACUUGUCUCCAAAGUUCUUUUUCUUUUGCAAUCUCUUGUUGAAAUUCUUUAUCGAUUGUCAAAUUACUUUGCAAUCUAACUUUGAAUUCAUUCCAAGUUCUCAUAUUAGCCAUAUGCUCCUCACUUUUUUCAUGACCUUUUAGUCUAUCACCAAUACGUUUCCAAUCUCUUAAUCCUUCAUUUGCUAAUAAAUUUAUGUUUCCAUGAGAUUUAAAAAAAUUACAAUAGAAACAAUAAACUUUAUCAACAUGCUUUGAGUAAAUUAACCAUUUUCUAUCAACGGUCUCCCCAUUACACAACUUUCUAAAAUAAUGCCUAUAUGCAAAAUGUCUUUUUGUUUUUUCAUCAAUAGGAAAUUCGAGAUUCAUAUCUUUUUUUGGUUCUUUUUCAAUCAACAAAUCUCUUGUUUUACUAUCAAGAUUAUUACAAUUUCUAGGAUCAUAGAUAUCAAAAGGAAGAAUUGGUGGUUCAUUAGUGUCAAUAUUUUCAAUAGACGGAUUUGAUUCGUUUUCAUGAGAUUCAACAUUAGUUUCUGCUCUAGAACUCUCACCAUUUGUGUUUUUUUUUCUUAAUAAACUUAUCUAAAGCUCCUCUAUGAGAUACUAUAAAUUGUUCAUCACGUUUUCUUUUUUUUUUCUCUGAUCAUUUCCACACACCAUCUCUUUUUAAAAUAAAAGAACAAAGUCACCUGGAUUUGAUGUGCCCAGACACUUAACGAGACCCACCAAAGAAAAUGUUAGAACUGCAUAAAAAAUUGGGUUUAGAAAUAGUAAUAAAAUAAAAAACAGAAACAAUAAACUAAGACACAAAUAUAAUUGAUUAAACAUACCUCUAUGAAAAGGGAUUCCACUAACAGAUCGAUGAAUAGAAUAUGAUUUUUGGUUUGUCAUUUGUGUUGUUAACGCCUAACGCUCACCGCUUCGUUUCUAGAGCUUUUUUUUCUUUUGUCAACGGGAAAAUUGUGAAGGCGAGAGUACAAACUUUUGUUGUUUUAUAAAUGAGGUUUACUUAAUUUAUGGGCCUUUAUGAUAAUUAACAGAUUAAAAUGCCCGGUAUCCAAGACUACAAUUAACAAAUGAGAUUGAUAAUUCAAUCUCGAAGUGUGUUAUUGUGUUUUGAUGAGCGGAUUUGGGACCCGGGCAUAUUAUAUUCAUGGAGGUUUGACGCAUCAAUGGAAGAGCAAAUAAUGUUUGGCAUCAAUAAUAUUACAAGACCGUGUAAUCUCAUCAAAAAUAUGAUGGCCAGAAACAACGAUUUCAUUAUUUUGGGGUUGAUUCUGAAGAAGGAAAGAAAUCGGUUUACAAUCGGUUGGCGAGUAAGGCUUCGGUAUCCAAAGCAUCGUAGAAAUUCACUUCUUCAUCGUUUCUAUUUAAUGUUUGGCUUUGUAACUAAAAACUUGUGUUUAAGUCUGUUUAUUUUUGAUGUAAGAUCGAUGUAUGAACGACUCUUGUAUGUGACUUUAAUCAAUGAAUGAAUCAGUUGUCGUUAAAAAAAAGAAGCUGAAAAUGAUGAGGAAGAUAUUUUAUCUUUUCUACUAAAAAAAUAUUUUAUCUGAAAACCAAUUAAAGAUUCCUGAAAUAUCACUACAACAGGCAACUACAAUUCCAUUCUUUUACUCUACUACCCACUAGGCCUGGGACGGAUCCGAAUAUCCGGGAAAUUCAGCGUACCCAGAUCCGUGAAUUUAAUAUCCGAAUUCGGAUUCGUGAUUUCCGGAUAUCCGGAUUUCAGAUAUCCGUUCCAAUAUUCUAUUACCCGCAGAUAUCCGGAUCUGGAUCCGGAUCCGUAAAAAUAAUUAAAAAUAAUAUUUUUUUUAAAAAAAUACUAAUUUUUUAAUAUAAUACAUAAAUUAAAUAUUUAUAAAUAUAUUUAUAUAUGCCUAUAAUAUUGUAAAAACUAAAAUAUAAUAUUAUAAGAUUAAUUCAUGUAUAAAUAUCUCUGUUCUAAAACACGCCGCCGAAAGCCGUAAAAUCGCCGGAAAAACGCUAUUCGGCCAUCAACCAUGGCGAGUUUGAGAAAAUCGGUGAAAAAAUCGGAUUUCUACGAAAACCUCAAGUUUUGGCUCGUUUUGCUCAAAGAAUUGACUAAUAUACAUGGGAUUUAUUUAAACACCUUUUCCCAAGCUCGAACCCGGAUUCUUAUCCGGAUAAGACUAGUUUUAACCACCACACUACACAAUCUUUCUUGUACUUCAUCACAAACGUAUCAUAUUUAAUCAAAACAAAUCGCCGAUUAAUCCCCGCAUAAUCUCCGAUUUUUUCAUUCGGUGCUAGGCGUUAACCAAGCGUACGCAUAACGCCUAGCGAGUUUCCGAACAAGGAUAAAUAUUAAUAUAUCAAAUAUAAAUAUUAAUGAAAUUUAAAAAUUUAAUGUGUUUUAAAAAUAUGGAUCUGGAUCCAGAUAUCUGGACCUAAAAAUUAAGAUAUCCAGAUUCGGAUUCGGUUUGGACGGAUCAAAGAUUUUAUUAUCCGGAUUCGGAUCCGAGCACUCCAGAUAAGGCUUACUACACACACAAGCGCGCACAAAUCCUCCUUACAUAUCGCUGUCUACAUUAUAUUUUUUUUUGUCAUCAAAUACAGACUCAUACUGACUCUGUGAACCACUACGGUAGAUUUUGAUCAAUGUGAACGACAAACGACGGUUGUUUCCUGGCACUGCGUGCUAGGCUAUCCGCUCUUGAAUUUUGCGUCCUUGGUACAUAGAUAAUCUCCGAACGUGUGAAAACCUCUUUCAGGGACUUAAUAUCUUCCAAAUAACUUGCAAAUGCGGGCCAUUCUUCUGGUUCCGAAACCAUCUUCACCAACUGAGAACAAUCCGUUGCAAAUGUAACCUGAAACUGACGUAAUUUUUUCAUACAUUCCAUUGCCCAAAGUAGUGCUUCUAUCUCCGCAUGUAGAGGGGAUAGACAAGCUCGGACAUUCCUUGCUCCUAACAACCCAUUAAAGCCUUCUAAAGUACUUAGCCAACCUUGCCCAGAGAAAACUUCAUUCUCCUUCCAAGAACAAUCUGUAAAACACCAUCUCCGCGAAAUUGAUGGGAGAGUCGUAACCUCAGCAUGGGACCCUAUCCUGGUCUCGGUCAAUACAUGUGCAUCAGCCCAAAGUGUUGACUAUGUUUCUGCCAAUUUGAGCGUGUCUCUUGGAUCCAUGUCCAUAUUACUGAACACUUUAUUGUUCCUUCCUUUCCAAAUAUACCAAAGUAUCCAUUCAAAUUGAUGGUCCUCCAUUGGUGGAGAGACUCUCCAGAAGAGAUGAUCCAUAUUUGUAAAAAGGGAGCUCGUUGGGAACAUAGUUGGAUUUGAAGGUAUCUUGGAGAGAGCCCAAACCUGAAGUGUAGGAGGACAUUCAAAAAACACAUGAUUGAUCGAUUUCUCUUCCGCUCCGCAACGUGCACAUCAGGUGUCACCUUGUAUUCCUCUCGCUUUCAGAUUCUUCUUGACUGCUAUACAACCUGUAACCAAUUGCAAUAGGAAAUGUUUUAACUUUGGGGGGCACCGUAUUUUCCAGCAAAAAGCCUUCAAAACAUCAACCGUGGGUCCAAACAUUAAAGGUGGUAUUUCCCUAUCUGGAUAAACCCGUUCGAUCUGAUAUCCUGAUUUAACCGUAUACUUCCCAUUGUUUGUGAAAUGCCAUCCAUCCUUGUCCACCAUCUGGGUUUUACUCAGUGGUAUACUUUCUAUAAUUUUUACAUCCUGGGGAUCCAUCAUAGCCCUGAGUGCAUGCGAAUUCCAUGUCCGCAAAGUAGAGUCAAUAAGAGAAUCCACUGUGAGGUUUGGAUCGAAAAUAUGUUGAUUUUUAUUUGCUGGUCUCGGGCUAGUGCUUGGGAGCCAUGGAUCGUUCCAUACAGAUAUAGAUGAUCCUGAUCCCACCCUUUUGAUUAGUCCUUUGCUUACCAGAGAUCUAGCAGAAACUAUACUCCGCCAACCAUAUGACGGAGAAUAAGAGAGAAUCGGUUCCAGGGGUGAUGCAUUCCUGUAAUACCGUCCCUUAAAAACCCGGGAAAAUAAUGUAUUUGGCUUCUCGAUCAAGCGCCACAAUUGUUUACCAAGCAUUGUUGUAUUAAAAUCUGUAAUAUCCUUAAAACCUAAACCCCCAGCUUCCUUAUCAAGACACACUUUAUCCCAUGAUUUCCAGUGCAUACCUCUUGUCCUUCCCCCUGGGCUCCACCAGAAUUGUGCGACCGCGGUCGUCAGUUUUUUAGUUGUUGCCUUAGGUAGACGGUAAACAGACAUCACAUGGUUUGGUAAUGCCGUUACCACAUAUUUAAUAAUCACCUCUUUUCCUCCCUUUGUGAAGAACUUAAAAGUCCAACCAUUAACCCUAUUAUUUAGCCGGUCCUGCACAAAGCUAAAAACCUGUAUCUUGGAUCCUUCCAAAUUUUCUGGAAGACCUAGAUAAGAUCCCAUACCUCCAAGAUUCUGAAUUCCCAAUAUAUCUCUUAAGUCUUGUCUAGUUGAUUCCUCAAUAUUGUGCCCGAAUUGGAUAGAGGACUUAUCAAAGUUUAUAAGCUGACCUGAUACAACCUCAUAUUCCUUUAAGAUCCUAAGGAUAGUAUGACAUUCCUCUUUCAGAGCUUUACAGAAAAAAGACUAUCAUCCGCAAAAAGCAGAUGAGAUAUCGAUGGACAUGCUCUAGCUACCUUCAUUCCCGUCAAAAGUUUCCCUCUUUCCGCCUUUUUAAUAUUUGCAAUUAGAGCCUCAGUACACAGGAUAAAUAAAUAAGGUGAUAAAGGAUCCCCUUGUCGUAAACCCCUAUGUGGAAUGAUAAGGCCCCGUGGAUGUCCAUUAAGUAGGACCCGAUAUUGAACCGAUGAUAUACACUCCAUCAUUAAUGUAAUCCAAUGAAAAUCAAAACCCAUCUUCUGUAGGAGAGCCUUUAUAAAAUCUCAUUCCACUCUAUCAUAAGCUUUACUCAUGUCUGUUUUAAUUGCCAUAUAUUUUCCUUUGCACGCCUUAUUCGUCCGUAAUCCAUGAAACAUUUCCUGAGCAAUAAGAAUAUUAUCAGAGAUUAACCUUCCUGGCACAAAAGCUGACUGAGUUUCUGAAAUAAGAGAAGGUAGACAUAUCUUCAAUCUCUGACACAGAACCUUCGAAAUAAUUUUAUACCCAACAUUACACAGACUAAUAGGCCUCAGCUCUGUCAUCCUUGUAGGCCUCUCCGUUUUUGGAAUCAUACAAAUAUUAGUAAUAUUUAACCUCGGAUCCAAUGUUCCAGUAACCAAAAAAUUAUUCACCAUGUCCACCAAGUCCUUCUUAAUAAUAUGCCAGGAGUGUUGAAAGAAAAGAGUUGUCAUACCAUCCGGUCCUGGUGCCUUCUCUGGAUGCAUCAUAAAAAUGGCUUCUCUGACCUCAUCCUCUGAUGCUAUUCUUAACAGACGUUGGUUCAUCUGAGGAGUAAUACCCGGUGAUACCUUUGUGAGAAAGUCAUCAAACUCCGUUGGAGAAGUGGUAGUGAAAAUCUCUUCGAAAUAGUCCACUGCCACUUUUUCCACACCCAUAUCUUCCGUUAUCCAAUUUCCCAAAGCAUCAUAUAAACCCACAAUCCGAUUACGUACCCGUCGUUGCUUAGUCAAAGCAUGAUAGAAUUUUGUAUUGAGAUCCCCUGAUGUGUACCACGUAUUCCUACUCUUUUGGUGCCAAUACUCCUCUUCAUCUUUAUAUGCAUCUUGCAACUUCUUUGAGACCUCGAUAAUAUCCUCCUGAGAUCUAGAAUUAUCUGUUUGUACCUCUUCAAGAGCUUUUUGUAACUCAUUAAUUUUGUCCUUCCCAUAAGAAGGAUUAUUUUUCCGCCAUUUAGCAAUUUCAUGUCGAUAAUUACUAAUUUUUUCCACUAUCCCAGUUUCCCUUGUUGCACUAUAAUCUGACCAGCCCAUUGUAAUUGAUUCCAAAAGACCUUCUUCGUCCAAUCCAUCUUUUAUCAAACCGAAAUUGCCCUUUUCUCCUAGUGACUUUAUCAUCCAGAUAAGCCACAACUGGGUGAUGAUCAGAAGCCACCAUCCCUAAGUAUUCUGUAUAAGAACAUGGAAACAAAGUAUGCCACUCCUCAUUUGCUAAAGCUCGAUCUAGACGACAUCUUACCGUAACUGCCCCUUUUCCUUUUCCCCUUCUCCCUUGCCAUGACAUUUUAUUUCCCCGUGCCGGAAAUUCCAAUAACCCAGUAUUCCUUAUCAUAUUAUUAAAAGGAGUAAAAGAAUCCGCACUCCGCAGUGAUCCUCCAUCCUUUUCAUGAUUUCCAGUAAUCUCAUUUAAAUCCCCAGUGAUGAACCAGGGUUCUGAACGCGCAAGACCAUAUCUCGUCAAACGUUCCCACACUUGUUCUCUUAAUUUUAAAACAGGAUCACCAUACACAAACGUAAGAUAAACCGUCUUUCCGUUGGUCACCGCUUCCACAUCGAUCAUUCUAUUACUAGAAUAUAAGACUUGGACCUGAGAAUCAUUGUUGUAAAAAAGCGGUAAACCACCACUCCUUCCCAUUGGAUCAACCGUGAACAAAUUACCAAAUCCAAUAUGUGCUUGGAAAUCUUGAACAAAUUUUGAGUCUUGUUUUGUUUCAGAUAAAAAUAAAAAAUCCGGUUUAUGUUUAUACCAUAUCUCUCUUAGAUAGCUCAUAGUCCACUUGCUUCCCAUGCCUCUACAAUUCCAACUAAGCACUCUCAUUUAAAAAUAUAAAUAAAAACUCCCGAGAGUUUAGCGAAAUUAGGUUUGAUGAUACCCUGAAAUCCCAACCAAGAAGCAAUAAGCCACCGAACUCCCAAAUUAACCGUCAUAGUAAACAGCUUCAAUAUGAAAAAAAUAGACCCUUGCUCCAUUCCAAGUAUAUACAUUAUGUCCAGCUCAACCUCACCCUUUAAAUUGGGUCCAAUAAAAACCAUAAUAGAGAAACCAAACAUAUAAACUAUAAUAAAGAAACCAAACAGAUAAAUCAUACGCUUCACGUACGACAUAUAUAAGUCUGUGGAAGCUCCUGAACCAAUAACAAUGACUGAACCGUAUGUUCCCAAAACCAGCACUUUGAGCCUCUCUAAAGAAACUCUCUGCAACUGGUUUAAAGAGACCAGCCACAGGCCUCGAGUCCGUGCAGUGAAAGCGUUCUGCUCUGUCCCGAGCCACAUCCCAAAACCACCAAACCACAUAUGUACCAACUCCUUUAUUUCCCUCCCAUGAACAUCAAAUUGCAUAAGUAAAAAUUAUGAUCCCUUCGUUGCAACGAUUUGAAACAAAUCCAAACACCAAAGUCAACAAAUUUAUUCCAUGCAUUCCAACCCCCAAGCAAACUACAAACUAGUAAGCACCUUUUUAAAACCCAAACAUACCAUAUUUGGCUCCCAUAAAGUCCAAAACAUCCAAGUAAAACUGCAUUAGUAAACAUUACCCAAAAGAUUAAAAAUAUGAAAACAAAAUGUACGGAACCACUAAGACACAUAAUCCUUUUAACCCAAUCAUGAGAUAAGAAAAAAUCCUCCUCAUUAGCACCCUGAGACCAUCGCAUUAACCCCAUGUCAUUCAAAGCAGACCCCACACCCAUUACAGUGACCAUUGUCACUUGGCCGAACUGGCUCCUCUCCAUAUUCUUGUCUAAUGAAGACGUUGAAGAGACCAGUUCCCCUGUUUCUCCGAUCUUGAUCCUUACCACAGUACAAAAUACAUACCACAUGUUUUGACUUAAUGAGGUAAUAGUACCAGAAAUGUCAUCCCGUGCUGACCAUAGGAGCCUACAGUUUCGAGUCAAGUCCUCUGCGACCCCUAGUUUAAAUCCAAACACAAAUAAGUCUGUAUAUUUCCAUUGUUCUUGUACACACCCAGAGGAACCAUCAACAUUAUUCUCCUUGACUUUGCACAACCAAAAACAUCGUAGACCAGAGACCCAUGAACCAAAAACACCAAUUUUAUUCCUUAAAAAAAACUUAACCGAAACUCUAGACCAAUACAAAGAAUUCAAACGACUACUUAACCAUAAACACUAGAUAUUGCUCAGUGAACUUAUUGAAAAAACAGAAAUAAAACAACCAUAACUGAAAACCACACACAAACCCGCGCUUCUUCAUCUUCGUAAUCCAUUAAAAUCUUCAAUGUUUGUUGAUGGGAGGCUUGGGGUUUGAAGUACCAUGCUCCGCUCCUUGCUUCGUGCCAUCGCCUUGCUUCAUGCCAUCGCCUUGCUUCGUACCCUCACCCUGCUUGGGGUUGGGCUUGCUCGGAAGGCGUUUGCGCGGUGAAAUUAAGGAAUGCACCAUUCUCAUCUUAGAAGUUCCUACCACAAGUGGCCCUCCUUUGAAAAGCUUCUUUUUAACUCCUUUAUUCUUUUCUUCCCCGCCCACAUUCUCAGCCUUUUCCAACUCUCCCUCUUCACUCAUCUCAAUGCUAGCGACAAUAUCACCCUGUGUAACACCCUGGUUCCCAUCAAUCUCCUCAUCCGUAACAUCCUGAAACUCUUCCUCUCCACCAUUGGUUACCUCCCCCUCUUUCAGUGAAGAGUUAUUCUCAUCAGUGUCCAUAUCAUCUGCUUUCACCAAAUUCUCCUGUUCCAGCAUAACCUCAUUGACUACAUCAAGUCCAUUCUCUACCUUCUCAUUCCCCAUACGUACCUGAUCAGACCCUAGCCCGUUGACAUGUGCCAAUAUCACGUCGCCGUCCCUCUGUGGAUGCACUUCCUGUUGUGUUUCACCCGCCCCGGACAGUUGAGUAGAUCUCAUGGUACCUUCAUAUGUGCGCCCCUUACUCCUCUCCUGUUCUGGAAAGUGAUCUCUGGGACUGCGUUCUCUGCGCAUACCUCGAUACCCUUGAGACCGGUAACGCCCCUCCUGAAAGGAGUUCCUUGUAAGCUCAUAUAUGGGGCGGCGAUGGCGUGAAUCUAGCUCCUCUCCCCUGAAACGACUUCUAUCUGCACUCAGCUUCUUAUUCCCUCUUCCUGACACACGGACCCAUUUUGCCUCAUCUUCCUCAUACAUUUUCCCCUUGCCUUUCCCUUGAUAAUCCCUAUCCUCCUUGUUUUGCUCCUGACGACCAUCAUGACCAUUGAUAACUACCCCUUUGUAACUUGCAGCUCGCUCUCCUCCCCGUUCAGUUCUUGCCUCCCGCACCUCUAUCUCCUUCUGCGGACUUUCCUUGUUCAGUGAGCACUGCUUCAUGUCAUGACAGAGACUGAAACACGUAGAACAAUAGCCAAAAAGCUUCUCGUAUCUCAAAGCGAUCAGCUCUUCCCCUCCUCCAUAGAAUUCUCCACCGCGAAAGUCAACUGAUGUCUCGAAACAGAGACAAUGUGUUCCAUCGAUGACCACUUUAACUCUCCCGUAGUCAAGGUCCACUUUGACAACAUUGCCUAUAGCUCCUCCAAUACUCUCAAAAGUCGGCUCUGCCCAAUAUUGGAGCGGAACUCCCAAGACACGAACCCAAAAAGUAAUUUCUGUGGGGUAACUCUUUUCCAUCACUGGCUUCCACCUCACGAGAGAGAUCAUCCAAUAAUCAAAGUGGUACGGCUGCAUCUUCAGGACCUCCUCGAUAUCCUCUUCGUUGUGGAAAUCGAACUGAAACCUUUCAAGACAAAGAUCAGCUCCAGCAACUCUAUCUUCCACCUUCCAGAUUUUUGGUAACAUGAUGAUUAAAGCCUUAACGUCUUGCUCCUCAGGGUUCAAGCACUUGCCGAUCAGAUUUUUGUCAUAGUUCUGGAUGAGCGCCGAGUUAUCAAAGUGAGGCACCGUGACUCUCAAGGGCUUGCGGGCUGCUUCACCACCAUUUUUGUUCCCAACCGUAGCAAGAAGCUGUCCUUGAGUCAUAUCAAUGAAAAUCGCAAAGAACUCCACCAACUGGAAAAUAAGAGAAAAGGAAUUGCUUUGUUGAAAGGUGAUGAUAUGAAACGUCGCCUCUCUUCCCCUUUUAUACAUCUUCUUCUCCUUUUGAAAUCUGAAGUAGCGAAGAACACAUUGAUUACCAAAUAUUGUAUCUUCAAUCAUACUAUGCUGAAAAUAAUCUAAAAAUCUCAAAAUGAUACACCAAAUCAAUCCAAAGAAACCUGACAGUACAUGAUGUUGAAACCCAAGAUUUCGGUAUAAUUGAAUCAGAGAUCUGAUCCUAGAAACCCACCAAUCCUCCCUCCUUUGACCCCUUUCUCUGAAGAAUCCAAAAGAUCAUACCUUGAUAACUCCGAAUCUUGACAAAAUUAGUUUGGGCAAGUCUGCACAAUCGUAAUCGAACAGCCCACGUCUUUAUUUCCAUAAUCUCCAAUAUCCAACCAAAUCCCUUAAAGCCUUUCUUCGAGAUCGAAUCCCAUUGACACCGCCUUACGAUACCCAUUUUUCCUUCACAUAAUCUUCCAGAUCCAUCCACCCAAAGAGUAUCUCCAUCAUUAUACCUCGAUUCAAACCGUGAAUUCCCAAAAACUGCAGAGAAAUCAAUCAUCGAACCCUAGAUCCCCUUUGUUGUCGCCAUCCGUUACUAGAACCCGUUGUCUACAUUAUUAUGGUCUCUUUUUUUUAAUUCAGUUACAGAGUCUCAAAUGAAUUCCUAGCUUUUUUUUCUUUCUUUUAAGAGGAGAUUAACUCAAAGAAAUUUGAGAAAUUCUUAGGUUCACCCCAUUCCAUAACUGAACCUAGAGGUUCAUCCAACCAAUAAGAUUUAGUUAUUUUAGAUUUAAUAUCUUUUAAAAAAAAACUAAAUAAUAAAAAUUUGUGAAAUUAUAUUAUGCUUUUAAAUAAAAAAAUUAAUAGUAAUUACCAUAAAAAGUUUUUUUAAUAUUGUUAAACCUGUUAGUAAAAUAUUAAACCCUAAACCUUAAAUCAUAAACACUAAACCUUAAAUUCUUGGAUAAAUCAUGAAUCCUUGGGCAAAUCCCAAAUCCUUAAUCCUAAACUCUAAACCAAACCCUAAACCCGAAACCCUUAAUCCUAAACCCUAAUACUAAAUCAUAAACCCUAAAUUCUAAACACUAAACUUUAAACAAUAAACCCUAAAAUCUUGGGAAAAUCCUAAACUCUAAACCCUUAAUCCUAAACCCUAAACCCUUAAUCCUAAACCCUAAGGGUUUAGGGUUUAAGAUUAAAGGUUUAGAAUUUGGUUUAGGGUUUAAGAUUAAUGGUUUACGGUUUAGGAUUUUUCCAAGGAUUUAUGAUUUAUCCAAAGGUUUAGGGUUUAAAGUUUAGUAUUUUGCUAACUAGUUUAAUAAUAUUAAAAAAAAUUGAUAAUUACUAUUAUUUUUUAUUUAUUUUAAAACAUAAUAUAAUUUCACAAAUUUUUAUUAUUUGGUUUCUUUUCUAAAAGAUUUGAAUUUAAAAUAACUAAAUCUUAUUGAUUGGGUGAACCUCUAAAUUCACAUAGGGAGUGAAACUAAGAAUUUCUCAUAAAAUUUUUUAUUUCUCCCUUUAAUAUAAUACAUUUUCUUUUUGAUAUUAUUUUUUAAUUGAAAAAUGUGGCCAAAGACGAAAUAAUCCUUAACGAAAUAGCUUAAUUAGAAUGAUCCAACCCUAAAAACGCGACCGACCCAAAUCCUACCCGGUAUAACCCGGAUCCUAACUAAACGAUGGGAUUAAAGGCAUUGGGAAAUGUUGUGACCACAGACCUGCUGAGAAUCUCGUCUUGUAGAAAGGUGGAUCCUUGUACUGGACCAGAAAAGUUGAUGAGGUCUUGUCCGGCUCUCGAGAGUUUGCAACUCACAAAGUGUUGUUUGAAUGAUAAAGAAGGAAUGAGAGCUUCUUGGGGCAUUAUAUAUUUUAUCUUCGUUGGAUCCUUGUCCUGGACCAGAGAAACGUUGGGAGCUUCUUGAUGUUUUGUAUAAAAUUAUUGUAUUGAGAUUUAUUUUAUUUUUGUUGUGUUGUUUGGAAAACUAAAGUACCAUUCUUGAUAUGUAUUACAUGUAUAAAAAGUUGUGCUUUGGAUGUCAAAAACAUGGUAUCUGUUGCUAAAUAGGUUUGGAUAACUGGAUUUUUUUUUUUUGGCAACGGAUAACUGGAUUUAUUAGGUUUGUUAUGUGCAAAAAAAAAAGAGUUAGUUGGACAACUUACCCAUGUAAAAUGAUAAUACCAAAAACGGAUAACACAUAUUAAACAUUAUGAAAUUAAAUAAUAUCAAAAAAAAACUUUUAUGAAAUAAACACAUACAGUUUGUAACAUGUUAAAUGCAUAGUAAAUGUUGAACACAAGUUGAUUAAUUCCAAUUGUUUACUUCAGAGGCAAGCCGAACAGAUUAUGAAAUAAACACAUACAGUUUGUAACAUGUUAAAUGCAUAGUAAAUGUUGAACACAAGUUGAUUAAUUCCAAUUGUUUACUUCAGAGGCAAGCCGAACAGAUUAUGAAAUAAACACAUACAGUUUGUAAUUAGAUCAGAUUAAAUAUAGAAAAAGAUCUAAAUAUAUGUUAAUAUUUUCUCUUAGAAACACAUUUUGUUGGUCAGUAAAUAUUGAAUUGAAGUAAUAUAUCACAUUACACCUUCCAUCAUUUACAAAUAAUUAAAAAGUUUAAAAACAUUUAUCUUCUUAUUUUAGAUUUUAAAAACAUUUUAUUUUUCAUAAAAUUCGUCUUGUCUUAUUCAUAUUAAAGUAAUAAUAUAAAAAAUACUCAUGUAAAAAAUGCAUGCAUAGCACAUGUUAAAAUAAUAAUUUAAAAAAUACUCGGGUAAAACAUAUAUCCAUUAUAUACAUAAAUUUAAUAUUCUAAUUACACUUAAUAAUUCUUAGUAAUUUUCAAGGUAGUAGUAAUACUAACUUAUACAUAGUAAUACUUUGGCAAAUUUUAAGUUUUAUUUGUAAAACCAUGUCCAAAUGAAAUAUUUUGUAAUAAAACCAAUGAUUUUAUAUAAUGAAUGUCAUUAAGGAAGAGUAUUACAUAAACAAUUUACCAGAAAUAAGUAUUUUUAAAUAUUCUUCUCACUAUAACCUUAUGAUUCACAUAACAACCAUGAAAGUUAAAGAAUCAUUUUGGGAAAAUGAUAAAUAUUCAUAAAACUAUAGAAAAUAAUCAUCUAAAUAGUUUUAAUAGUCUUACUGACUAUAUACAUAGUCUACUAAUAGAAAACAUAUGGGUUCUAUAUGUUAAAUAUACCUACUAUUUGCAAUAUACAGAGGUUUUAAAUUACACAUAAUAAAACCAAGUAAUCCUAGUAGUCCAAAUUAUACAUAAUAAACCCAGUAAUUCUAAUAGUUCGAAUUACACACAUUUGAUCUAGUAAUCUUAGUAUUCUGAUUACACACAAUAAACUCAAUAAUCCUAGUAGUCCGAUACUCCGAUUACACACAAUGAAAACAUAAUAAAGAAAAUCUGGUGCGUCAAAACUACCAGAAUAAUCUUGAGCCAAAAUAGUUGCACCGAUUUGUGGUGUACCUCUCCUUCUAUUAAACCACUAUUAUCAUAUUCUAUGAACAUAUUAAAGUCUUACUGUACUUCAAAAUCUAUAUUAUAAUAGUUGAGUUUUUGCUCACUCCUUAGCGCGCCACGUCAGCGUUUUGUGGGCUCCACUUUUAAAAAGUGUGAAAAAGUGUCAAGCUCAUGGUUCGAACCCGAGUUAUUGAAAUAUAAACACCAACAUUUAUACCACUAAGCUAAAUGAUACUCUGUACAUUGAUGACCGAACCUAAUAUAUAUUUAUGAAGGUCGGAAGCCCUUGCUUCUUCGGCUUCCUCUGAGGGUCGGGCCUACAAGUGUAUUAUGGGUUUCAUUUUUAAAUGGGAUUCAUUACGUUAUAUGAAAAAGCUCAAGUUUGCAACAAUUAUAGCUUUCCCAUAUUGUAAAAUGUUGUCGUUUAACAUGAGUUUGAGUUCUUUUCAUCAUUGUCUCAAACAAGUCUGAGUUACAAAGUUACACCGUGUGUCUGUUCGUAAUCUAUUUUUUCACCGGUGAACUCUUCAUGUCCCCAUCUUAAAUCGCUUGAUCAUAAAUGUUCCUGAUUUGUAGCCCCUCUGUAAACCCUAUAUAUAUAUGAUUCUCAUCUUUGAUGAACCCAAUCUGCAUCUCCACAAAACUCAUUGAUUCCUCCUAGCCUUAACCAUCUUCUAGAAAAUGCUUCUCUCUGCCUCUCCAGUUCCUCAAACCGGCAUUCCGGCGUCCGUCACUCAACCUUCGAGUCUCUCCGUCUUAGUCGUAGUAGUCAGAGCAUAGCCUCUGGCUUCCUCUGCUUCUGGGAUUCCCUGGACUUCAAGAAAGACAUGAAGUUUGUGGGAAUCACAGUUCUCUUCCUUGAUGAAAAGGUAAGUUAAUCUUCGAUCUAUCACACUUAUUUAACAUAAUUGUUUUAAUUGAUUUCUUGAUUCUUUGUUAAAUAAUAUUAUUUGCAGAUUCCGUGAUUCAUGGGUUUACUCCCGUCGAACGUGCUAAUCAUUACAAGUCAUCUUUGAAAGAAGGUUCCAUCUUUUGAGGUUGCUAGGUGCUCAAGCAUGUACAAGAUAACUGAUCAUCCAUUCCUUAUUCGUUUCAUCUCACUAACCAUUAUUGAUGAAGUCAUCACGGUUCCUCUUGAGAUCAAUCUCCAGUCAAGAUUAGACUGUUCGACAGUCUCCAAGUGAUUGAGAACACAAACCUAGAACUCCAGGUAUAUUAUCAUAUUGCAUCUGAUUUUAUAUUAUGUUUCGAUAUUAUAACUGAUAUUUAAACUCGCAGAUGUGGUUAGGCAAAUCCGUUCUAUCCAGGGCUCUGACCUCACCAAAGAAACAACUCGAGUCGUUAUCCGUCUCCUCAUUGAUCCGUAAGAAACAAUCAAUACAUAAUUUCCUUUAUAUUACUGCCUAUAUUGUGCUAACAUCAAUAAUAAAAAAUAUUUCCUACCCAAGAUUUGUGGUCGUCUAUUUAUUUCCCUUACUUAUCAAUAUAAUUUUACACAAAUCUUUAUUUUACAGCUUAAAAGAAACCACAAUAACCCGAACAAUCAAAACACGAAAAACUAGAAUCCCAAAAAAGACGAAUAAUUAAUGAUCACCUCUCUUUUUGUUUAAUAUUACAAAUAAACUUCAAAACAAAUAUAUACUAAACCAAUCAACUCAACUAAAACUCAAUGACACAUACAUUGAGCCAGCUAAUCAAAUACAAACUACACGACAACUAUUUAACAAUUUACAAACUUACUUUCGCAUAUGCUUAUGAAGAAGACGAGGACGACAACCAAGAUCAGUGAAAUUACUUUAACAAAGCAGAGUAAGUUACAAACUCUUAUAAAUACAACUAACAAUGAAUUUUGUUUACAUAUUACCGUCAAAUAAAAGAAAAACAAACACAGCCACACCAGGAGAUACAAGAGACAAUCCCAACAGACACAAAGGCGGCAAUAACAUCUCCACCUGCUCACUCCUCUUGUCUUAUGAAAAUAGCUUACAUGUUCAAUGUCAACAGGCCAAUGUUGUUGUCUUCUUGUGAUAAAUACAUAUAUUCGUUUAAAACCCAUUAAGACUCAAAUACUAAUUGUCACUCAUUUUAUAGUUAUUUCUACAAGUCUUCAUGUAUUUGUUUUAAAGGUCCAGGAAAAGCAACAAGUUUGAAAAUAAAAAAAAAACAUAUAACCAACAUAAUAAGAAUAAAAAAAAAUUAUUACUUAAUACAUACAACUUACACAACUAAUCUGGAGAAAAAAUAUCCAGAAACAAAAGGUACUCUCAAUAACCUUAAUAUAAUUUAUGUAAUCUCAAAAGUACAAGUAACAAAUUAAAAAGAAAAACAAACAAUAAGUCUCAGUGACACAUCAAGCAACACCACGAACUAUAUCAAUCAAAUUACCAACACAAUUUAGUCUUUCAUGAGUGGAGAACAGUGAAUACACAGUUCAUCAUCACAACUCUAACCCUAUAACAAUAAAAAACUUGAAAAACAAUGAUCAACCCAAAACGCAAAUCACAGUUACAAUAACCCUAACAAAUAUUGAAAUGAAACAAGAACUCUGUACACAACUCCGCGCUUGCGCGGGGUCAAUGAUCCUAGUGAAGUAAAAUAAACCAAACCCCAUAAAAGCAGUUCUUAAAAACAUUUUUAAUGUCUCAAAAUUUUCAUUAAAUCUUACAUUGUUUACAUUCCAAAGAUAUACACUUCAUUUUAGUUAUAUUCUAGAUAAAAUUUCUGCAAAAACGAACAUAAUAAUCUUAAAACCUAAAAAACACAAUUAAAACUCGUUUUCAGUCUUCUAAAAUUCUAAGUAAACAUUAUUUACAUUAUCCAAGAUAUACAGUUCAUUUUAAUGAUAUUCUAGAUAUAUAUUUUUUUAAACAGAUAUAAUAAAUUUUAAAAACGGAUAAAAAUUUUUAAACAGUUUAUGAAGUUUCAGUCACGUUAAUAAAGAAAAAUAAAAGGGAAAAUGUCACGUUGAAGAAGAAAGAGAAAUGGACAGAGAGUUUUCAUUGGUUAAAAUUUAUUAUGGGACCCAGUUGAUUUUUAAUAUAUUGAUAUAAAUUUAAUUCAUAGUUUAAUAUUGUUAUGAGGUGGCAAAUUUUGUUAAAAAAUUUAGAAAGUUAAUUUGGAGAUCACAAAGAGAGAAUAAUAUAUAUAUAUAUAUAUAUAAUAUUAUAUUACCUAUUGAAUUGAUAAAACUCAAACCCGAAAAAAUUUAUUAAUAUAUUAUAUUUAUUAGUUUACAGAAUAUUAAUUUAUUAAAAUUAAAAUUAUAUUAUAUAUUUAAAUAUUAAAGUCUCGUUAGGUCACUGGUUUAAUUUUAAUGAUAUAAAAUUACAUUCAUAAAUUUAAGAUGUGAAUAAAAAUUAUAUUAAAUAUUAGGUUUAAUCAAUUAAAUUGAUUGGAAGAAAGAAGAAAAUUAAUUAGUCUAUAUUAAUACUUAUUAGGUAUGAUUGUUUAAAGUUAAGUUAUAAAUUUUUAUGAUUUUAUCAUAAUAAUUUUUAAAAGAUUAUUAUUAAAUUAUAAAAAUAAGGGUUGGCAAAAAAAGAGAAAAAAAAAUAAAGCUUAGAAAGAAAUUAUGACUAGCAAACAAGGAAAUAUUAAAUAAAGAUAGGGACUCACCUGCAUAAAAUCUGUGUCACAAUAAAAAUGAAAAAAAAUAUUAAAACAAAUUUGGGAUCCACCAUAAAAUCUGCGUAAAAGAAAAAAAGCAUUAAUAGAAAAAGAAAAUAGUAAGUACUGGAAGAGAAUUAAAAGAGCGGUAUUGAGAAUAAGGAAAGAAUUGCCAUACUGAGAGGAUCAUCUGCUAAGGCAUAAUUUAGAUGUCAUACAUAUUGAGAAUAACUUUUUCUGAUCGGGGCAAAUUGAGUUAAAUUCCUUAGCAAUUGGAUUUUGGAUUUACAAAUUAUUCAAUUGAUUCUUAUGCCGGCACGUAAGCUAAAUUGACAUCAUAAUUAAGUGACAUAUCAUCAAAUUUUUUUUGUAAUAAAUACAAAAUAUAUAUAUUUAAACUUUUUAAAUGAUUCUCAAUUAAUAUAUAUGGGAUAUAAUUAGUACAACUAUAAUUUUAAUAUUAAUAAUAAUUUACCUAAAUUAUAUCCUAAUUUUUUUUUAUAACGUCUGAUUUAUUAUUUCAAUUGGAAAUUACAUAGUCAUUAUGCAAAAGCAUAGUAAUUGUGUUUGGGACAAAAUGAUGAAAACAAAAUGUACUAUGAUUAAGUAUAUCACUUUUCGCCAGUUUGUCUGCAACUCUAUUUCCUUCUCUGUUUAUCCAUUGGAACUCGACUGAUUCAAACUUCUGUUUCCACCAUAAUGCUUCUCGUAUCCAAUUAUAUGAAUGAAAGCAUAAACCAAUUCUGUUAAGGAGGUGAAUAGCUUUUUGACAGUCCCCUUCUAUGAUAAUCUUCUUAUAUCCAUGGCUCCAGCAAUUUUGCUUUGCCAUAAUGAUCGCCUGUAGUUCGCUUUCCAACGGAUUUCUAACUACCUGACCAAUACCUUGUCCCGCCCCUUGAUAAACUCCUCUUGAAUCUCUAAUCACCCAUCCAGCACGGCUCGGAAUGUUUGAAUUGGUGAAAGAACCAUCAACAUUACACUUUAUCCAUCCUGUAUAUGGUCUUCUCCAUUCAUUUCUUCUAUUUCUGUAUGUCCCUCUGACCGUAGCUUGAUUGUUCAUCCAUUCUUGUGCGUCCUUAUGGGCUUGCAUCAAUAUAGUUCUCCAAUUUAUAUGCUUAUGCUGAAAGAGAAGAAUAUUUCUACUCUUCCAUAUACGCCACAAUACCCACAAAGGUAGGUUAUGUAAAUGAGACAGUGUAGAGGAAGAACAACACUGUAGACAAGCUUCCAUUUUUGCUUCCAGAGUAGCAUUUGGAUCCAUUAUUAUCAAGUUAGAAAUACCUGACGCCCUCCAAAUAGAUUGAGCAUAUAUACAAUCAAAUAAUAUAUGCUAAUCUGAUUCUUCACCUUGGCAGCAUCGCAGACACUGAUCCAUAUUAGUAACAUGUCUUCUCUUUAAAUUGCUCCCUGUUGCCAGGCUUCUUGAUAAUGUUUUCCAAAGAUAAUGAUGUAUUUUCGGAGGCAUUUUCGUUGCCCAAAUCUUCUUCUUGAGAUUCACAUCACCAUAAACUGGUUGUAUGAGAUCAUUUGCUGGUAGAUGAGUAGAUAGCCAAUAUCCGGAUUUAACUGAAUAGAUCCCAUUCUCAUUAUAAUGCCAGCCAAGUAGAUCCAACUGAGCUUUUGAGAAGAUCUUGACUCCAAGUAUUUUAUCUAUAUCCUCUUCCACAACCACCUCAUGUAGCUUUUGUUCAUUCCAUCCUCUCCCAUCAGAUCGUAUCAGGUCUUUCACCUUUCCUACCAAAGGAACUCCAUCUCUAGCUCUUGGUGGCCUUGGAGGGUGAACCGGUAACCAUGGAUCAGUCCACAGAUUAGUCAGAGUGCCAUCUCCUAUAACAUAUCUUAGCCCCUGAUUUACAAGCUCUUUCCCAUACAAAAUUGAUUUCCAUGCAUAAGAAGCUUUCCGUUUCUGAACUGCAUCGAGGAUAUUACCAUCUGCAGAGUAACGAGCUCGUAGAACUCGAGCCAUAAGACAUUCUGGAUGCUGCAAAAUACGCCAGACCUGUUUACCCAAUAGUGCUUGGUUGAAGUUUUGUAGUGAACCCAAGUCCUCCUUCUCGUUUAGGUACACUAACCCGUUUCCAUGCAUACCAAUGCAUACCCUUCUUAUCUGUAUUGCCCCACCAAAAUUUCGCAAGCACACCAUUGAUCUCUUCACACACCUCCUUUGGUAAUCUGAAUACAUUCAUCGAGAAGAUUGGCAUGGCUAGCGCUAUUUAUUUAAGUAACACUUCCUUGCCACCAUGAGAAAGGUAUUUUUUACUCCACCCCUGAGUUACUGACUUAACUCUAUCCACUAUGUAGGCAAACAUAUCACUUUUACUUCUUCCAAAUUGUUCUGGCAUUCCUAAAUACUUUCCAAUUCCACCAGCGUUAUGUAUCCCCAAAAUAUUCCUCAUGCGAGAUUUAACUAUCUCUGAUACUUUACUACCAAACGUGAUAGAAGACUUACUGAGGUUAACUGAUUGCCCUGAAGCAGCCUCAUAUUCCGAUGAAAUUUUCUUAAGCUUAGUUGCUGCCCUUGGAUUAGCCAGUGAGAAAAAUAAAGAAUCAUCUGCAAAUAAUAGAUGAUUAACCGGUGGUGCUUGUAGGGCUACUUUCACUCCUAAUAUAGAUCAAUCCUCCAUAGCUCUGUUCAUCAUAUGGGAAAGAACUUCUGCGCAAAGUAUAAAUAUAUAUGGAGAAAGUGGAUCACCCUGCCUGAUUCCUCUCUCUGGUACAAUAUGACCUUCUGGGGCUCCAUUAAUCAAAACAGAGAAGCUGACACUACUCACACAUGCCAUUAUCCACUUGAUCCAACGUGUAUCAAAACCCAUUCUGAUCAUUGUUUCCUCAAGGAAUCUCCACUCCAAUCUAUCAUAAGCUUUUGCUAUAUCUGUUUUAACUGCCAUAUAGGAUGAAGCUUGCCUCUUCCUUACUUUGAGACUGUGGAAAACUUCAUGAGCUACAAUGAUGUUGUCUGUAAUAAUUUUCCCUGGUAUAAACGCUUGUUGAUUCUCUGUUAUUAAACCAGCCAAGUGUUUCUUCAUGCGGUUGACCAAAAUCUUUGAUAUAACUUUGUAGGCAACAUUACAUAGAGUAAUAGGACGGAACUCAGCCAUCCCAGUGGGUGGGUAGACCUUUGGGAUAAGACAGAUAUUAGUGUGGUUCAAUGCUGGGUCUAUUUCUCCAGUAUCAAAGAACUGCUUGACUUCUUGAAUAAUCUCUGUCUUUAACUCAUCCCAAAACUGGUGAUAGAAAACUGCAGAAAACCCAUCUGGACCAGGAGCACGAUGUGGGCCUAUAGUAAAUAUAGCUUCCUGAAUUUCUUCUAUUGUUACCUCUCGUGUAAGAUCCAUAUUUAUCUCAGCGGUAACCUUCUUUGUAAAUCCAGAGAAAACUUUAUCAUAGACACUUGGAUCUGUUGAUGAGGAGGAGAAGAAGGAGGUAAAGUAAUCCUGAGCAACUCUUCCAAUACUCUGUUGGCCUCUAUGUAUUACUCCAUGUUCAUCUUGGAUCGAUGUGAUCGUAUUUCUGGAUCUCUUUCCUUUAGUAAUGGCAUGAAAAAAGGAAGUAUUUCUAUCCCCUACUCUAAGCCAUUGGAUUCUGCUUUUUUGUUUCCAGAAGACCUCUUCAUCUAUGUAAGCUUGAUCUAGUUCCUCCUUUAAAUGCGUAUUCUCUUGUUGGGUUGCAUUAUUAUCACUGACAGCUUUAUCUAACUUGGCUCGAAGGAUCGAGAUACAUUCUUGAGCAUUACUUCUGUUAUUUCUUUUCCAUCUUGCAAUAUGGUGCCGACAUCUACUGAUCCUCUGAGCUAACGGCAACUGUAUAAACUGAGCCUAUCCCAUACCAUUCCAGCCCCUUUGUACCGAGUCUUUGAAUCCUUCUUUCAUACUCAUUCCACUAUCAUAGCGAAAUGUUCUUCUGGGCUGUUCUUUUUCAACUCCAAUAUAUGUUAUCAUUGGUCUAUGGUCAGACUCACCAAUCUCCAAAUACUCAUUCUCUGAAGCUGGGAAGAGCGUGUUCCACUCAGAGUUAGCCAUUACGCGAUCCAAGCUGCAUUGAACUUGAUGUUGACCUCUCUGCCCAACCCAUGAAAAUCUGUUUCCCACUGAUCUUACAUCUGUUAAGUCAUUAUGCCGAACCAUUGUGCGAAAACCUUGAAAUGAAAUUUCAGGCCGCACUCUACCACCCUGUUUCUCAUGAUUUCCAAGAAUUUCAUUGAAAUCACCAAGUAACAACCAUGGUUGGUUCCGUCUACUAAUCCCCAUUCGUUCCAAAGCUUCCCAAGUAUAGUGACGCAAAGAAGUAUUUGGGUUUCCAUAAACGAAGGUAAAAUAGAAAGAACCUUCAUUACCAUCAACUUUACAAUCUACCAAAUUGGGAGAUAGACUUAAAACUGAAAACUGUACAUGCUGCUUCCAAAAGAUAACUAACCCACCACUAGAUCCUAUAGGCGGCACUGAAACAUAAUUAAGAAAAUCUAUCUGAGCUCCAACAUCACGGAUGUAGUCAUCAUUCUGUUUUGUUUCUGACAAGCAUACGAUGUCCGGGAGACACAACCUGUUGAUCUCCUUAAGGCGUCGAACUGUCGAGUCUAUGCCCAAUCCUCGACAGUUCCAACAGGUUGUCCUCAUGGCGGCAGUGGUGGUUCAGGGCCCACCGCGCCUCCCACUAUAGUGUCAGCUUCAUCCUCUGUAGCAGCCGAGAAGGUAGUCUCUUCCAAUGUCACAUCUCCUCCUGUCUUGCGCUUCACACUUCUUGCACCACUAGAUUCUCCUUUCUCAACAGAGGAGAAUUUGCUUUUGUUGUGGUCUGCCUCAGCCAUCCGAGCUUUCCUCUUUAGACCCUCCCUUCCAUCGUACCUAUCAACAAACGGGUUGAUUGGGUUGAACAUUUCCUCAGUGUUGAGCUCAUCAGAGUACAGAUUAGGCAGAAUAUGACCAUUCCAUAGGUCAUCUUCUUCUUCAGCUUCCUCUAUCAGAGAAAUCUCUCUAUUACAUUCCAAAGUUUUUUUCUAUGAUACCCUAGAAAACUAAGAACCCUAAAAUAAUAAAUUCCCAAAUCGACUUUGAUGUAUUUAAUAUAAAUCCAAAACAAAUAGAGAAUAUCAACUAAACAGAACACAAACAACUUUUAUCUAUAUAUAUACAUAUAUAUAUAUUAUUUUCUAUAUAUAAAUAAACACUAUACAUAUUAAACUUAAAAUGAGUAUUUUUAAUUGUAAAUUAUUAUAUAUUUUUUCAAAUUACUAUCUUAAGUUAUAAAGUUAGUUAAAAUUUAACAUUAUUAUAAAUAUAUUUUUGCAGUUUAUAUUAAAAUUUACUUUUCGCAAGUUCAAACUAUGAAUUUACUAAUAUCCCAAAAUAAAGAUUUGUCUUUUAUUUACAAAUUCAAGAUGGAAGCUAACUUCUACAACUAUAAAAAUGGAAAACUACUUUUUAAUAAAUUAUUUCUUAUAUAACUUUUAAAUAUAGUGCAUAUCAAAAAAAUUCUCAUAGCUUAAAAUUCAACCUACGAAAUAAAAAUAUAUUAAAUUAUAUACAUUUAAACAUAAACUAUGUAUAAGACUUUAAAAAUAAUUAGGUUGAAUAUACUUUUCAUUAAAGAAAAUCUUUGUGUGGAAGCCCCUUAGUCCAGUGGUUUGACUAAGUGUUCAUGAAUGCUUCUACACCAGCAAGUUCAUGUUUCAAUUUCCAGAGAAAAUGAUUUAUUAAACAAUUAUGCAAGCUACAGAAAAAAAGCUUACAAGGGAUCUUCAACAUGGUGCAAGUAAACCCGGUCAAGCGUGGAUCUUCAUAGGGCGGCUCUGGUGAUGCAAUUAGACGUAGAUCCUCAUAAGGCAAGUAGUAUUGUCGGUUGCCGAAUCGUCUAUGUAAUCUUUCUCAUAAUUGUAAUGUCCUAAUAAAUCAGCGUUAAAAAAAAGUCUUUGUAAACCUAAGAUAAUCCCGUGCUCUUAAAUUUAAAAAGCAUAUUAAAGUUUUACAAUAGAUUUUCUUUAUUUAUUUCAACUUUACAUAAAAUAUGUAAAAAUAAUAAUUUAAAAAAAUUUGUAACAAACUAGAAUUACGACAUAUGAUAAAAUUACAACAAAAUUAAAAAUUAUUAAGUAUUUAAAUAUCUAACGCAAACAUUGAAAUAACGCAAACAUUGAAAUUAAAUUUUAAAUUUGAAAAAUAAAAUUUAAUCAAAUUGGAUUACAAUAUCGCGUCACCCAUCGGUUUAAUCGGUAUUCUGUGGGUUUAGCGAUUUUAGCCAGUUUUAUCAAAAUUUUAAAGAAUUGAUAUUUCUUAAAACCAAACUAGAUUACGUAUCAUAUCACAAAGUUUACCGUUUUCACUGCAGAUACGAGUCGGGUUAUAAAUGUUGAUUUAAAUGAAAAAUGUUUUAAAUAAAUAAAAUUCUUACAAAUUAAUAAAACAUGUGUAACGUUGCUAACUAAGUGGCUGUGGUUUAUAUAAGCGUUAGAGAGUGUUAUUGGUUCAUAUAUUUUAAUGGAUUUGAAAAUACAAGUCAAAUCUAGUGUUAUUGCUCCUGUGAUUUUAAAAUCCAUAUUCAAAUUCAUUGUUAUUAGUUAUAUGAUUUUAAAAUCUAUAUUCAAAUAAAUUGUUAUUGGUUUUAUGAUUUUAAAGUAGAUUUUAAAAUCAGGUGUUAUUCAAUAAUAGUAAUUUCUUUAAAAAUUUGAUUUAAAAUUAGAUUUGAAUGAAUUUAUGAAUGAUUUUAAGUUAAAUAUACAAAGAAGCAAAUAUUGAGUUGAACCUUGAUAUUUUGACAAAUCUGUAUUAUUGGUUUUCCUAAUAUCUUUUCGGCACCAAUUUUCGUAUAUAUGUAUUGCAUACGUUAAUUAUAACAAGAACUCACAAAGAUAUGAUUAUUUUGUUAAAUGGUAGUGUGCUUGUAACUUUUCCAUUUAAAAACAUCGAGCACUCAUCACACUUUUGAAAGUUUUCUAUUUUUCCAAUUGUCCAAUUUCUACAUUUUCCUAGUUUUCUAUUUCUAUCGUAGUGGUCGGUCUAUCAUAGUUAUAUAUAAUCUCGACUAUGCAUUAGAAAAUUAACACAAGAAACAAACACUUUAAACCCCUAAAAGAGCAUCAAUGGAAGAAUCACAACAAGAACCACAAGAACAUGGAAAAGGUUCUUAUGUUCAAUGGAGUCCUCAAGAAAAUAAAACUUUGAUAAAUCUACUUUUAGAUUGUAUUUCUGCAGGUUUACGUGAUAGUAAUGAUCUAUUCAUCAAAUUCACGGUGGAGAGAAGAAUCAUACCUCUUCUCAAUUAACUAUUUGGCUGAUUUAUGAUAAUCCAGUUAUUUUUAUUUUGAAAUCUAUAUCAUUGAUUCUGAAAUCUACUUAUUUGACUUUAAAAUCUAUGUAUUUAUCAAAAAUUACUAAAUUCAAGAAAUAAUCAUAAAUUCCUUAAAAUACUACAACCAAUAACCUCCACUUAAUGUGGCAUCUAUACUAUUAAAACAUAAGACAUUUUUUUAGGUGGUCUUCUGUUUUUAAAGCAUCACUGCUAUUGCAUUUAAAUUUUAAUUAAACCAUUAUGUUAAAUGUAAUCAGUUGCAACUAUAUUCUCACUUACGAUAUAUAAUUAUAAUUUCUAGCGUGCUUUUACUUAAUAUUACCGCAAAUAAAGAAAAAUUCAAAUUCUCAAGAUCUUCCACAACGGUAUUAUUGAGUUUUCCAUGGCGGUCUUUCAAGAUCUAUGAGACCUACAGUUGUAUUGGAGCAAAGCGGAGAAUAUGAGGGAGUUUGGAUGAGAUUUACAGUCUGGAGACAAGAAUUCAUGGUAGAGUUGAAAACAGGAGGUCUCAAGGAUGUCUCCAAAAUAUGAAAACAUGGGAAGAUUUUUAAGAUUUGUGAAAUAAAUAUCUUCUGAUAAAUGGUCUUCUGGAUUGAAUCAAAGGAUUUACUAGACGAAUAAAAGACGGCUCUGAAUUGCAGGAACGUAAUCUAUGGAGAUUCAGGUUUAUAAUCAUAGGUUAACUAAAGAUUUGAGGAUCAUUUGUUUUGAAGGGGAUUUUCAUAAAGAGUCAAGGAAUUCUCCAUCAUCAUAUCAUCGAGGUUAGUGAUGCAAUUUCUUUGGAAUUUAUUGGUGAUUCUGUGGGGAAUGAAUAAAGGGAUUGACUGCUUAUACAAUUUAGGGCUAUAUUUUCAACAAAUAGAGGAAACUUGGUACCUAAUUAGCAUCUUAUUUUACAAUCCCACUCGAUCAUAAAGUACAAAUUCACAUUGAAGAGGCUAUUCUCAUCAAACGUAGAGGCAUGUUUCUAAUAUUAAUAUGUUGGACACGUAGUCUCCGAGCACAAAUACAUGGCAAUAGUACUAUCAGGCUCCCAACCACAUUAUUGUCUUCGAGAAGGAUUGAUGACCAUGGCCAUUCAAAAGAUCAAGUGUUUGUUUUUUUUGAUAUUUAAGAUGCUCUUCUCAGAUUUCAAAUAGCUAUUUAUAGUUUUGUGAAUGUUUUGAAUUUUUUUAAAUCAUUUUUUCGCAGGAACAACCUACACUAAAGGAUAAGAAUUGGUAAACUACGUGAUCGCAUGAAGCUGCUGUUCGAAGCUCUGAGUGUGGUAGGAAAAGAGGCAACAAUGUUCAUUUAUGCUUCGAACAAUGUGAGAAAAGAUAGUUACAAAAUAAAACAAUGUGAACAAAGGUACGUGUGCUUUAAUUUUUGGUUUUCCGUGCAACUAAGGUCUAUAGGUUCAACCUUUUUAAUGUAUCUAACUCCCACAUGUUCCAUCAAUAUUAAUAUAUCUCAAGGUUAACUCUUGGUGUCUUAUUUAUGUUUUGCUUGAUACUGCAGACAAGAGCCUUAUAUGCGUCAGUGAGAGAAGUGAUUUGGAUGACAUAAUUGUCUUAAUGACAAUCUUGUAAUGCCUCGACCGCCCACAGCUAAUGGCCACCCACGUCCGCUCUCUCGGUCUGUGAGCCCCAUCCCGUUCCAGCGGUCGGUACGUUAAUUUUCCAAGGUUCGAAUGGCCUUGCAAUCACCACCCGACCUUUCCCCGUGUUUUAGGGGUGAUUGGUAGAGGCCGUGGCUUUCUGUUUUAUGCUCUAAGAUUUAGGCUCUAAAUUUUUAGCUUUAACUUUAAUUUAUUUUGCUGUAGAAAUUUUUCAGAGCACCGUAUAAAAUAAAAUCUCUAGGGAAAGUACUUUAUAAAGCUAACAUAUUUCUUUUUAUAAUGUUUUGGCUUUAGAUUCAGUUUUUAAAAUAAAAGCAUAAUUGCUUUAAAAAAUGGAUGUAGAAAUUAAAAAGACUGUGCACAGUUCAUACAGCCUCAACCAAUUAUCCCUUAAAUGUAGAAAACUAUGGUCUGAAAGUAGUUGUCAAGGAGUCUUUCAUGGAUACAUGUAUUCAUGGUCGAGAAGAAUUGGUAGAGGUGAAGUACUUCAGAAUAAAUAUUAAGUCACAUAGGGUAUUAUCAAUGUAGGUAACAAUAUAUUGAUACUAAGCAAUCACUCUCUUGAAAAGUAUUGCUACAAAAAAUAUCUUGAAAAGUAUAUUUGCUAUUUUGUAUAAACAUUUGAGCUUUCAUGAUUUAUUAGAUAUACAUAUUUUUGCAGAUAGUUAAGAAUCAUUUUUCCAAAUUCAAAGUGAAUGUAGUUAUGGAACCUAAUGGGUUGAAGAAAGUGGGUUCGUUGGCCUAUACUGAAACAAGAAAACGGUUUUGGCUUUUACACAUUUAAUAUUUCAUUAUUUAUUAACAUUUUAGAUUAUAAUAAUGAUGCUAUGUUAUGUUAUACUUACGUAGAUAUCACGGAGGAGAGAAUACCGUGCAAAUUUGUAAAAUCCCGAAAAGGUUUAACAGAAUUGAUUUGGCUAGCUAUGUCACCAAAGUUUACUUACUUUUUCCGUCACAAAUCCGUUUAGAACUCCAGAGUUAAGCGUGCUUGGGCUGGAGCAGUGAAAGGAUGGGUGACCUAUCGGGAAGUGAUUCGCGAUACAGUGCGAAUGAGGCCAAAACAAGGGAACGGUCGGGUGGUGAUUGCAGGGCCAGUAAACAUGAAUCUCGGGCCUUGGAAAAUUAACGGACCGACCGCUGGAACGGGAUGGGGUCCACAGGCUGAGAGAGCGGGCGUGGGUGGCCCAUUAGCUGUGGGCGGUCGGAGCGUUACAAGUGGUAUCAGAGCUGGUUAACCAUCUCGGUUCUGACCCGAGAGGCGUCUUGAGACCUGUCGUGUAGCGCAACGAGGGUGUUGCGUUCUUUGAGAGGGGGUGAAUUGUAACAUCUCGAGUUGUGAUAUAUGAAAAGGCUUAAGAGAAUUGAUUUGGCUACCUAUGUCACUAAAGUUGACUUACCUUUUCUGUCACACAUCCGUUUAGAACUCCAGAGUAAAGCGUGCUUGGACUGGAGUAGUGAAAGGAUGGGUGACCUCUCGGGAAGUGAUUCACGAUACCGUGCGAGUGAGGCUAAGGAGUUGAUUGGCAAGUGCUUUAGAAGUGCUGUAAGAUCUCUCUAUAGCCUAAAUUAUUUAUACAGCCCAAAAUUUUGCCAAUCAUGUUUUGUAAAGACUUUUUAAAGCUAUAGAUUUUUCUUUCUUUUUUAUUUAUGUUUAACUGUGGAAAGCCAUAAAUCUAGAGCACUUAUUUUUUGCUUUAGAAAAUUUAUAUUUAAGUCUUUGAAUUUUUUUAAACCUGCAGCUAAUAUUCUACAGCAAAAUUAUCUACAAUCACAGCAAAAAAAAUCUACAGAUUUAUUUUUAAAGCAAAAAUAUAAAGCUACAGCUCUUUCCAAUCAUCCCCAAGUUUCGUUAAUACUAUUAACAUUCCUUUUAUUGAAAUUUUCAAAUAAUUCAAAUAUAAAGAAAAUUAAUUGCAUGAUUCAACUUACCCUGUAUACCAUUUUCCCUUCAACAACACACUUUUCAUUAGAACAAACAUUUUUUUUUGUGAAACUUACGAAUCCCCUGCAUCCCAUAUAUAUAAUAACUAUUAAUUUCAUGUAUAUACCUGUUAUAACAUUUUUUUUUUUGGUAGGAUACCUGUUAUAACAUAUUAGUUCAUUGAAAAGUUAAAGUAAAUGACUUUUAAAAUUAGAAAACCAAAUAUUAAUUUUUCUUGAAUAAAUAUUCUACAUAAUAUAUAAAACGUUUUUUUUUGUGGCAAUAUACAAUAUGUUAUUCCAAAUGAUUCGACUUUUCAAGUAUUUGAUCAAUAGGAAAUAAUGGAACGGCAUAUGCUGGAGAUCCAUGAUUUGAUGUCAAAAGGUUCAAUUUAAUAAUUUUAAGUUCAGAAACAAAAAUAUCAACUUAUGGAGGACCGGAAGUGAAAAUAAGGUAAGUUUGACCAUUGUUGCUCUUCGAUCGAGCUGCACUUCGAUCCGCGACGGCGAGGCUUGACUCGAAUAUUUUUUUGUGUAUGUCGUAAUUGUAUAUUUUGGGUGACAUGCUAUAUUUUCGGUUUUUGUUAAAAAAUGGGAGAAAACGAAAGGCGUUUUCUGGCUCUUUCUAAACUACUCCACUUCCCCUCAUCGACUAAUUAAUUAGAGCUUUUAGCAACAAAACAAACUAAUCAAUGAGAGUUCUCCCUUGUUAUGACAUAUUUUAAAUUAUAUGAUAAAAUUUUGAAAUAUAAUCCCUAACAAAUAUAAAUAAAAAUGCAUAAUUCAUGAUAUGCAAAGAAAAUUGAAUAGAAACCUGCAAAAAAAAUGAUUGAAUAAGUAAUGAUACAUAAUAAAAUAGUUAAAAUAUUUAUUAUUUAUUUAUAAAUUCCAGUGAAUAGAAAACAAAAUAAAAUUUACAUACCAUUAUAAAAAUAUUCUGAAAACCACUUUAUAGUCGAAAUUCACUGUCUUUGUCUGUGUUGUGUAUCAGUUAACUUAAGAAGCAAAUAAAAUUAACAUUUUAUUUAUUUAAAAUUUUAUUGAAUAAAAAAAUAUUAAAUUUACGUCCUGUUGACUACAAAAUAUUUUGAAAAAUUUAUCUGUAAACAAUAGUCAUUUUUGUUUUCUAUACGGCUUGCCUAGUCUAUCGGUUAUUAGAAUCGAGAUCUCGACUUUAAUCUACAAAGUGCAACAUAUAACUAAAUAUACAUAAGACUGAUAACAAAAUGAAUUAAGUCAUGUUACAUACAUGUUUAAGUUAGUAUAAACUUAAUUUGUUAAAUAUAAUUUAAAUAAACAAAAUUAUUAUAAACUUAAUUUUAUAUUUAAUUAAAUCAAAUUUAUAGUAAGAUAUUAAUAAGAAAAUGAUAAAAUUAUCAAUAUUAAUAAAAUUGAUAAAUCAAUUUUAUGUUUAAUUAAAUCAAAUUUAUUGUAAGAUAUUAAUAAGAAAAUGAUAAAUCAAAUUGAAAUGCAUCUCAUAAACGUUGUGACUGCAUAUUUAUAUGGAUCGUUGGAUAAUGAUAUAUAUAUGAAACUCCCCGAGGGAUUAAAAAUGCCAGGGGCAUUGAAAGAAAAAUCCAGGGAGAUUUGUUCGGUCAAGUUACAGCGAUCACUUUACGGAUUAUAGAAAUCCGGACGCAUGUGGUACAAUUGCUUAAGUGAAUAUAUCUUGAAAAAGGGAUAUGUGAAUAAUGCAAUAUGUCUAUGCGUUUCUAUAAAGAAAUCGUCAUCUGGCUUUGUGAUCAUUGUUGUAUAUGUAGAUGACCUGAGCAUAAUUGAAACUCAAAAAAGGAGGUUGUUGAUGCUUGAAAUCAUAUGAAAGAGGAGUUCGAAAUGAAAGAUCUCUGAAAGACAAAGUUUUGUCUUGGGCUCCAGAUAGAGCAUCUCCGAGAAAGAAUAAUUGUGCAUCAAUCAAAUCAUACGAAAAGGUUAUUGAAACGCUUUUGUAUGAAUAAAGCGACUCCUUUGAGUACUCCAAUGGUAAAUAGAUCUCUCGAUGUUGAAAGAGAUGUUUUAAAAGAUCCUGGUAAGAUCUUAUAUAAAUAAGUACUUUGGAGAUGCUAAUGGUAAUAAAGCAUAUGAGAGCUUAUAUAUCUUGUGAGUUAUUUUUGAUGAAAUAUACUUUUAGACACUCACUACAAGAAAACACAUGCUUAACGACGAAAUUUAACGAGGAAAAACAAUCCUCGUAAAUUUGCGUCGAGUUUAUGAGGAAUUUACGUGAAAAACUAAAGUCAUCGUUAUUUCCUCGUAACGUAACGACAAAACUGUUUCGUCGUAAAGUGGAUGUAACUUUACGAGUAUUUUACGAGGAAAAACUAUUUCCUCGUAAAUACGACGUAAACUUUGCGUGGUAUUUACGAGGAAAUAGUUUACGUGUAUUUAGCGAGGAAAUUUUUGAAUCCACCAACUUUAUAGGUGUUACACGUUUUUUUUGCCCACCUAAUUAAUUUUCGUCGUAAAUUCAUAGGAAAAUUACAACUACCAGAUUCGAAUUUUCCUAUAAAUAUGGAUGUUUGAACAUCAUUUUAAACACACCAACAACAAAAAACGUGAAAGAAAAAAAAUGGCUGGCUCCGGGACUAUUUAUGAGUUGCGGAAGUGGAUGUAUAUGCAUAGAGAUGGUAACGGGAGAGUGACGAAAGAAUACCUUGCGGGUCUGGAGACAUUUAUGCAUCAAGCAGAUUCAACACCGCUCGCCCAAGAAAGUGGUAAGAUGUUCUGUCCUUGUCGGAAAUGCAACAAUUCGAAACUGGCAAACCGUGAAAAUGUUUGGAAGCAUUUAAUAAAUAGAUGUUUCACGGCAAAUUACUAUAUCUGGUUUCAACAUGGAGAAGGUUUUAAUUAUGAUCAGAACGAAACUAGUAGUAGUAAUUGCAAUUUUCAGGAAAAAGAACCGGUUGAUCAUCAUUUGCAUAAUGAACAUAGUUACCAUCAGGAGGAGAUGGUAGAUUAUGAUAGGGUUCAUGAUAUGGUAGCUGAUGCAUUCGUAGCUCAUGAUGAAGAUGAAGAACCUAAUAUAGAUGCAAAAAAGUUUUACGAAAUGUUAAACGCGGCGAAUCAACCACUUUACAGUGGUUGUAGAGAAGGUCUCUCUAAAUUGUCGUUAGCUGCUAGAAUGAUGAAUAUUAAAACUGAUCACAAUCUACCUGAAAGUUGCAUGAACGAAUGGGCGGACUUAUUUAAAGAGUAUUUGCCGGAAGACAAUGUGUCUGCUGAUUCUUAUUAUGAGAUUCAGAAACUGGUUUAUAGUCUUGGGUUGCCUUCGGAGAAUGAUAGAUGUUUGCAUCGACAACUGCAUGAUCUAUUGGAGAGAUGAUGAGAAGCUAGAAGAAUGUCGAUUCUGCAAGAAGCCACGAUUCAAGCCGCAAGGACGGGGACGUAAUAGGGUACCGUACCAAAGGAUGUGGUACCUACCAAUUACAGACAUAUUGAAAAGAUUGUAUCAAUCAGAGCAGACUGCUGGAAAGAUGAGAUGGCAUGCCGAGCAUACUCAGACGGAUGGUGAGAUGACUCAUCCAUCAGAUGCAAGAGCCUGGAAACAUUUCAACAAAGUACAUCCAGAUUUCGCUAGCAAUAUUCGGAAUGUGUAUCUUGGAUUAUGCACAGAUGGAUUUAGUCCGUUCGGAAUGUCAGGGAGACAAUAUUCAUUGUGGCCAGUCUUUCUUACUCCAUACAACCUGCCACCGGAGAUGUGCAUGCAACGGGAGUUACUAUUCUUGACCAUAUUAAUACCUGGUCCGAACCAUCCAAAAAGGUCCCUGGAUGUUUUCCUACAACCACUGAUAAAAGAGUUGAAGGAUUUGUGGUCAACAGGGGUGAGGACGUAUGACUGUUCAACGAAGACGAAUUUUACGAUGCGAGCGAUGCUUUUGUGGACCAUAAGUGAUUUUCUUGCCUAUGGGAUGUUGUCUGGAUGGACUACACAUGGGAGAUUAGCUUGUCCAUAUUGUAAUGGAACGACAGAUGCGUUUCAACUGAAGAAUGGUAGGAAGACAAGUUGGUUUGAUUGUCACCGUCGAUUUCUUCCCAUUGGCCAUCCUUACCGAAGAAACAAGAAUUUGUUUAGGCACAAAAGGGUUGUGAGAGACACUUCUCCUCCAUAUCUAACUGGAGAACAAAUUGAAGCGCAAAUCGACUACUACAGAGCUAACGAAACAGUUCGUUGGGGUGGUAAUUGGCAUGUCCCUCGUAAUAUGCCAGAUUCUUACGGUGUUCAUCACAACUGGCACAAGAAGAGUAUAUUUUGGGAGUUGCCAUAUUGGAAGGAUCUUCUUCUGCGCCACAACCUCGAUGUGAUGCAUAUAGAGAAGAAAUUCUUUGAGAACAUCAUGAAUACAAUAUUGAAUGUCCUAGGGAAGACAAAAGACAACAUAAAAUCGAGGUUGGACUUGCCGGAUAUUUGCUCAAGAAGCGAGUUACAUAUUAAAAGCAAUGGACAAGUUCCCGUUCCGAUAUACAGAUUAUCUUCAGAAAAAAAGUCGGUGUUGUUCAACUGGGUGGCAUCAGAAGUGAAGUUCCCCGAUGGGUAUGUUUCAAAUCUCUCUAGAUGUGUUGAAAAGGGUCAAAAGUUCUCCGGGAUGAAGAGUCAUGAUUGUCAUGUAUUUAUGCAACGACUACUGCCCUUUGCAUUUGCGGAGCUACUUCCAACAAACGUACAUGAAGCACUUGCAGGUACGUAGUGUAUUAUAUCACAAUAAUUUACAAAAUAAUAUAUGACUAACAAUGUGUUUAAUUUUUUUGAAUAUAAAAGGCAUUGGAGCAUUUUUCAGGGAUCUGAGCACACGCACUCUUAAAAAAGAAGUUGUGGAACAGCUUCAGGAGAACAUUCCCAUCUUAUUGUGAAACUUGGAGAAGAUAUUUCCUCCCGGAUUUUUUGACGUCAUGGAGCAUCUAGCUGUCCACCUCCCAUAUGAGGCAUUGCUUCGUGGACCUGAACAUUACGGAUGGAUGUAUCAGUAUGAGCGAGCCAUGAAAUAUUUGAAGGGAAAAGCAAAGAACCUCGCCAAAGUUGAAGGUUCUAUAAUUGCUGGAAGUUUGACGGAAGAAGUUUCUCACUUCACAUCGUACUACUUUGUGUCAAAAGUACGUACACGGAGAAGAGCUCCAAGAAGAUAUGAUGAUGGUGGUGUUGCGCCAACAUAUGUAGUUGCUGGUGUUCCAGACAUCUUUAGCCAGAUUGGGCGACUCGGUGGGAAGUCUAAAGAGGUUUGGUGGUCGAGUGAACAAGACGCUCAUAGUGCACACACCUAUAUUCUACUCAAUUGCGAAGAUCCAUUGAUUCGUUAUUUUGAAAGGUAACAUAUAUUGACACUUCAAAACACAUAUAAGUAUAAUUAAUUGUAUAAUUGCGAGAGAUUCAUUCCUACAAAAUGUGAUUUUACAGCCUAUUUGUUUCUCAAGUCGAAGAAACAUUUCCUGGUAUAUCCACAAGUGACGUAGACAAAAGGAAAGAUCAACACUUCAUUAAGUGGUUGCGGAAUCAUGUAUUAACUAAAAAAAUUUUCAUAUAUUAUCUGUAUUUCAUUAACAUUCUCUUUAUUUUUGCAGGUUGAUUAUGACGACGACGAUGCAGAUUAUCCUACGUGGUUACACGAAGUAAUUCAAUCUCCACUUGUAAAGGUCACCACAUCACAGAUGUAUUUCACACGAGGCUAUACUUUUCAUACAUAUGACUAUGGUAGACAACGGGAGACCAGUAACUAUGGAAUAUGUGUGAAAGGGGAAACAGAUUUCUACGGGAUCUUGACGGAGAUUAUUGAAGUCGAAUUUCCAGGGAUACUGAAGCUGAAAUGCGUCCUCUUCAAAUGUGAAUGGUUCGACCCCGUCGUCAACAGAGGUGUUCGGUCUAACAAAUUCGGUGUAGUUGAUGUCAACGGUGGACGAAGGUACAACAAAUUCGAGCCUUUCAUCUUACCUUCACAAGCAGACCAAGUUAGCUUCCUUCCAUACCCUCGGAUGAGAGAUUCAGGUAUAAAUUGGUUAGCAGUAAUCAAAGUUACACCUCGAGGACGAAUCAUUAGUGGAGAAGAACCACCAUUGCAAGAAGAACAGAUAAAUGAAGUUGAGGAACCUGAACAAGAAAUUGAUGAUAUCCUUCUCAUUGAUCCGCAUAAUCACGAGUACGAAGAUCUUACCGAUGAUGCCACAGACGAAGCUGUUGAAGACGAGUUUAAUGAAAAUGAUGAUGUUUCUAGUGAUGACGAGAAUGUCGAUAUAUCCGAUUGAUGUAUUUGUUUUAUGAAUAAGAUGAGGGAUUUUGUUUUAUGAAUAAGAUAAUGUGGGGUUUGUUUGAUGAAUAAGGUAAUGUGGGAGUUUGUUUUAUGAAUAAGCAAAUGUGGGAAUUGUGGUUUGGAAUGGAAAUAAAGAUGGGGUUUGGAAUAUAUGAAGUAGAAAAUAAGGAAUAUGGGGUUUGGGGUUUCGGGUUUGGGGUUUUGGAUUCUAGGGAUUUAAACAUAACACUCGUUAAUUCCACGUAAGCUUAAAUCGUCGUAAAGUCCUCGUAUUCCAACGAGUAAAUAACGACGAAGGACUCGUUAAUUCCACGUAGGACUAAAUUGUCGUAAAUACCACGUAGGAUGAAUUCGUCGUAAAAAUCACGUAGGAUGAAAUCGUCGUAAAUAUAACGUAAUACAACGAGGAAAUAACGACGAAACCUAAAAAUAAAUAUGGGGUUUGGAAUAUAUGAAGUAGAAAAUAAGGAAUAUGGGGUUUGGGGUUUGGGGUUUCGGGUUUCGAGUUUGGGGUUUGGGGUUUCCGGUUUUGGGGUUUCGGGUUUUGGAUUUCGGGUUUCGGGUUUCGGGUUUUUGGUUUCGGGUUUGGGUUUUGGGUUUAGGGGUUCGGGGUUUGGGGUUUCGGGUUUUGGAUUUCGGGUUUCGGGUUUCGGGUUUCGGGUUUCAGGUUUCGGGUUUGGGGUUCUAGGGAUUUAACCAUAACACUCGUUAAAAAUAACGACGAAACUUAAAAUUAAAUAUGGGGUUUGGAAUAUAUGAAGUAGAAAAUUAAAGAUGGGGGUUUGGGUUUCGGGUUUCGGGUUUGGGGGUUGGGGUUUGGGGUUUCGGGUAUGGGGUUUCGGGUUUCGGGUUUCGGUUUUGGGUUUUGGGUUUCGGGUUUCGGGUUUCGGGUUUCGGAUUCUAGGGAUUUAAACAUAACACUCGUUAAUUCCACGUAAGCACAAAUCAUCGUAAAGUCCUCGUAGGAUGAAAUCGUCAUAACUACCACGUAAAAUGAUUUAAACAAAACACUCGUUAAUUCCACGUAAGCAGAAAUCGUCGUAAAGACCACGUAAACGGAUUUAUACAUAAACCCGUUAAUUCCACGUAAGCAGAAAUCGUCGUAAAUACCUCGUAGUGUAAAAACUAGAAAAAAAGGGAAAAUGAUCAAAAUACCAGAAUAACAUGUGGCAAGACUUCCAGCAAUUAUAAUACGUAAGUCUCGCCCACAUGAAUUCUAAUAUCUUAUCCUUUUCCUAUUUUUUUCAAAUAUUUAUAAUUUGAAUAGGAUUUUGCUAAGGAAUGUGAUUUCAGAUAGGGUGUAAUUUGGGAGUUUGUGUGUGGUUUGAGAAUGAGAGUUGUGGGUAUAUUUAUAGGAAAGCAAGCCUCGUUAAUUCCACGUAAGCUAAAUCGUCGUUGAUACCUCGUAUAAAAAAACACGGGCCUUUGUGAUUCCUCGCAAUUUCCUCGUAAAAAAAAAACGGGCCUUUGUAACUGCUCGCUAUUUCGUCGUAAACUUACGAGGAAUUUGCGACGAUAUGUAAUCUUAUAUAUACACCCGAGCGCUCACUCUUUCUUUCCUCUCUACUUCCUCUCUACUUCCUCUCCAUUUCGUAGCAAUGGUAAGCCUCUCUGAUUCCUCUCCAAUUUGGUUAGUUUAGGAUAGAUUAAGUGGUUAGUAUAGGGAAUUUAGAUAGGUUUGCGGAUUUUAUGUUGUUUAGUGUUGAUUAUGUGGAUAAUGUUGGGAAAUAUAUUGUUGAUGUUAAUUUUAAAAAUUUCAUUUUUUCCCAGGUUCGAAAAGGAAGGCUUACUGCCCAUUACAGAGAGAUCUUCGGUGAGCCGGGUAGUCGUUUAGACCCAGCCUCUUCUUCCGCUCCCAGUUCUUCGGGCCAGGAGACUGUCCCCGAGACUCAGUACACUCAGAGAGUCUCUGGGUCUACUUCUUCUACUGCACCAUCGGCUCCUCAUGUGCCUCCUCCGAUGCCUCCUCCUGUGCCUCCUCCGAUGGCACCUCCGAUGGCCGCCGAUAUUCAUCCUGAUUUGAUGGUGCCUUCGAGUGCUCCUUACACGCAGUACACUGUAGAGGACAUUCUCAGUCUGCCAGGCAGAGAAGGUUUACUAGUCAUCGACCCAGACCAACCGGACGGAACUUUGUGGUAUGUUGCAUUAAUUUUUUUUUAAUUAGUUUAAAUUUCUUUUAUAACAUUAAAAAAUAAUUUAUAUUUUAAAUUUGUAUUUUUCAGGUGGGGGGUUGACGGAUGUCUUGCAUCGGACGUAACCGACACGAUCAAGGGUUACUUCUCCAUGCCACAUCCAAACUGGAGUAAGACGCCUCACUACGUCAGAAAGACGUGGUUCAAAAUUUACGCUGUAAGUUUCUAUUAAUUAAUUAUAUAUACUUUAAUUUUUUCAUGAUUUAUAUAUAUACUUUCUAAAAAACUAAUUGUUAAUUUAUUUUUCCAACAGCAAAAAUAUACUUGGGUCUUGGGGAUCACUGAGAGGGUGAGGAAGAAGUUUAACGCGAAGAUGAAAGUUCGCUUGUUAGACACGGUCUCCAACUGGAAGGGUGACUGGAUCGUGAAGGGGUAUGAGCGUGGCAAACCCGCUGAGCUCACCACGGAUGUGUGGGAUGGCCUCAUCCGUUAUUGGCGCCUUCCUGAUUCCAUUAGAAUCGCCCAGGCUUGCUCUAACUCCCGUAACACGGUCGAUGAGCACGGGAACGGGCCGAUGCUUCACACUAUGGGCCAAAAACCCCACGCCGGUGUCCGUUUGGAAAUGGUAAUUAAAUAUUUUAUUAAAUAAUUUUUUUAAUAUAUAUAUUAAUUUAUUCUAACUUUCUUAACUGUUUUUUAGGCCAAAGAGACAGGACAUCUCCCGUCUCUUAUAGAACUUUACGAGAGGACCCACAAGAACAAGGCGGGCGUAUUUGUAGAUGGCAAGUCCGAGCAAAUCUACAACGACGUAGUUGCUCGGGUUGAAGACCGCCAGACUCAGCUGACCCAGCAGUCUACCGACGGAUUACCCAUCAACUUAUCCACACUUGAAGUGGAUAAGAUUUACGAGGAGGUAAAUUUUCAAAAAAAUUAAUUUUUUAUUAUUCAUUUAAUUUAAUUUUAAAUUUUUACUUACAAUAUUUAUUUUUUGUUUUUAAGUUUGUCCCUAAAAAAAAGGGACGGACGUUGGGUAUUGGUUCCGUCAACGAUGUUCCGAGAGCGACAUCGUCUUAUGGUCAGCGACGGGAUGAUGAAGUCACUGAGCUGCGUAGAGAGUCCGCUCAGCUGCGUAACGAGUUGACCGCGACAAAAUCUCGUAUGGGUGGAGUCGAGGGCUUCUUGGACGUUAUUACGGCCACAAAUCCGGAAUGGGAGUCCAUGUUGAGGAACAUGCGACAACAACAUCCCAUUCAAGGCGAGUCAUCCGACGUACAUAACGAGGCGGAUGUUACGAGGAGGAGUGAUGAAUUCUACCGGGCGAUGAACGACCCUUAGUUUUUUUUUUUGGUUGUUGUAUUAUAUAAAUUCAAAACUUAUUUAUAUAUAAAAUAUUUUCAUAUUGAUUUAUUUUUAUUUUAAAUUUUAAUUUAUUAUUAAAUUAAAUAAUUUUAAUUAUAUUUUUAAAUUCUGUAAAAAUAAUAAAAAACGAAGUAAAUUCGUAGCUAAUGUACGACCUCUUUACGUGGAAACCUUACGAGGAAAUGACGAGAAACAGUUAACGACUAUUUUACGAGGAAACAUUUGCGAGGAAAUAACGAGGAAAAGUUUACGAGUAUUUUACGAGGAAAUCGUUUCGUGGUUGUUACGUGUAUUUUGCGAGGAAACUCUUUCAAGGUAUUUACGUGUAGGUUACGAGGAACUCAUUUCGAGGUAUUUACGAGGAAUUGUAGAGACGUCCUUGCGUGGAAUAUUGACGUGGUCUUUACGACGAAUCGCCCUACUUCGUCUUUACGACGAAAUAUAUUCCUCGCUAAGUUACGACGAAUUAGCGACGAAAUAUGUGUUACGACGGACGAGUAACGAGCAAACGCGCUUCCUCGCUAUUUCGUCGUAAAACCUCUUUUACGACGAAAUAACGAGGAAAACCGCCCUCGUUAAGGUUAUGUUUUCUUGUAGUGACUAAUGUCUUUGCAAGAUACAACUCAUUUCCUAUUCAUGGAAAUUAGAACGGCGUCGAGAAUAUAUCUGUUCCCUCCAAGGUACACUUGAUUUAGAGAUGAUGUAUUGUAGAAAACCCGAGUUUGGUAUGGUUGGUUUUGCAGAUGCAUGAUACUUAUCAGAUCCUCAUAAGGCCCGAUCGCAAACCGGCUAUGUUUUUACAAUUGGUGGAACCGUGGUCUCUUGGCGAUCCCAGAAAUAAACUCUGGUUGGAACUUCAUCGACUCAUGCAGAAACUAUCGCGCUUCACGAAGCAUGUCGAGAAUGUGUGUGGCCUCGCUCAAUGAGGUACCACAUACAAGAAUCAAGCCGAAUAGUCAAUGAGAAAGAGCCGACGAAAUUAUUUGAAGACAAUUCGGCUUGUGUUGUUCAACUUAAAGAAGGUUAUAUCAAAAGCGACAGAACAAAGCACAUCCCUCCUAGAUUUUUCUCAUACAUAAGGGAGCUCGAGAAAAAUAAAGAAGUAGACAUCGAGUAUGUACAGUCAUGCGACAAUCCAGCUGACUUGUUCACAAAAGCUCUUCGGACUAAAUUCCAAAAACACGUCUACGAUAUCAGAAUGCGGCAUUUGCGUGACCUGUGACGAGAAAGCUAUGUCUACUAUUAUCAGGGAGAGAUUACGGCAAUGUACUUUUUUUUUUCCACUAUUGUUUCCUUCUUCUUCCUAAUAUACCAAAUACAUAAAAAAUAAUAUAAUAUACAAUUACCUCACUUUUAUUAUACAACAGUUUUGAAUUUAUCAUACAUUUUCCUUUAGGUAAAUGCUCUUUUUUGCAAGCCGAUAGACACACCACAUCAAAAUUUGGUUUGGUACAGGCAUCAGCUGGUGCAUAAGCGGCCGGAAGUUUUUUACAAUACGGAUUAGUUCUGGUAGGGCGAGAAUUUAGCAUUCCUGAUAAAGUAGUAAGUACAAAAAUAUUAGAGUUGAGUAUGUAAAAUUGUUGGUACAAAUUUGAAGAAAUUCAAGUAUUAGAAAACAUCUUAUAACUUUUAAAAUAAAAUAAAAUAAUGUUCUUGGUUUUAAACUUAAUUUUGAUUAUUUAUUAUUUUUUGAAUUUUAUAAAAGAAUAUAAACACGUAAUAAUUUUUUAUUGGUUAAAAAGUAAAAAUUUUGCAUUAUAAGUGAUAUGUCUUACAUAUUUUAAAUUUUAAAUUUAAUCAUUUAAGAUAAUUAUAUGAAAUGUUAAAUAAAUUUUAAAAUAAAAUGUUAAAUUUUCUUUUUAAUUGCGUUUGUUGUUUAUAAAUAAUAAAUAAUUUUGGUUUUAAAAUGCCAGAGUUUAACAGAUUAUUUUUAAAACACACAAUAAUCAUUACCACAAUAAUUUACCCUCUGGUGAGUUUCAUAUAUUAUAAUAUAAAUUACCUAUUGAAAUUAACAAGCAAAUCAGGAAAAGAGCGGCCGAGCCAACUAUUUACAUUUAUUUUUCUUUGUGUUUCCCUUUACCUUUUUUUUUUGUCUUAGAUGGAAUGGCUUAUGCAUGUAACUAUUAUGCUGUAAUAUAACUCUUCUAUUGUUAUUUUGGGUAAAUAAAUCACAUGGUUAUCCAUAAAAACUGCACCGUAAAAAGAGGAGGUGUUAUAAAAAUUUCCUUGGUUUUACAUUUUCAAUAUUUCACUACAAGAAAACAUAUUUUUUACUAAGGCAGUAUUCGUUGUAAAUUCGUCGUAAACGGGGUGUUACGACGAAUUAACGUCGAAAGACGUUUCGUUGUUAAACGUCCGUCGUAACGGAGGUUUCGUCGUAAACGACUCGUUACGUUUACGACGAAAUAUAUUCCUCGUAAAGAGCAGGGAAAGUAUUCGUCGUAAAUGCCACGUAAGACUUCGUCGUAAAGCCCACGUAAUUAUUUCGAUGUAAAGCAAACGUAAAUACUUUCGUUGUAAAUCACUCGUAAACAUUUCGAUGUAAAAUCCUCGUAAAUAUUUCGAUGUUAAUCACUCGUAAACAUUCGAUGUAAACUCCAUGUAAUGUUUACGAGGAGUUUACAUCGUUUCUUAUUAUAUUAUUAUUAAUUAGUAUAUAAUAGAUUUUAAUUUAUAUUUAAUAUUCAGAAUUUAAAAUAAUUUAAAUUUUAAAACAAAAUAUGAAAUUGGAAAAAAUAUUUUUAAAAAGUCAUACAAUAAUAUUUAAAUUCAUAAUACAAACAGAAAAAAAAAACUACAUAUUGUCGAAGUAGUUGGUGGGGUUGCUCGGCUGUUGACGGGUUGGAUCGGACUCUUGGGGAUCUCGUGGUGGCAUUCCAAGAGCGGCUCGUCUCUCACUCAACAUUCUCUGCAUAACCGGGUUUCCCACGGCCAUCACGUCUAGCAAAUCCUCAAGAGAGUCUAAACGAACCUGCUGGCUAUCCAUUUGAGCCUUCUGGCUAUCCAUUUGAGCCUUCAUCUGAGCAGUCUCUUCAUUCCGUCUCGAAGUGUAUGACGAAGUUGCCCUUGCAACUUCGUUAACAGAGCCUAUACCGACUAUCCGUCCCUUCUUUUUAGGAGCCACCUAUAAAAUCAAAACAUAUAUUAAUAUAGUUAAUUAUGUUAAAAUAUUUAAAAUAAUGUAAACUAAAAUUUUAAGUUACCUCUUCAAAGAUUCUGUCGACCUCUUGGGUGGACAAUGUGACCGGUAAUCCAUCGGGAGACUCCUGGGUUAGUUGUGUCUCCCGUUCUUCAAUCCGACCAGCCACUGUUUGGAAGAGUUUCUCAGAUGCAGGAUCCACAAAAACUCCGUCGGAUGUGGCGUGAGUCAUCUUCAAUAGGUCAGACAGAGAAGGUAAGACUUCCGUCUUCUCGAACUACAAAACAAAAUUAAAUUAAAUAUUAUAAAUUAUAUUAAUUGAAUAUUUUAAAAUAUAUAUUUAAAACAAAACUUACAGCUUCUAGGCGGACUCCUGCAUGAGGUUUUUGUCCGGUUCUGUGAAGCAUGGGCAAAUGACCAUCUUUAUCCUUCGUCCUUCGAGAAGCCGAGCACGAAUUGGCCUUUCUGGUCGAAGAGGGGUCCUCCCAAUAGGCGAUGAGGCCAUCCCACACAUCCGUCGUGAGCUCAGUGGGCUUUCCCUCAUACCCGUAGAUCUCCCACUUGUCCUUCCAAUCAGAGACUGUGUUGCAGAGGCGUAUUUUUG
Molecule: long non-coding RNA, 100276 nt
Filed under: Brassica napus (rape)
Lineage: Eukaryota; Viridiplantae; Streptophyta; Magnoliopsida; Brassicales; Brassicaceae
Description: long non-coding RNA (BNAP_LNC021524)
Rfam family: tRNA (bases 30311-30381)
Source: RNAcentral